RNAcentral lists this long non-coding RNA (135849 nucleotides) under Solanum lycopersicum (tomato). RNAcentral describes it as "long non-coding RNA (SLYC_LNC001105)". The stretch from base 50529 to 50612 matches the Rfam family "tRNA". The record is from RNAcentral. Lineage: Eukaryota; Viridiplantae; Streptophyta; Magnoliopsida; Solanales; Solanaceae.
UGUUUCAACCUUCAGAACGUCUCCAAAAUUAAACAUCAAUUAUAUCGGAGAUAUGCUUUCUCAUUUAUCAAAAACCUAGGGCAUAUGCUUCUUGCUAAAAAGAGGAAAGAGAAAAGUAAAUAUUGUCUAUACAAAUCAUACCACUGAACAAAUUUGAAGAGAAUAAAAUUAAAGAUCACCUCCAACUUUUGACUGUCCAUCCAUAACAAGCUUCACAUCUUCAGACUUAACGGCAGCUAUAAGGUAAUCUACAAAGUCAGACCAAGAGCCUCCUAUACCAGUUCUGUCCCUCUGUGUAGAAUGAUAAGAAACUAGUGACUUCGAUUUUGAAACAUAAGAACCAAACUUCGCUUAGAUCCUCUAAAGAAUGGAACAGAAACAAAAAGAAUAAAAUAAAAAAGAUGUCAAAAGAAAAAUGAUUACAAAUUAAACCACCAAAAAGAUAGGCUAAACAAAGACAACCAUGCAAGAAUUAAUUAGUCAUAACUCAUAAGUAGCAUGUGAAAUGUAUGUUAUAUUCUCUUCUCUACCAAACAGCUUUUAUUCCAGUAAUCUAAAGAAUAUGUAAAAUGUGUCCUGUCCAUAGUUUCAUCAAUUAGUAAUAUCUGCUUCAAACAGUUUCAAAGGAAUCAAUUGAUACGCCCCAAGUCAUAUUGUAGGCGUUUAUGGAAAUUAUCAAAUACCAUUCAGUUCAAUAUGAAGUUAGGAGAAAGUUCAGUUAGGUUUCUUUUACUUUUAUCUCUCUCUAUCCCUCUUAAAGAAAGAAGUACAGUAUAAGUUUUCAUCCUAAUCGCAGUACAAGCAUCUGAUAAUUUGUUUGAUUAAGCAAUAUUUCAAGUCUAAUUGUUGGACUAGAGCUUAAAUCCUCUUCAUUUAUUUUUUUUAAAAAGUAAUUAAAUUUCUCCGAUUGGUCUUCCCUAAAUCAAUCCAGAUUAGCAAUUAGAGCAGAAAAUCUAGAAUUGAAAUGAGAUAGUUAAACUUUUGCAGGAGAAGGUGAGAAAAUUCAAAGUGGAGGAAAGUAAGUCGAAUAGGAGUGAGUAACAAGGGCAAACCAUAUCUUCAAGCUCCUGCGCAGACUUCAAAGCGUGCCAUGUAUUUGAAUGGAAAUCAGUGGCGCAUACACAGAGGGUAGAGGGAUCAGUUGACAAUCCGUGGACAUGAAAGAGGAAAGGCUUCAAAGGGGUUUUGUGAGGGGCUGACCACUCUGCAUUUAGUCGCCCAAAAACUGGUUCCAAUUCAUCAAACCCCAUUUCCAAAUUUCUCUCGAAGAAAAGGGUUUUAGUAAUUUUUAUCACCGAUACACAAAGCAAACUUUGCCUAGAGAAAGUAAGCAAAAUUUUUGUUGUUUUCUUCAAAAACACAAGUCUAUUAGGUUGUUAUAUACUGACUCGCUGAUGUUCAAACUGGGUCAUUUGCUGUUUUCAUCCUAUUUCGUGCUCAAAAUAAAUAAAUAAAAGGCUUAAUCAUCUACCGCCCCGUCCGCAUAAUUCACUUAGACACUUCAACUAAGAUUUUUAUCUAUUGAAUACCUUUAUCCUCCCAAUUUGAACCAUCUGAACAUUUUUUGCUUACCUGGCACAUUGUUUGUGUUUCACCCCAAAGAGGCGCGGGAGAGGCCUUUAGGUAGGCUUUUUUUAAGAAAAAAUUGUUCUUUUUCUUCCUCCCUCUUUACCCAUCACUUCCUCCACCACACUAGUCAUUGCCACCAUUAUACAUCCAUCUUUUUCCUUAUUUUUUCUCCGGAUACUUCACUUCUAUCUCUAUCAUUGUUUUUUGUUUCUCCAUUGCCUUCUACCUCCAUCAUUUUUUUUUGUUUUUCUAUUACCAUCGUACUAGGAGAGGAUUGGUGGUACCUUCACUGCCGCCAUGGCAGCCACCAUCAUUAGAGAGCUUGAAAUUUGAAAUUUUUUUCUUUGUUGUUAAUGUAGUGUUUUGGUGUUAAACUGAUGGAGAUUUGUGUGAAUUUUGUUAAAGGACUUUUCUAUUUAUUUUUUAUUUUGCUCACAUUUUUGUAGGGUGUUCUUCAAUCGAAAAAUAUAAUCACCUCUGGAACUCAAAAAGAAAUCCACUAUUCAUCGAAAACUGAUUAAUUUUUCGACGAAGUUCAUCUUUUCGUCAAAAAUGAAACGAGGAAGACAAGUUAAAUUUUAUUUUAUUUUUUACCUAUGGCCAACUCUUCCGUAACUCAUCAAAAAUAGCAAUAAAUCUUAAUCCUUUUGCUUGAACUCUAUGAUGCAGAUGAACUAAGAAGAUUAAAAAAAUAAUAGAAUAUUUACAGAGAGGUUUGCCAUGGGGGCUGGGGCACUAUAGAAGGAGAGGAGUUUUGAACUCCAUGGAAUAGAAGGGUAGGUAAGCUAUAGGAUUUAUAUGAUUUCUUUUUUAAUUUUAACAUAAAAAUAAUUUUUUUUUUUACUUUAUAAUAUAUUUUAUAUUAAUUUUUUUGGACUCUAAAAUACCAAAUGUCAGUAUUUAAUUCGUCAAAUUGCCAUGUCAUCGCGAGUGUAUUUCACACACAUUAUACUUUUAGCUUAUUGUCAAAAAAAUGUUUAAAUGGUUCAAAUUUGGGAGGGUAAAGGUGUUCAAUUGGUACAAGUCUUAGUUGAAGUGUCUAAAUGAAUUAUGCGGACAACUUUGAGGGGCUAUAGAUGACUUAAGCCUAAAUAAAAAUUGCUCCCUUGGAUAUCUCAUAUAUUACUCCCUUUGAUGUAUAUUUCUCGCUGUUUUGUUGCCUUCUUAAUAAAUUGUAUUGAUUAUUUUUUAUUUGUUAUGUAUAUGAUCAUUUGAACAAAAAAUUUUUAUUCUUUUAAUGGUUUCUUUUUUUCCUUCUCAUUAGGCUCUUCUAAAUAUGUUUGGUGUGAGUUAUGACUAUUUUCGACAAGCUUAUUUUAAAGAAUAUAAAAUAAAACUUGAUCUAAAUGAAAGUAAUAUCUUAAGAUACAAAAAGUAUGUCUAUUACUCCAUAUUGUCCUUCAUGUUUCAGGUUAUUGCUAAGCGUUUCAGUUAUCUAGGUUAGACUCAUUUUUAAUUUUUUAAUAUUCUAGAAUUUUUUUUUACGUGAGUCUAGAAUCCAAAAUUUUAAUCUAUCCGUACAUUCAUAAUGCAACAAUUAUACAUACAAGGCUUUCAGAGAAGUAGUUUAAUGAAAAAUAAAUUUUUAAAAGGGUCAAAAAUAUUAUUUUGCUGUUUUUUCAAAUUUAUUUUUCUCCUUCUAAAUUUUGUUAGAGUAAUAGUUACAAAAAGUGGUGAACAUUUGAUCAUAGACAAGUAGAUUCUCUAAAAAAAGUUUAUUUAUGUUGUUUUUGUGUACAUUUUUUAAAGGUUUUAACUUAUUUAUAACUAAUAUUAAUUAUCAAAAACUCUCACAUAAUUUUUUUCGCAGAGUAAUACCAACUAUAAAAUUAUCAGAUUCAAUAUUUUUUUCUGUACAGAAAAAUAAAUAGAAAAAAUGAUGUUUAAUCGCUACAUAAAAACAUCACUCAGUUUUAACAAGACAAACAUAUCAUCAAACAUAGAUUAUAAUAAAUUAUGUAAACUAUAAAAAUAAUUAGAUAUCAAAAUAUUUUUAAUCAUUCAUUAUAUAUUUAUAAUUCUUAUCGAUUAUUAAAAGGUAAUUCAAAAGCUUAAAAAAGUAUUUGUGCGAGCCAAGCGAAGCACGGACAAAAUAACCUAAUAGUAAAAUAUAUCAUUACCCUAUAAAGAACAUGAUGUAACCAUUGGCUUAAUAACUGUAACAUUAAAUUGUUGUUGUCACUGGAUUAUUAAAAAAAUUGAUAUCGCAGGGUUAUUAAAACAUCGGUGUUUUACAAAAAAUAAAAAAUUGUAGCAUCAUUAAGCCAAUGAUAAUAUCAUACUUUAAUAUUUAUUGUUAGAUAGAACAAUGUUCAUCGUAAUACAUUUUAACUGUUAAAUACAUAAUAAUAUUAUAGCAUUUGUUUUACAAAAUUAAGUUUAUUCAUAUUUAUAUGACUUAAAAAUAAUUUAUUAAUAUUAAAAUAAAAAUAAUAACAUAGUGUUAUAUGGUAACUUGAAUUAUAAAUUAAUUGUACAAAUUAAAUUAGGAUUCUUAUUUGUCUUACCAAAAAUAAAAAAUACAUAAUUUCUUGUGUUUUCUUAGUUGGAUUAACGUUCUUCUUUUUCUACAAAAACCAUUGAAGCAACCAACUAUCCACCAUUGAAGCAAUUUGAAACAAUUAUCAUGGUAGCGUUUUCCUCGUAUAUCUUUUUUUACAUAACUUAUUAAGUCUUUUUCGCAACAUGAAUAAACGUUUCAAAGAAAUAUUCUUGUUUUAAUGUAUGAAGAAAUUUAUGUUUUGUAGUGAUGAAGAUAUUUAAAGAAUACGUUUAAGAACUUUUUAGCAAAUUGAAGAAGUUCAAUACAUUAGCCAUGAAAAAUAUUUAAAAUUUUAAAGCUAACUUACCCUAUCAGUCUAAUAUCUAAUAAUUGUGUAUUGCAGGAAACUUUUGAAAUCUCUAAUUUAGAAGAGCAAAAUGCAGAAGGAAUUGAAGAUUCCUUGGAGGAUAUAGAAAGCAACAUGAAUGCAGUUGUAUCUUUUGUUCCUCAACUAGGUGAGCAAGAAUUAAGAGAGCCUUACAUCGGUAUGGAAUUUCAAUCACUUGAUACUGGACAGAUACAUACAUAAUACAUAAAGAUAAGUGACCAUAGCCAAACGUUGGUUUGUGAUGAAUGAAGAAGCAACAAGCAAAUUAAAGCAAUGCGAAAUAUCGUAACAUAAUCAUAAUUUCAUUUUAUCCUAAGGAAUGGAAUGCUAGUUUUGAAGUGGAGGACAAAAUGUGAGGGUCUCUCUCAAACUCAAUCAUGUCAUUCUCCUUCAAACAAAUUGUUACUUGUAUUCCAUCACCAUCUUUUGUGUCCAUGAGAUUAGUUACUCCAUGAUGACCAAAACUAACUGAGCUCACCCAGAAUGGCUUUCCCCAACCAAAGUCAGCUUCAUACCAAGGGAAUCCGCACCAACUAGAGCACGAAUAGAAGUCCAUCUCGUCUCCAUGCAGAAUUUUUUCUAUACAUUUCGUCAGAUUGUUAAAUGCUAAAGAGGAAAUAUCAUCAACGCUUUCCGCCUUACCAAUGGCUUCACAUGUGUCCCGUAUUGUAUUUCUUACCAACUUAACGAAAUCAUUCAACUCAUCAUCCUUUCUUCUUGCCUCAUCGCCCUCCUUGUUAGCAGUUGCUGGUAUUACACAAUUCCCUACAACGUGUUCUAAAGACGGUGCAGUACAUGACAGUUUUCCCCUCAAAUUAACAACAAACACUAAAGAUGAGUCCCUUGAAUUUCCAUUAUUUUUGGCGGAAGAAAUGUGUGUAAGAACCUUCCAUAUUAGGGACAUCACGACCACCACUCUAGAAGGUUGCUUCAUCAUCAUGUCAUUGGCUUUGAUUGUAUUUCUGAGGUUUUCUAUUGCCAAAGCAUCAAAGAGAAACCUCUUUGUAACAUUCUUAUAAUUAGGGGCAGUAGUAGUGUUGAAAUCAGGUAAUGGAAACGGUAGCGCUCUUGCUGGAAAUAGCCAUGGCAAUUGACCAAAACCGGGAUUAUCUAGUGGCAUCGUCCCUGUAAGGGUGGUGUGCGCCCAUUCAUUUACAAAUUUUACUAAAGUGAAAGCAUCAGAUACCAUAUGUAAAAUUUGUAUCCCUAUGGUUACACCUCCGUUAUUGAAUACAUUCACUUGAACACCAAAUAAUGGACUUGAUGGUAGACGAUGCAUUACAGGAAGAAGAUCAAUCAAAGACGACUCAAUAUCAUUAUGGGCUUGACCACGGAGAUAUUGGGCAAGAUCGUCUGCAUUGACUUUGGUUCGAACAUAUUCAAUACCUUCAUCAUUGCAGUCGAUGGAAAAUGGAUCAAUGCCUUUUCUAAAUCUUCCAGCAAAAGGGUAAAACUUGGUUAGCGUCUCCGACAAUGAUUUUUCAAGCUUAUCAUCAUGAUCAUAUGAUGAAGUGCUGUUCGGCAAGUAGUUGAAGACAAUUGGUACAUAUGCACCAAUAUCCAUCUGAUCGAACAAGGAAAGCUUCAAUCUCCGAAGAUUAUCCGGGGUAGGAGCUGAGGGUUUCACCAUUUUCCUUGAUUGAAUUUCAAUAUAACAAUUCAUCUUUUUUUUUGGAUGAAUAAAGUGUUGUUUCUGAAUAAAUCUAUCAAUGUUCAUUCCUAUUAUAUAUAUAGUUUGGCAUGGCGUCAAUCUUUAAUAUAUUGCAUUUAACAUUCAUAAAGUGCAUUGUUCAGAACAAACACUAGUGUAUAUACUACAGAAUUUAUUUGGGCGGUUAAUUACGCUAAAAGUUUUUACAAUUACAAAAUUUUCAGGGUAAAUAUUUUAAAUCAUAUCAGUCAAAUGUCGCUAUAUAUUACCUGUUGCAUUUUCUUGGCAAAAGGUUGUUCUUGAUUUUGGCACCAAACAUGGGAAAUACUUUAUAAACUAGAAACCUAAAAUUCCAAACAAUAUUUUCAAUAGAGUUUAUAAAUUUAUUUCUCCUCAUAACCAAAACUAUUCUGAGAGAAAAUUUACUCACUAACUAAAAAUCGAAAAUUAAGUUUCACUCAUCUAUCAAAUAUUUAAAAAUAAAUUGAGAAUGUGAAAGUAGCAUGUCGAACUAGAAUGUCCUUGAUUGGGAAAGUGAAAACUCAUUUGGACUCAUUUUGUCUUGGGAUAAAGCCAUUCCUACAAUAAUUAGCAUUAUUGUGUGAAACUCUUGUAACUUUGCAUGCCGGAAUUCCAAAAUUACAUCAAAUUUUGCCUUCAACCAAGCCUUUUCCUUUGGAGAUAAAAGAAAGUUACUCUGAAAGUAAGUCUUUUCUUAUUAUACAAUAUCUUCGCUAAAUAAUAAAUUGGGUAAUAAUCAAUCCAAUUAUUUUGAAGAAUUUUUAAGUGUUUAUUAAAAAUAAUAUCUUAAUUAAAAAAUAUAUAUAUUUAUAUUUGACGAAUGUAACCAGAAUUAAUUUAUAUUUUAUUCAUUUUUAUUCGAACGACAAAACCAUUUUAAAAUGGAUUAAUCAAACUUAUAACCAUAUAAUAUAAUAUAUAUAUAGGUUUAGUCUAUUUUUCCACCCCUACAAGUGACAAUUAAUUUUAGGGCCUCAUACGCAACAUUCUUCUACGUGAAUCGGCUGAAAAAGUUGAGAAGGAUUUAAAUGUCAUAACUUAUUAAUAAUUUUUCAGAGCUAUAAAACUUUUUGGAGUAGGAUUUGCUGGUUUCUAGAAUUUACUUCAAAUAUAGUGAAUUUUUCAAUGGUGGAAUUAAUUCCUUUAAGUAGUCAUCCAAAAUUUAAGAGUUGUCUAUAAUUAAUUUUUAUUGUUUAGAAAAUAAUAUCACCCAUACAAAUACUAUAGGUAAAACAGGUUAAAUAAAUAUAUUUUUUAAAACAAGAGUAGAACUUUAACAAUCAAGUUGGAAAAAUAAUAAAAUUCUGUAUAAUUUAAUUUGUAAUUAAUAAUAUAUAACUAUAAUGCAUGGAGAUAUUUAUGGGAAAAACUUAUAUGCGUUGUAUGUUUACACUAAGUCAAUGCAAAAUACAUUAUUAAGUGAUUUAAUGAAGUAAAAUGAAUUAUAAAUUAAAUAUAUGGUAUGUAUGUAUUGAUUUGGUGUAAACACCCGAUGCAGUUAAGUUUUACCCUUAUUUAUGUGUUAUCUUUAAAUUAUAUUAAAAGAAUAAUGGUGAGAUAAUGACAACACUAGAGCUGUCAAUAUGAGCUAGUCAACCCAUCCGGGCUAACCCAUACAUGCUUUGACAUUUUAUGGGUCAGGUCGAGCUAGCCUAUUUUUUACGUGGGUAGAAAAUGGUUGACCCAACCCACAAGUAUGUGUGCAACAGGCUUGCUGGGUCAGCCAUUUUUUAAAAAAAUUAUAAUUUUUUUUAUAAUUAUUAAAUUAAAUUAUAAAUAUAUAACUUACAUAAAUAUUAUAGUGUAAAACCUAAAUUACCUUCCCUAUUAUUUUUUAUAAUUACAUAAAUCUCAUAUUUUCUAGGCAUUUCAGAUACAUAAUUAAGGAUCCGGAUACAUUAUUGUUGAUAUAUUAUGUAUCAAUCUGUAGCACUUAUUAAGGGAAAAAACUGUAAAAUCAAUUUAAAAUCUCAUAGUAUCCAUUUGUUCCACUAAUUAAGGGGAAAAACUGAAAAUUAAAUUAGGAUUCCACAAAUUACGUUAUUCCAUUCAAAAUUAUUAUCAAGAAUUCAAAAUCCUAUAGUGUAACAAUCCAAAAAAAUCACAAAAUUAAAUUUCUUCUUGUUCAUCGUUCUCUCUGUUUCAUAAAAAAAAUUGUCAAAAUUUUGAAAAGCGGGAUGAGUUAUAAAGGAUUGUAUGGAAUCGUUGUUGGACAAACGAUUUCUUUUGUAAAUUUUCAAGUUCAUCGAAUAUCUUUUCGAUUUUGAUUCAAGAUUAUUAAAAAUUUUGAGAUUCUAAAUUUUUCUCCAGUCAUUCAUUGAAGAUCCUUUCCAUUUUGAUUCAAAAUUGACGAAAAUUUUGAAUUUCAAAAUUAUUCUCCUAGUUCAUUGAAGAUUCUUUCAAUUUUGAUUAAAAAUUAUCAAAUUUUUUGAGAAGAUCCUGUCAAUUUAAAUUGAUAAGUGUUGUAUUUCUACUUGGUACACUAAAUAAGAAAGUGUUGCCCACAAAAUUUUAGGUUUGAGAUCUAUACAUUAUUAUUUGGCAAUUGUUAUGUUACAAAUACAUUGAGUGUAAAUUCAAAUUUACGUACAUAACUAAAAAAUUAGUGUAUGAUAUAUUAUAUUUAUGUAUGUUCUUUUGUUUGAGAUCAUGAAGAUCCUUUCGAUUGAAUUGAUAUAUAUUAUAUUUUUACUAGAUAUAUUAAAUAAGUAAGUGUUGCCCAUAAGAUUUUAAGUUUGAGAUCGAUAGAUUAUUGUUUGGUAAUUGUUAUGUAUAAGAUACAUCUAGUAUAAAUUUAAAUUUACGAAUCAUAACAAAAAAAAUAGUGUUUGAUACAUUAUUAUUUAUGUAUGUUAUUUUAUUUGAGAAAUACGACACUUUAAAUUUUUUCAAAAGUACAUUACAGUAAUUGUUUGAGAUCGAUAUAUUAUUGUUUGGUAAUUGUUACGGAUCAGAUACAUUUAGUAUAAAUUUGAAUUUACGUAUCAUAACUAAAUAAGCGUUGAUACAUUAAUCGUUAAGUAAGAUACAUUACAUUUUAUACAUGAUACAUUAAUCUGAGAUACAUUAAUUUGAUGCGCUGAUACAUUAAUUUAAUGCGCAAAAAUGAGGGAUUUUGAAAAUUUGUAAAACAAUAUAUUUAAAACUCGAGCAUAUGUCCUUUCUCGAUUUCUUCGCUCACAGACGCAUCACGAAUAUAAUUUGAUAUUGUGUACGAAAACAUAUUCUUCUAAAUUUGAAUAACCGUAGAAGAUACAUAGCAACACUAGAUACAUGAUAAAAUGAUACAUUUAGUAGAGACUACUUCUUUUCAUUUCAUAAUAUAGUUUCACCAGCAAAAGAGGAUCUCCUAAAACUAAUUUUUUUGCAGGAAACAAUAGAAUACAUCAUAUCUUUUACCUUUUCCUUAUGCAUAUUGUGAAGGUGAAAAUGGAGGAGAAUCACGGUAAUUCUUUGGAAAAAAUUGUAAAGCAAAAACUUGAGUUGUUUUGAAAAAAAUUGUGGAGAGAUAUUACUGAAAAUAGAAAGAAUAUUAAAAAAUGAAAGAAGUAAAGAUUAAGGGAGUGAAAAUAGGAAGAGAUAGAGUGAGUAAAAAUGAGAAGAGGAUGAGUGAGUGAAAUAAGGAGUAAAAAUAGAAAAAAAAUGUGUAUAACUUUAUGUAUCUGGAACAAUGGGUUUGAAAGGAAAAAGAGAAAAAGAGUGAUUUUAGAAAUAUUUUUAAAUGAUAGGAAAUAAUAGAAAUUAUGAAAAAUAAAAGUUGUGUAUAUAGGUAAUUUAUCCUUUUAUAUGUAUAUAUAUAUAUAUGCAGUGUUAUUUUUCAAUGAAGUGGAUCCAUGUGAACCCACUUGACCCUAUAUGGGCCCGCCCCUGCCUACCUAUAUUUCUCAAUUCUUACAAAUCAACGGACUUAUUUAGGCCGGAUUAAAAAACUUUUUUCUUAAAUGGUCUUCAAAAAUCUUAAUUCAAACCCUAUUAAAUCCCGAAUUAGGUCAGAUCGACCCAACGAGCCUAGCCCAUAUUGAUUGCUCUAGACAAUACCUACUUUGUCCCCUCUACUCACUAGGCCACCAAACCCCUAAUCAAUUAAAUCAAAGUUAACAUGUUUUUCUCAAUCCACUUGUAAUUAUCAUAGUUUUUUUAAGAGUAGAAUAAAAAUAUUUUUUUUUUGCGAAUUCACUCACGUCAUUCUUAUGCAUGAAACGCCAGACUGAUUACUUCAAAUGUUGUGCCAAAGCUAGCUGCAUUGGGUUAAAUUUCCCCAAGCAAAGUAGUCGGAUAAAUGUGUAUGGCGUCUCCUUGAACAAAAUUUGUUAAUGAUUUCAUCUACGCUAAUGCUGAGAGGUGUGUUCCUUGCUCUACUUAUUCUAACAAACACAUGUAACUAUUAGGAACUAAAGGACUGGAUUAGGAACCACUCCCUACUUUCGUGCUUUCUAUUUGUUAAUCGUCUGUUAGACUAACAAGCUAAGACAAGAAAUAUUUUUAUUUAAUAGGAUCCCAAGCUCCAGGAGCUACAUACAUAAAAGAUAACAUUGGCUUGUGAUGAAUGAAGAAAACAAGCAAAGCAAUAGAAAACAAGAAAUAUUGCGACAUUUUAUCCAAAGGUUAGUUUGGAAGUGGAGGACAAAAUGUGAGGGUCUCUCUCAAAUUCAGUCAUGUCAUUUUCCUUCAUAGUAACAAUUAUUUCUAUUCCAUCACCAUCUUUUGUGUCCAUCAGAGUAGUUUGUUCAUAAAUACGGAAGGAAACAGGGGUCACCCAGAAUGGUUUUCCCCAACCAAAGUCAGUUUCAUACCAAGGUAAUUUGCACCAACUAGUGGUGCCAUAAAAGUCCAUCUUGUCUCUUUGUACAAAUUUUUCAAUAACUUUUAUCUGAUUGUUAAGAGUUAGAGAGUAAAUAUCAUCAACUUUUGACGCCUUAUCAAUGGCUGCAAAUGUCUCCCCUAUUCUAUUCCCUACCAACUUUACGAAACCAUUCAACUCAUCCUUUCUUGCCACAUCGCCCUCCAUAUUAGCAAUUUCUGGUAUUGAAAAAGUCCCUAGAACAUGUUCUGUAGACGGAAUACAUGACACUUUCCCCCUGAAACUAAUAACAAAUCCGAAACACGAGUCCCUUGAAUUUCCAUUUUUGGCGGAAGAUAUGCGUGCCAGAACCUUCCAUAAUAAGGACAUAACGACCACCAGUCUUGUAGGCUUCCUCAUCAUACUUGAAUCAUCUUUGAUUGUUUUUUUGAGGCUUUCUAUUGCCGAAGCAUCAAAGACAAACCUCUUUGUCACAUUCUUAUAGCUAGGGACAGUGGUAGUAGUACUACUAGUGUUGGGAUCAAAGGAUGGCAACUGUAGCAUUUUUGGUGGAAACAGGGAUGAUAAGUCACCAAACUUGUGGAGGUCAUUAUUAUCUUGAGGCAUCGACGACAACGUGUUAGUGUGCGCCCAUUCAUUUACAAAUGUAGCUAAAGUGAAAGCAUCAGCUAGGAAAUGUGAAAUUUGUAUCCCUAUGCUUACUCCUCCAUUAUUAAAUACGUUCACUUGGACACCAAAUAACGGACUUGAUGGCGAUGAUAGCUCAACAUCUUUUAUUGGAAGAAGAUCAAUCAAAGACGACUCAAUAUCAUCAUCGUCUUUACCCAGAAAUUGAGCAAGAUCGUCUGCAUUGACUUUGGUUCGAACAUAUUCAACACCUUCAUCAUUGCAGUCGAUGGAGAAUGGAUCAUCUUUUGCUAAUCUUCCAGCAAAAGGGUAAAACUUGGUUAGCGUCUCCGCCAAUGAUUUUUCAAGCUUAUCAUCAUCAUAUGAUGAACUGCUGCUCGGCAAGUAGUUGAAGACGAUUGAUACAUAUGCAGAACGAGCCAGCUGAUCAAACAAGGAAAUCUUCAGUCUCCGAAGAUUAUCUGGUGUAGGAGCUGAGGGUUUCAAUAUUUUCCUUGUCUGAAUUUCAAUAUCUAACUUCGCCAUUACCAUUUAGAUUUGGUUGAUGACAGAUACUAUAAUAACUUUAAUUCUCUCUUUCAACUUUGUACUAUAUAUAUAGAGAAUUCCCCAACUUUUUAAUCUUUAUUAGUUUAAUACUCAUCCAUCUGAUUAGUAUUUAUUAAGUACUACUCCAUCAUAACACAUGGAAAAUAAAAAAUUUAAGUAAACAAUUUAGGUCAUGUGUUGCACUUUCUUCAUCCUAUCAAAUAAGAUUGUGAAAAUCUCACACAAUAUUCUCUUUUGAUUAUGUAAAAUCACGUUCACACUAUCCCUCAUAAUCUGCAACAUAUCCGGCUUCAAAUUAAUUUAAUACUACUAAUUACUAUAAUUCUUUCUAUGUAAGUUAAAUAAUCUUCAAUUUAUCAUUUGUACAUAACAAACAACACAACAUACUCUUUCUAACUCUUAUCUUUCAUGAUUUUAUUCAAAAACUUUUUUCUAAUAAAUCAUUGGAUUAAAACGACGUGACCAGAAAAUAACACUUAUACUCCCAAAAAUAUGUUAAAUAUUUAACCUUAAAUGUCUCAUUACUUUCAUAUUCGACAUAUAUACGGGUGGAUUCGAUUGAGUAAUUUUUUCAUCAUACUAAUAUGCAAAAUAUCACAAUUUAUAGUACUUUUUGUAUAGUUUUUAAAUGUUUUUUGUUUAAAAUAUCGAAUUAAUGUGUUCUAAUUUAACUUUAAAAAUAAAUCAAGUUUAUUUGUAGAUAUUGAAAUUUUAUGAGACUCUACAAGGUGCAUUCAAUUCGAGUUGAGACUGUACAAAUUGUGUUCAACUCAAAUUAAAAAUUUUAAAAAUUAUUCAAUCCUAAACUCUAGUUCAUGCCUAUAUAAAGUAGUAUAAAAUUAUCCUAAAAAAUAUUUCAAAGUACUCCAUAAACUCUGGAAUAUUUUUUAAAGAUCAAGAUCUCAAAGAUAAUUCCAAUUCAUAUGCCUGGCAGGCCAUUAGUCAACUCUACAGACUGCCCACAUGUUUAUGCAACUUUUCAAGCCUUAAGUUUAUUUAUUUAAUAAACAUGGCACGGAAAUUGGAUUAAACAAUUAAUUUAGGGCUUCAAUUAUCAUGUGUUACGUUGUGUUAACUCUAUCUGACACCAAGGACAUAUGAUCGGGUUGAUUUAGAUUUUUUAAAUAUUAAAUUAAAUUAUUUGUAUAGAUUUUUAUAUUUAUGAGUCAAAUCAAACAAAUAAAGUUCAGAGUUUUGAAUUUUUCAAUCUCUGAUUGGUUUGAGUUUUUCAAAUACCAAAUCAAAUUAUUGUAUUGAAUUUUUAAAUUUACAAAUCAAAACCAAACUAAUAAACUUUAAAUUUUUCCAGAUUUUUAGAUUUUUUAUGGGUAAACCUUACAUACAAACAUAUGAUUAACUUGUGGUUUAAAUAUUUCUUUUGUUCCAACUUACAUACAAUUAUCUAAUGUUUCUUAAAAAAAUAACACAAAAAUAUUAAAUGAGUAUUGAUGACACAAAAAUAUUCAGUAAAAAAUGAUAAUAAAAUUAUUAUAUAAAAUAAAUAUUGUAAAGUCUUAAUAAAAAUAAUCAAAAUUUAAAAGUACUAAAUUAUGCUAAAAUAAGUUUAAUAAGUAUUAGUUACAUUAUUAAAUAUUUAAGAAAAAUUAAUUAUUUUUAAAUCAAGAUGGAACCUGGUGAGGUAAAACAGAAAAGGGGUGGCUAUGCCUUACCCUCGAUAUACAUCACAGAUUGCAAAGCAUCUGUCCAAAACUUGAAUCCAACAGUAAUUAUUUAAUAAUGGUGUGUUAAAUAAAAAUAUGAAAUAUAUAAAAGAAGGUACUAGUUUAAUUUUUGUUUUUUGUCACUUUUAUCCUUUUUCUUUCCAAUGAUGUCUUCUUUCCCGAUUAGAUUGUCCAAAACUUGAAUCCAACAGUAAAUUGAAUCAAAGAAAAUAGUAUUGGAUUAUCAAAUUAACAGGUUUAUAAUGACAUAAUAAAAUAAAAAAAAAGGAAAAAUCUUUUUGACAUUUUAUUUUUUGAAAUAUUUUUUUUUCUUUAAUAUUUUUUAACUAUAAAAAGAAAAAAACACUAGUUUAUUUUAAAACGAAAAAAAUAUGAUUGUUUUUUUAAUUUUUUAGUCAUUUAACACUUUUUAAAAAAAAUUACAAUUGACUUAUCUAUUUGAUAUUGAUUUUUAGUAUUGAAUUAUUCGAUAAGCCGAUAACCUAUUAAGACGAUAAUAAUAUUAGAUUAUUCGAUAAGCCGACAAUGAGUGCUACAUACCUCACACGACAUAAUACUUCUACUUCAUCUCAAAAGUUCUGUAUUGUGUUUUGAUUGUAAGUUGUAGUAUAUUAUUGUAGUUUACUUACUAUAUCUACUCUUAUUGAUGCAAUUUCUCAUUAUAUUUUUUAUUUUGCUAUGUCAAAAUAUUUAUAUUAAAUUCGCUUAUCUCACUAUAUCUUAUCAGAUUGUUAAAGAAGUGAAUUAUUAUAUAUUUAUUUUAUGAAAAAUAAUUAUUGGAUAAAUCAAAAAACUGAACCAUUACAUUAAAAAAAUAUUAUCAGUUUACUGUAUUUAAAAAUCAAUAAUAUAUAAAUUGAAUCACAGCACCGAUGCACGCCCCCCUUCCCACUACCUCAAAAACCCAAAAUUUAAUUUCUCUUAUUAAUGCAAGUAUGUGUUCUUUCCCAAUACUUUAAAUUUAAAAAAUAAAGUGUCCUUUCCCAAUAUCUCAUAAAACCGAAAAUUUAAUUUAUGGCCUAAGUCAUAUUUCACUUAAACACUUCAACUAAGAAAUGUACUUAUUAAAUAUUUACACCUUCAAAAAUUUAUAUCUAUUUGACACAAAUUGACAAUCAAUUAAAAAAUAAAAAUGCGUGUAUCUCAAACGCGAAUUCACAUUAAUUACCAAUAAUAAGAUGACACGUGGCAUUACAUUUAAUUUUUAUUAAAACCUCUAUAUAAUUAAUUCAUAAAGUAUUUUAAAAAAUUAAAAAAAAAUAAUCUAUUUUUUUAUUAAAGCCUCCACCCUUCCCACUUUCCUCCUCCUUCAAAAAUAUCCAUUUUGGAGUUGGUGUCGCUCCAUCUCUUUCUUCUCUUUCAUUGGUAUCAAUACAUACAAUGACACACCAUUGUUAUCUAUUCAAGCUAAAUAUGUAUUAUCUUUCAUUUCGAUAGCAUUAAAAAUUUUCACUCAUUGUCUCCAUCUUUUAUACAUUAGAAAUAAUUUAUUAGAAUUGAAAAAAAUUAACAGACUUUUGCCCAAAAAUAUCUAUUCAUAUUUUUUUAUCAUUGUAAAUGAAACUUUUUCGAGAUAUUUGAGAUGAAAAUCGAAUAAGAAAAAAGAGGAAAAUAGGAAAGAACAAUGAGGGUGAGAGAAAGAGAGGUGGAGGAAGUGUGGUGCGCGUGCCCGUGUAAAAAAAAAGAAGAUAAAAAUGGUGAAAGAAUAAUAUGAUAGAAAGAGGGAAGAAGACAACCGUCCUUCUUCUUUUUUGUUAAUUAAUUUUUUUAAAAUUAACUUAGGGGUAUAGUAAGAGCGCAUAUAUAUAUAUAUAUAUAUAUAUAUACACACACACACACACACAAAUAUCUCGAGUAUAAAAAUAAUUUAAUUUAUUUUGCUACAUUUAUUUUUUAUUUAUUUUUUAUUUUAUGAUAAAGAAUUUUUAAAAUUUAUUGAUACAAAAUAAAGUUCAAUAAAUUUUCUCUAUAAAUCAUUAUAGUUGUGUGACCUUUUGAGAUAUUAACUCUAAUUUAUUAAGAUGACAAUUAUUUAGUCUCAAAUAAUUUAAGUGAGGAAACAGUAAAUAUGACAAUAAAAUUUUUCUUUUCCUAUUUAGUUAAAAAUGUUAUAAAAAAAUAAUAUUAUCCGUUAAUUAUCUACCUUGACUCCAUUACAUGAAAUAGAAAAUUUCAUAAUAACUCUAGGGUAUAAUUGGAAAGAAUAUUUUUUGUAAACUUGUAAACCACACACAAAAUUAGUUAAGAAACAAUGAAUCAAACACUUGAUAAAAAUAAUCUCUGUAUUACUAAUCUCUGCAUUACCAAUCCAUGUAUUAAUAAACCCUGCAUUACUAAUCCCUUCAUUAUUGAUCUUUGUAUUAAAUGAUCCUUUAAUUAAUUACUUUGAAAACGGUAGAACUUUUUGAAAAUCUUAAAAUUUUAAUUCAUUCACUUCAUAAUUAAUAGAGGUAAAAUGGUAAUCUCACUAUGUCAAUAAUUAUUUUCAUAAUAAGUGUAUCAGUAGACAAAUAAUUAAGGACAGAGAAAAUAAUAAAUAUAAUGCCUUAAAAAAAUAUAAUAGAAAAAUGACUAUAAUUAAUAAAAAAUAAUUAUAAACUAAGUAUAAAAUUUUUCUAUUAAUUAUAUAAAAUAGAUAAAUAUUAUUAGAUAUCCUAAUAUUGAGGGCAAAUAAUAUUAAACUAAGAAAAUAUUCCUUAUUAGCAUAUUUUGUACUUUCUCUAUUUUAUAUUUAAGUAAAUUUGCGAAACGAUCGAGAGAAUAAAAGUUGACAACAUUGUACAAAUAGAACACCAUUUUUUAUUUUUAUCUUCUAAAUUAUUGUGCUAAUUACUCCCCAUUCAUUUAUAUAUGUCGGCUAUACUAAAAUAAGUUGUACAACAAUAUUUGUAAUAAUUUAUUUUUUUUUUCAUGAUGUUCUAACAAAAAUUGUAUUUUAAUUUUUUUAUAAUUAAUUAAAUCAAAAAUUAUUAAUUUUGAGAGUCAAUAAAAUUCGUCAUAACAUUUAAAUAUUUAAGUUAUUAGUCAUCGUGAUAUAUAUAUAUAUAUAUAUAUAUAUAUAUAUAUAUAUAAAAGACUAAAAAAAAGAUAACUCUUAUUAUAUGGAAUGGACAAUCUCUUUACAUGAAUUAUUUUUUUACAAAAUUUAAAAUAAUAGAAUUUUGUCUUUUUAGAAAAUAUGAACUUAUGGGUUAAAUUUUAUAUUUUAAAUAAUUGAAAAUUUUUAAUCAUGUUUUUUUAAAAUUUUGCAAUAUAAAAUCAUGAUAAUGGCUUAUCCAAAUGUUGAUCAUGAUAUGAAAGUAGGUUUUACCUCUUUUAUUCUGAAUUGUCUCAUAUAAGGCCUCUUUUUUUAUGAUAUUUGAGGCACUAAUAAAUAUAAAUAAAUAAAAAUAUGUACAUUUACUACUAGUACUAUUUUAUUGCUUCAUUUGUGUUCUUCCACUUUUUCAGUAAAAGGUUCAACCAUUUUCUCCAAGUCCUUCAAGUCUUGCUUCACAUCUUCAACCUGUGAACCCAUUAUAUUUGUCAUAUUAGAGAGACUAAACCAGCUGAAAAUAAUUAUAAUUAAUAAAAAAUAAGACAACGAUUUUUACGACAUAUGAUAUUAUAUUAGAUAUAGAUACAAAACAAUUUGGUUUGCAAACCUUGUGAAUGAAAUUACAAGUAAAUUGAGCAUCUUUAGCAACCACAGCAGAUGCAUUUUCAAUUGCUACAGCUGCUUCUUUGAGUAAACUAUUUUCAGGCAGCUUAACGGCAACCACUGCCAUUACAUUUUCCGUUUUAUUCGCCACCAUCGCUACUACCUCCGCUGCUUCUUCCACCUCUUCCGCCACCUUCUCUACCUUUCCUGAAUAAACAUCAAUGAAGAUUUUUUUAUCACUUCAGCCUAUUCUUGUAGCAUUUAUGUUAGACGUGUUGAAGUAUGUGAUCUAUUGUUAAAGAAUGACAUGGUAUCAGAGCAGAUCUUUGUGUGAACUCUUUUUAAGAGUUGGGCAAUUCUGCUCUCUUUGAGCUAGCUUUUAGGCUGUGAGUUAAACCUAAAAUCUAAUUUCACAUGGUAUCAGAGCAGAAUCCACCCGAUGUUGGUGUUAAAAAAUGACAAAAAUCUCACAUCGAUUGUUAAUGAGAUGGGUGGACUCCUUAUAAGGAUUGAAUAAUCCACAAUCCCUCUGAGCUAGUUUUUAGGGUGUGAGUUUAGACCUAACACCUAAUUUCACAUCUAACUCGUCUAAAAAGACUAUUCAAUAUUCAUUUAAAUUAGAAAAAAUCAUACCUUCAAUUCUUCGAAUGCUAUCCCAAUUUUCCUUCCAAAAUGGGAGGAAUAUUGAAAGUAUGGAUCCCAAAAGACAUUUUGCCCUGUAAUAGUACACUAGAUCAAAAUUCAUAUGAUCAAUCACAAUAAUUGGAAAGGGAAAAAAAGAUGACAAUAAUUAAUAAUUGCAUACCAAACAAAUAAAUUGGGCUUAGAAGGAGGUGGCUCAACCGGAGGAACCUUGCUUGCUUCAUUUUUUACCCUUACAGAUGCAAUCAAGAACCAAGGUUAUAUUUUCUGCUUAUCUCUAAACAAAAAAAUGAGUAGAGAAGAAUUAGUUACCGAUCCUUCUUAUUGGGAAUUCGAUACUCUCCUGAACUGAUAAACCGUAAUCCUGGACUUGCUGAACCACGACAAGUGAUCCUAGUUGUUGGAACUAUGCCAUGUAACUGAGAGGAUGUAGCAUCAAAGCGAACUCUAUAGUACUGGUGAAGCAACGUAACAAGACUCCGGAUUUUGUAUGAAGAUGAAGAAUUUGCAGACAUGGUUAACCAACUAAAAUUGAAGCGCGAGGAAUUAAAGAGUAGAAAUCAGAUACGUAAGUUGGAAUGAAUUGCUGUUAUUUGAACAGUUAAUAGCAUGCGAGAAAGAAGAUCCUAACACGCCAAGAAAUGAAAGAAAUUGCUUAUUUUACGUGACUUCAAGCUAAAAGUAACUUUAAGAAUUGGCUAACAAGUAACCUGUUCCUUGUAAGCUAAAACCAAUAUUGUAACUCCUCAUAUUGUUAUUGUGCCUAUCUUCAAUAAAAAUGUGACGAAGCUACAAGUACAUUCUUAUGCAAAAAUUCAAAUGUAUUGCUCCUAAAUCUUCUGAAAACAGUUAAAACUAAUCAGGACAAGUAAAAUCGUAUUACAAUACUCAGCAACAUGAACUAAAGAUACCAACCAUUUAUUGAAACUGCGUACAGUGAUGGUAAAUAAUUUAAUUAAAAAAUACAUCUAAGGUGACACUUAACUUGGAAAAAUGAAUUUUCAAUUUGUCAUGAGCCAGCUUACAUUGAGAUUUGAGCGGCAGCUUCUGUGAUUCAGUCCUAAUCAGCCGUCCAAUAUACUAAAAACUUCAAAAAAAAGUCCAACAAUAAGAAACACAUACACUAAAACAAAAUUAGGAGAAAAAGAAAGAAAAACAAAAGGCAUUCAUCGUAGCGUAUGAACUAGGCUGUAAGCUCUUGCACACAAAAUUUGAAACAAGGCAGCUAUAUGUACGUUAUUUCUCAUCCGUCCUUAAACAAUUAACUGCGGUCAUGUCCUUCCAUAUUGAUCGAAAGCUGAUCUCUGAAUCUCUUGUUAAUCCAACCAGCAAAACUUGUAGCAGCUAUUAUUGCAACCCACAGGUGUAUCAUUCUAUAGUUUGUCCGCUUCAAUGUUUUAAUACUUGCCCGCGUAUUUGUCUGCUUCCAGAAUUCGAACCCUCACCACCAUCAUCACCACCACCAACACCACCAAAUUUCACACCAAAAGUUACUCUUUCGCAUUCUCCAAAUAAACACACUGUUUCCAUCCUCUUGAUCCUUCUAAUUUCAGUCUUGGGCAUUGCUAUCUACAUAUUAUGUGCCUACGCCAUUCACAAAUUCCGCAACUCAAGAACUUCUUCACAACCGGAGCAACAAGUAGGAGGAGGAGGAGAAGAAGAGUUUAGUGAUAUUCAAACAGUGGGUCUUCAGCAAUCAGUAAUAAGCGCCAUCACAAUCCACAAGUAUAAAAAAGGUGAAGGGCUAAUUCAAGGAACAGAGUGCUCUGUUUGCUUGAGUGAGUUUCAAGAAGACGAAACUCUUAGGAUUUUGCCAAACUGUAACCAUGCUUUUCACAUACCUUGCAUUGACACUUGGCUCGAAUCACACAUCAAUUGUCCCAUGUGCCGUGCCGACAUUGUCAUCAAAAUUCCCAACACUGCAGCUUUCAUUGAGCAAAACGCGUGAUCAUCUAAAUUGUUGAGAAACAUACUUUUAUUUACUUUUAUAACAUGAACAUGCCUCUUAGCUUAUAUUCAGACAUAAUUCUUUUCCAUGUUUUUUUUUAUAAUGGAUAGCUAUGAGAUUCAAACUCAGGGUCUUUGCCACUUUAUAACAUACUAAUGAAAUGUGUGACUAUUUUAUCUAAAAACUAAGUUAAUAGACAAAGUACACUUUAUUUUCUUAGUCAUCUCUAUAUUGCAUAAUUAGCGCUGAGACUUGACCAGGAAAAUCGUGCAGAAAAUACCACGGACUUAAGGAUUGACAUUCGAAAAAAAGACGAUUCAGGAGAUCUAAGUACUUUGGGCAUCAGUGUAAGUUCAAUGGAAGAUGUGGUGAAUGCUCCUGAAGUCUGAAGGAGAGAAAUAAAGUUCAUGAUGGAAGAAGUACUUAAACAGCGGAAGCAAAAAAUCCAUAAACUUUGCAUGUGAAAUAGACAACAUACAUAUCAAAUUUUAUUCAAACAUAAAUCAAGGAAUACCUCUUGAAGUGUGUGAUAAUCUUAUGAACAUCUUUGAUCCGCAAUCUUCUGUUGUGUGAUCCCAGUAACAACAGGACUUAAGACUCGUGUGAGAAAGUCAGCUUCUCAGAUAACUGACAUUGGUUAAAGUGAAGCUUGUACACUCUGGAAUGAAAAAUAGUGCAAUAUUUCAUUGAAAAUACUGUGAUGCCAAGAGCUUUAAACUAUCAAUGCAUAUGAGUAGUUAAUUUCUUGGAACAAUGAAUGUCCAACUUGCCAUGAGCCAGCUUAGAUUGGGCAGAACAAGGAGGAAAAACAAUGGCAGCUUUUGUAAAUCUGUCUUACUCAGCCGUCUGAUAUACAGAAUUCACAAAAGUCCAAUAAGAAGAACCACAGAAUUGAAGAAGAAAAAAUAAAGGGCAUUCAUUGUCAUGUUAUAAUUUCGUUAGGAUCCAUGAUGUAAGAUGCUCCAUAUUCUCUUGGACACAAAAUUUGAAACAAGUCACAAGCCAGCAGCUAUAUGUAUCAUGUAUGUUUCUUCUCAUCUCUUGUUAAACAAUUAGCUGCAGCCAUGUCGUUUCAUAUUGAUCGAAAGCUGAUCUUUGAUAAUUCCACCGGCAAAACAUGUGGCUGCUAUUAUUGCAACCCAGAGGUGUAUCAUUCUAGAAUUUGUCCAGUGUCCUGUUUUUAUAUUUGCCAGAAUAUUUGUCUUUUUCCAGACAUUGAACUACCAAAAGAUUUCACAACUGAAGUUCCUCUUUCGCAGUCUCCACAAAAAGACACUGCCUCCAUCUUCUUGAUAAUUCUGUUUACAGGCUUAGGAAUUGCUGUCUACAUAUUUUGUUCCUUCGUCAUUCACAAAAACUCAAGAACUUCUUCACAGCCGGAGCAGGAAGUAGUAGUAGAGUAUAAUUAUGUAUAAUCCUACUAUGCAGAGUUUAAAGUAGAUAUGGAAGUUAUUUUCAAAAGAUUGUUAACUCAAAAACAUCAAACUCAAGUAAUAUUAAAUAUGAAUUAAUAUAAAUAUUAUAGUAAAAUAUUUUUGUAAAUCAUUAUAUGUGAGGGCACAUAAAAAAAAGAUAAUUAUACACUUUAUUUGACUAUAAAAAUCAAUCCUUUUAAAAAGAUUACUUAUUUCAAAAUUUUACUUUAGAAUUGGAUUGCAAAUUUAAAAAUGUAUUUUUUGACAUUAUUAUUCAAGUGAGUAAAUUUUACAAUGUAUAAAAUUCAAUAAUACCAUGGGAAAAUUUAACUCCAUAUAUUAUAUUAUACUAUAAUAUAAAGUUGCCUCUUUGAUUUUCUACCUAUAAGGUCUUAAUUAGAGCAGGUAAUAAAUGUCCAAUUUGCCAUAAACCUGUUGAGGUUUGGUGAGACAAGCAGGAAAAAAUGGCAACUUAGGUAAAUCAGUCCUCCAUUAUCAGCCGCCUAAUAUUACUAGCCUUCCUAAAAGUCAAAUAACAAGACAAAUGUCUUUCAUCCAUCUUACACUUUCGUUACAAACUAGGCUGCAAACAAAAAAAAAAUGCUCUGUUUUCUUCACGUAAACAACCAGUAGCAGCCAUGGUGUUCCAUGAUCGAAAGCUCAUCUUUGAAUCACUUGAUAAUUCUACUGGUAAAACUUGUAACAGUUAUUAUUGUAACCCAAAAGAGAAUCUUUCUCCAAUUUGUCCAAUUUCAUGUAUGUAUAUUUGUUACCCAAUUUGUAGUUUUCCCCUGUUUUCUGAAAUCGAACCACCAUUGCCACCAAACUUUUUCACCCCCAAAGUUCCUGUUUCUCAGUCUCCACAUAAACCCAUUAUUUCUAUGUCCUUGAUUAUUCUGUUUUCUGUCUUGGCUACUUCUUUCUUCCUUUUUUGUUGCUUCGUGGUUUACAGAAUUCGCAAAGCAAGAAUUUUGUCACGACCGCAGGAACCAGUUGAAGAAGAAGAAGAAGAGUUUGGUGAUAUCGUUGAUGAAGAUAUUCAUGGACCUAUGGUGGAUCACCCUAUAUGGUAUAUUAGAACAGUGGGUCUUCAACCAUCAAUCAUCAGUGCCAUCACGAUUUGCAAGUAUAAAACAGAGGAAGGAAUAAUUGAAGGAACAGAUUGCUCUGUUUGCUUGUGUGAGUUUCAAGAAGAUGAAACUCUUAGGAUUUUGCCAAACUGUAACCAUGCUUUUCACAUACCUUGUAUUGACACUUGGCUUAGAUCACAUACCAAUUGUCCCACGUGCCGUGCCGGCAUUGUCAUUGCCCCAGCUGCUGAUCCAUCUUUCCCUGAACAGGUAUUCUUAAAAGCGUAUGAUCAUUUCCUUUAAAAGUCGUAGAGAAAAUUUAAUUUUAUUCAAUUUGGUUUUGUAAGUGAAUGUGAUAGCGAGGUGUAGCUUACUCACCUUUGAGCCCAGUGUUUAAGUAUGUGAUUUAUCUUAUUUGAACGAAUGAAUACAAAUAAUUAUGUCCGUUUUGCAGAUUUCAGGGCGGAGACAUGAAGAAGAAGCUCAUUCGGGAAAUUCAGAGAAUGGCACAGAAUUAUCUCUUGACAUGGAAAACGAAGGCGAGUCAUUAGAACUACGUAGUAUGGAUAUGAGUGGAAAUUCCAAGGAAGAUGUGGGGAAUGGUACUAAUGAAGGAGUACUGUUAAGUGAAUUUAGUGCGUCAAGGAGAUCAACAUCAUUUGAAUCUUUAUCUACAGCUUCAACAUUAACUUGUACUUCAGUAUCACAGAGUUGUGAGAUGUCAGCACGAAUGAAAAAUCUUUGUUUGGACAGAGCAAUGCAAGAACAUCAAAUGAUAAGAAGAAGCCAGAGUGCUGUUCUUCUUCGGUGAAGCUUGGCUACAGCAAAGCGCCUAAUUCCAGCUCCUUUUCUUAGAUAAUCCAUCAGACAUAUGAAAUGUCUCAACAACUCUUAUAAAGAUGAGAGUUUUCCCUUUCCCUUACCCUUAUCCCACUCUCCUCCCAUUGAAAAUCAAAACUAAUACUUCAAAAAAAAAAUGAUAAGAAACAGAAUUGUAUCUAUGUAUGAGAUACUGAAUAUUAGUUGUAAUGAGUGGUGUAGUAUAAAAAGUUUGAUGAGAAAUGGAGAUCAGCAUUCAGCAAGAGAAAAAAGAAUUUCUCUUACAUUUGUCUAGCAAAUUUUGUGUUUUUCUUCUUACUAUGUUUUUUCUUCCAGAUUUACAAGUUUUGUGUUUCUUUUAUUUUGAAUGAACACUAACUCGUUCACAUUGCGUUUCUCCAUAGAUUCUCAAAUAUUUUUUGCCAGUCAGGUUUGGUUGAAGUUAUCUUGCAGCAAUCAUUUUUGUGAAAAAGAAAUUUUCGUUUGGUUAAGCAAACUUGUGAUUCUCUUCCUCCUCCUUAAUUUUCUUUAUACGCGCCGUAGAAAGUUAAUUUUUCAUUUGUGGUUGGUUUGAGUUUAUUUGGUUUUGAAAAUAUGGAGCUUGAUUUUAAACAAGAAAAACUAGGUUUAUUGAUUUUUUGAAUGGCUAAAUAAAUUUAACUAUUAAAAAUCAAAUAGAUUGACAUUAGAAUGUUAAAUAUCUAAUAUGGAGUUGAUUUGGAUUAUUGUUUUAAAAAAAAUGUGUAGACAAAAAUUUUCCAGAAUUAAUUAUCGCGAUACACCAUGAUUUUGUAGCUGAAUUAUCGCGAUCGGCUAAGAUUUGUGACAAUUUAAGUUUUACGUAUUAAUUUAAAAAUCAGGCUAAAAGGUCUGUCCAUCAAUAUAAAACCUUGAUAACUUUUCAUUAUUUUACUACCUACCUAUUAAUUUGGCCUGUCAAUAUUAAGUAGGUAUGAAGGAAAAUAAAUUACUCAAAAGUCAGUAUAUCUUCUAAUGAUCUCUUAUUGAUUUCUACAAUUUUCUAUUGAUUCUCUAGAAAUUUUGAUCAAGUCAUGUUUCUUUUUUCUUUUCUUUUGUUCUCUUAGUCAAGAACACAAUACUGGAGAGUUCGAAGUUAAAAGGAUAAAAAAAUUAUUAAAAAUUUUAAAAAGAUAUAUUAAUACCAAAACAGUAAAAUAACUCACGAAGUAGCAAUUUUGUUUGCCGGAAAAACCAAAUCGCCGUAAUAGUAGUGAUUUCUUAAAUUUACUUUUUUCUGAAGAAAAAAAAUUUGAACAAGUCGCUCCAAGAGUAGCGAUUUUCAAAAUUAAAAAAAAAUUUAAUCAUUUUUUUAAUAAGUAGCUGCAAAGCGUUAAUAUUUUUUUGCUUUAUUUAAAAAGAAAAUUAAAAUCAAAUCACAUUUUUUUAAAAUCAGCGAUUUGAUUUUAAUUUUUUUCUUUUUAAAUAAAGCAAAAAAAAACGUAAUUGUUGCCUUUGCAUCGACUUACUAAAAAAAAUGAUUAAAAAAAAUUAAUGUUUGAAAAUUGCUCCUCUUGGAGCGACUUGUUUAAAAAAAAAUUAAAAAAUUUAAGAAAUCGCUGCACUUGCAGUGAUUUUGCUUUUUUCGGCGGACAAAAUCGCUACUACUUGAGCGAUUUUGUCAUUUGAUUUUAAAAAAAUUGAUAUGCCCUUUUGAAAUUUUUGACAAUUUUUUUUACUCUUUUAACUCCAAACUCCAAUAUCGCAUGAACGGCAAAAAAAUAAUAAUAAUCCAACCGAGUCCUAAUUAUUAAAAGCAAAUAACAAAAGAAGAUCAUAAUACAAGUACCCCGUGAAAAUUAGGGAGUAGUACUGUAUGUUAAGAAUUGAAUCCUAAUCACAUAACUAGAAUCGAAUCAUAGUCGAAAGAUAGAUCUCUAUUUCAUAUCAACACCUUAAAGAUGUACAUGAUUUUACACUGCAUAUUCUCUAACUAACUUUAGAUGGAUCAUCUUUUAUAUAUAUAUAUAUAUGUAUAUGUAUUAAUUGACUUAUUUACGCGAAAGCGAUCUUCUUAAAUAUUCUUAACAGCCUAACUAACUUUCACGUGUAAUUAAUCAAGUUAAUGACUAACAGCAAUCUCCACUCAACUAUUUGCAAUUCUUUGUUAUAACCUCUAAUAGCCUCCUUAGCUUCAAGUUUGGUGAUACGAAAAUGUUUUUUAUUUCUAGCUUGAAUAUAAGAUGAAAAUGUUGAUGUCUACUCAGACUCUUAGUUUAGUUAGAAUAUCAGCAGGUUAUUCAGAUGAACAAUUGUUAGCCAUUUGAUAAGAGAACAAAUUUCUUUUAUUAGAUUUGAUACGUCAUAUUGUAAUUUAUUUUGUUAUUGGUUUACAUGAUUUGAACAAUUACGUUGCAUAGAAGUAAUAUCGCCAGGGCCAAUCCCAUUGUAUGGAUGCAACUUCUAUAAUAAAAAUAAAUAUAAUUUUCCUUUUCUACCAAAAAAUAAUAAUAAUCUUUAAAAUUUCUGGACACGCAGGAAGAAAUUUAAAUUGUCAAAAAAAAUAAAUUCAAACCUUAUUUAUGAAGAUUUGAAUGAAUCUAGAAUUAUCGAUUUUAGCAAAACUUAACUUCAAAUUAGAUAAGUCCAAAUCUAAACUUUGACUUUUCAAAUUAGUAAGACUUUCGUCUUAUAUCCCUAUUUAAUCAAAUAUUGUUUAGAAUUUCAUCAUCCCUAAUUGCUUGUUCCAUUUUUUUAAUAAUUUUUUAUUUUGAUAAAUUAAGAAAGAAUUAUUUUUUUAUCUAUUUACUAUCAAUUAAUUAUUUUUAAAAAAAUAUUUUUUUUUUAAAUUUUAAAUUUUUAUUUAAUAAGGGUAAAAUGAUAAAAUCACAAUAUCAAUAAUCAUUUAUUUAAUGAUUGUGUCAAUUCAUAUUCGAAGCAAACCAACAUCAUUAAUAAUAUUUGAGUUUGGUUCCAGGGAAUGAACAUCCAUGAAAAAGAAAUUAAGGAUUAUUUCAUGAAAAAAAACAACUUCAUAUUUCAUGUAAUUGUAUAAGAUAAAUUUGAGAAAAAUAGAGUCAUAUACAUCUUUAUUCCUAUCUUAUCAAAAUAAAAAGAUUAUUUUUAAUUAUCUCAAGUAAACCUAUAAAAAAAUCAAAUAUGUAAUAGUAGAAAAAAGUCGUGUAUAAACAAUAAUGAGAAUGAAACAAGUGUAAUCAUCUCAAAAGGGUAGUAAGACUUUGAAGGUCACUUUUGCUCACCUUAUUGUUUCUUGGAGGUCAGUCAACGCAGUUAAUUUGAUGCCUUAUUUAAAUUAAUUAUUUAGUCACUUACACUCAAAUUUCUAAAAAGAUUACCUAGUUUUGCGUUCUAGUUCCGCAGUCAAAGUCAUAUAAGUACUAUUCUUUCUUUUUAUUUGUAUUAUUUUCUUUUUUAAAAAAAAAAAAAAGAGAAGGAAUUUGAUAUUCUUGCAAAGUUCAAGUUUGCUAUAAGUGGGUAUAUAAAUGUGGAUGAGUAAGUAUAUACUUAUUAAAAAACGUUAAUGAUAUAUUUUAUAAUAUUUAAUAAAUAUACCGAAUUCUUUUUUCAAACUCAACAAGUCCCAUUAAAAGGCGAGACCUAUUCAAAUUCACAAUAUUGAAAAAACAAAAUAAGUUUAAAUUCAUAUUAUAUGAUCUUUGUAGGCACUUUUUUCUUUUAGCAUUUCCAAAUAGAAAAAAGGAAAUAUUGACUCUCACUAUAAUGGGAGAAAGUUAAUAUUGAUAAUGAUAUUGCAUGUGGAACUUUGAAUAUUUCCUAAUUAAGUGCAUGAGGAUGACUUAAUCAAAAAGUGGACGAUCAUUUCCCAGCGGACUACUCUAUUUCUAUAAUAAAUAUGUGUGUUUGGCAUACUUCUAAUCGAUACUUUGACCGAAAAAAAUAAUAAAUAAAAUAUUUUCUUAUUUCGUGAGUAAUUAUAAUAUGAUAAUGAAAUGAAUCUUGAUUUACGAGGUAAGGAUUUAUACUAAGUCAUAUAAAAGAAAUCAAAUUCCCAAUUCCCUUAACUGAUGUAGGAGAGUCCAACACUUCCAUAAUGAUAUAAUUUUUAUUUUUUGUAAUUCUAACUCAACUUAAAAAAACUAGCUUAAAAAUUAAAGAAAGUCUGAAAAGUAUAAAGAGACCAAUUCCUAUCCUUAGCCAAUGUGGGAGACUCAGCAUAUAACUACUAAUAAAUAGCUAUCACAAUCAAAAUCAAAAUUGGGAUAAUGCACAAAUACCCCUUCAACCUAUGUUUGAAAUUUUAGAGAUACACUUAUACUAUACUAAGAUUCUAUUACCCUUGAACUUAUUUUACAAGUAAUUUUCUACCUCUUUUCGACCUAUGUGGCACUAGCUUAAAAAAAAAAGUCAAUCAGCGUUGGACCCACAAGAUAAUGCCACGUAGGUCGAAAAAGGAUAAAAAAUUAUUAAUAAAUUAGUUCAGGGGAUAAUAGAACCUUAGUAUAGUAUAAGUGUGUCUUUGAGAUUUCAGACAUAGGUCAAGGAGGUACUUGUGCAUUAUCCCAUCAAAAUUAUCGAAGUCAAACAAGUUUUUAAAAAAAGUCAAGGUUCAAUUGACAAGAAUGAAAGUAAGGACACUCAAAUUUGCUCCAAAAGAAAAUGCAAAGUGUCAAGUUUUUGAUGGUGUUCUUUGCAGUUUAAUUAUAUUCAACUAUUGACUAAAGAAAUUUUGGAGUCCAUAAUAUUAAAGGAAGCUUCAACUCUUGAAAGUUGAAUAGAAUUUUUUAUUUUUUUCCCCCCUUCAUCGGCGUGUGUCUGACUUUGCACAAUUUAAUUUCGUGGAAAAUGUCGUAUCCACACCCUUUUUAAAACUACCACUAACUUUUGUUUAUUUCUCAUUUCCAAGUUAUACAAAUUCUCAUACAAAAUUAUUAAUUUACUGGCAAAAAGAAUUCAUAUUUUGCACCAAAGAUUUAGGCAUGGCUGAUGCAUUAACAGAAGACCAAAUUUCCGAGUUUCGUCAAGCCUUUUGGGUUAUCGACAAGGAUUGUGAUGGUAAGUCGAUUAAUUUCACAAAAUUAUUUUGUACUAACAAUAUAUUUUUAGUAAAGUUUGAAUAUUGUAAAUGAAGGAGUAAUAAGAAUAGAGGAACUUGCGUCAGUAAUUCAAUCUUUACAUGAAAACCCAACAAGGGAAGAGAUGCAAGAAAUGAUGAACGAAGUGGAUCCUGAUGGUGAUGGUACUAUUGAUUUUGAAGAUUUUUUGAAUAUCAUGGCUAAAAAGCUCAAGGUAUAUUUAACCAUCUCAACUAGACAAUCGAUCGAUGUAAUGAAGUUAAACUCAUGCACUUAUAUAUUGUGUACAGGACAAUGUAACGGAGGAGCUAAAAGAAGCAUUCAAAGUAUUUGAUCGCGAUCAAGAUGGAUUUAUUUCUGCUAAUGAGGUUUGUUUUAAUUAGGUACUUCCUCUGUUUAUUUUUAUUUAUUCGCUAUACUAAAAAUAAAUUGUGCGAAUGUAGUUAAGAAAUGUGAUGAUGAAUUUGGGGGAAAGAUUGACAGAGGAAGAAGCCCAACAGAUGAUUAGAGAGGCAGAUCUUGAUGGAGAUGGACUCGUAAGCUAUGAAGAAUUUGUUAAAAUCAUGAUUAUUUAGUCCCUUUUUUUAUUAAUUUACUUAGAGAUAAUUAAACAGCUCAAUUUAAUUUCUACCGUUUAAUGAGUAUUAAAUAUAUAAAUAAACCUCUUGAAAGAAAUAUUGGUCUUAAUUUAUGUACUUUAAUUUCCUUUUCGUCCUCUUUUUUAUUUCUUUUUUUAUAACUGUCAAAACAAAGACGUUUCACGUUUGAACCGAAAGCCAAAUACUACUAUUUGACAUAAUUAUUAAGGUAGAGGCGGAGUCAAGAUUAGAAAUCUUGAGGUUUUAAAUCAAAUUAUUUAAAAGUUCACAAGUUAAAAUGCGUUAAAAAAUUUAUUUUUUUAAUACAAAUAUAAAAUUUAUGAAAAAGUUAUGACGAAUUUUUGUCUAAAUUCAUGAAUUUGACGUAGAUCGAAUGAAUAAAUAGUGGCUGAUAAGCAAACGGUACUUCAUCAACGUGUUUAUUUGUUUACGCGGACAGCUUAGUUAAUUCAUAUGGGCCCUUAAUUUCUUUAUUUGACACUUCUCAAAUUGCCUUUUUAAUGUGUAAAUGAUUGUAACUCUUUCUUCGUGAUGUUCAGAUUAGAGAUUAUUAAUUUUAAUAGUAACAAAUCUGAAUUCAGUCACUCAAGCCAAGACCAGUAAUAUAUAUUUGCAGAUACUUGCCUUUCUUAAUAUUAAAAAUAAAUAUACUUUAAGUUUUGACAAAAUUUAAAUUCCCAUAAAAAAUCUAAUGUUAUAUUGAUCUAUGUACUUUAAUUUCCGUUUUGUCAUACUGGCGAAACAAGGACGUUUGAACGGGAAGGCAAAUAACAUCAUUUGACAUAAUUGCCAUAUGAAUAACGUGUUAUUUAUUUGUUUAUAUGAGCAACUUUAAGUGCCUGUUUGGUUAUGUAAUAUGAUAUCAUGAUAUGAAAUCAUAAUAUAAUAUUCGGAUACAGAAUUAUAAGAUGAAAUUUAAGUUUUGUUUGGACAUACGAUAUGAAUUUUUUAUGUUGUAUAUUUUUUUCAUAAACAUAAAAAUUCCAUUAGUUGUAAAAUUAUUAAAAUAGCCCAAUUGUUUAUUCAAUUUUGUCAAAUAAAAAUUAUAAAAUCACAUAAUAAAUUAUUACAAAAAUAUUUGUUCUCCAUUUAAGUAAUUGUUUCAUCCAGCUUUAAUUUAAUAAAAAAAUUGAACAUAAAUUGUAGUUUACUAGUUUUUAAUAUUAUUCUUUCACAUAGUACGAACAAUUUCCUCAAGUUGAACUUGUAUUUCUCGAUCAUGUGGCUGAAAAGGCGAACCAACAUUAUUACUUUGAGCCAUUUGUUGAUCAAUAUCAUUCGCAACUAUAUUUUCAUGUUUAUAAUCCAUAAAUAUUUCAUCACUUUAGCAAUCGAUUGAUGUGAGUUAUAGUGACUUUUAUGUCCGUGAGAAUAAUAAAUUUUAAAAAGUAAUGAUGUGAUUAUAAAUUUUAUUUACAUAUAAAAUAAAUUAUUAGUAGAUAUAAAUGAGGAGUUGUUUUACCAAAAUAUAAACUUGUGGAUUAAUUUUUGUAUUAAAAUAUAUAAAAAUAACACUACACACACAUUUAAGAUGUUAAAUAUCAAGUUAUAAACAAACUUUUUAAUAAUAAACUACUUAUAGCAUAUUAUUAUCAAGUUAUAGCAUAUCAAGAAAUAAUAUAUUAUUCUCAUUAAUUUUUUAUAAUAAUAAUUAACUUAUUUAAAUAAUUCAAUUACCUUAUUUAAACCAAUGUAAUUAAUUAAAUUUAUUAUUUUAAGUUACCUUUUUUAAACAAACUCUUAAUUAAUGUAAUUAAAAUUAAAUAUUAUAUAGUUACCUUUUUUAAGAUAACUACAAAGUAAUAGGGAUUUUAUCUCUAAAACAAUUACAGUUUUUUAUUAAAACUGUAAAACGUUAUCUAAAAAAAAUAAAAUUAUAUUCCCCAAAUUUUUGUUCUUCCCCAACUCUUUUUCAAAAUCAUUACCUCUGCACGCCUAUCAAAACUUUUCACCAAAAUUCGCACGCCUAAUUUAUUUUCACCAAAUUUUCUCUCAAAAGCACUUCUCUCUUAACAGUCUUCUUCAAGAAUUCUCAAAUAUUUGCAUUCAAAUCUUCAUUUUUAGCACUAAAAUCUUCAACUCUUGCGAUAAACAAACCGUACAAUGUUGAAAAGAGGCAACGAAACCCCGAGAAAAAGUAGAAGAUUGAAUGAAGAAGCAAGCUCAGACGAUUUUCAUGCUCCAUCAUUCAAAAUUUUAUCAGAAACACAAUCUCAACCUUCAUCUGUUAAAGUUAAAUCUAGAUCAGGGAAAUCAACAAUAGAAAAAAAACAUCCAAAGGAAAACGAGAAGAAGAGAAAAGGGAAAGAAAAGAAAAUUUUAGAUGAAUCUAAGAAAAGGACGAAAGAAAGAAGAAAGAAGAGGAAAGGAAAAGAAAUUGAGGAGUCAUCAAAUUCUGAAUCUGAUUUUGUGGAAGAGUUGAUAAAAUCAAAAUUCAAAAAACCAAGAGCAUCUGAAAUCGUAACUUCACAUUUACAAGAAUAAGAAGAAGAAACAGUUAAACCCAAAAAAAGUUCAAAGGUUAGUAAAAGUUAAUUUUUUUAAAAAAAUUUAUGUUCUGUUAUUUUUAUUUUCUGUUAUUUGGGUAUAAAAUAGUUAAAAUAUAAAUUUUGUGUAAAUAAAUAAUGUAUGAAUUGUGCAUGAUUCACUGUAUGAAAUUACAGAUCUCUUCAUAUUACAAUAUCAAUUGCUGAAACAUGUAUUUUUUAUGUAUGAUUCACUGUAUGAAUUGUGUAUGAUUAACUGUAUGAAUUGUGUAUGAUUCACUGUAUGAAUUUUGUAUGAUUCACUGUAUGAUUAACGGUAUAUAAAAUGUGUAUGAAUUGUGUAUACUUUAUGUUUUGAUUUGUAUAUUUUGGUGUUGAAUAUAUUGUGUAUGAAAGAAUGUUGUAAGUUUGUUUGAAAUGUGUAUGAUUACAUUGUAUUAUGUUUUGUAUACUAUGUGUAUGAAUUAAGUAUUUUUCAAUAUUAUUUUGUAAGUUUGUUUGAAUUGUGUAUGAUUUACUGCAUUAUGUUUUGUAUACUAUGUGUAUGAAUUAUUUAUUUUUCAAUAUUAUGUUGUAAGUUUGUUUGAAUUGUGUAUGAUUCACUGUAUUAGUUUAGUAUUACAUGUGUAUGACUAUGUGUAUGAUUAAUGUAUUUAAUUUUUACAAUUUUUUAGGAGAAGAAGACAUAAACACAUUUGUCUUCAUGUAUUAACAUGAAUGUGUUUGCGGAUUUGUUGACCUUUUUAGGUCAAGAUAAGUUUCAACAAUUCCUAGAUGAAACACCUUUUGAAUUUUUUUAUAAUUUGCAUCACAUUAAAAUCCAAUGUCAAUUGUUGAGAAACUUAUUUAUAAUGGGGAAUGAAAAUGUUAGGGAUGACUUUGACAUUAUGGAAAAUCAAAGAAUGAUGAAGGCACAAUCAGUGAAAGUGAAGUUACAGGAACCGUUGCUAGCAAGAAGGGUGGACCUCGAACUCAUAAAGAACAAGUUAUGGACACCACCAAUUAUUCUACUCCAAAAUUCUGUAUCAGGAAGUAGAAAUCUUCAUGGCACAAUGUACAUUUAUUUGAAUGACUUGUUUUUUUUUAACUUAUGAACAAUUUAUGUAUUUUUCGAGUUUUUUUAUUAUGACUACUCUGAUGGUUUUAUAUAAAUUACUACUGAUUAUUACUAAAAAUAUGUCUCACUUUAACAUAUAUGAACACUGUAUGAAUCAUGUAUGAAAAUCAUAUGAAUUAUGAAUGUCAUAUUAAAAUUUGACAUAUAGUACAUAGUAAUGUUAAAUUAUUCCACAAAUUUGUUUUGCAUGAAUACUAUACACUUUCAAAUACAAACAGAACGGGAUAUUAAUUAUAUUACUAGCGGCAUCAAUUUAGGAUCUGAAAUAUAACUUGGUAUAUCCCAUGUACUCUCGCACGGGAUAGGCUCGACAGGAAUGGCAUAAGCAUCUUUGAAAUUCUUGAGCCUAUAAAAAGCAGAACAUAUGCAAUAUAACAUGGGAAUUUAACAUAUGCAAUAUAACAUGCAAUUUAACAUAUGCAAUAUAACAUGGGGAAAAAAUACGACAUAUUAAUAAAAUAUUAAUAAAAACUAACCUGAUGAAUUCCAUUUGCCACCAUGUUUAAUUAAAAUUGACACAAUUUCUCCAUCAAAUCAAAUCUAAACUUUUUCAACUUUCAAUUUUAAUUGUUUUUCCAAAAAAAAAAAACCCCAUAAAAUAUGACAGAAUUCGAACAUAUGAAUAUAGUUCAAUUUCUGGAAAAAAAAUGAUACACGUUUAUGGAAAGAAAGAUGACAUAAUACAAUUUUUUAAGAAUAAAAAAUCAAAAAUAAUUACCAUUAAAAACGGAUUGAGAUAAUUAAGGUGCAUAUCUAUAAUUAAUAUAUUUUAAAAUCCCUUAAAAGGUGCACAUUUUGUUACCAGUUAAUAACAGUUACUACAUUCAAGGAAAUUAUCCAAUUUUAAUUAUUCAUUUUUUAAUUUUAUUUUUCAUCCUAUUUAGAAUAAAUAUUUACAAUAUUUUAAUUUAAAGAAAUGCUAUAAGUUGAUAUAUUAAAUGUUAUAGAAUGAAAAUCAAACUCUUAUGCCAUAACUUGAGAAUAUGACUACAUAAUAUGCUAUAUACCUAAUUUACACUUUUUUUUAAGCUUAUAGUUUUCUUCUAUUUGGCUAAUUACGGCCUUGCAACCUGACUUCAAAUAAAGAACAUAAUUUGAAAGAUGACUUUACCUCUUAUUAGAUUAAAAUAAAAUAAAUUGUUGAAGUAUAAUAUUAGUUGUUUGAUUGGGAUUAAGAUUUUGUCCAAAACGUAAGCAUAUUAUAUUAUAUUUUAAAUAAAUUAUUAAUAAGACGUAGAAAGAUCCAAAAUUAUAUUCACGAGAAACGCAAAAAUAUUGCAAGAAAUAAACAAAAAUCAUAAAUAAAGAGCAACAAUCAUUUCCACGUUAAAAAGAUGCAAAUGAAAAAUGUCAAAUUAUGGAUUAAUUACGUGAAUAUACAACUUAAGUUUACAUAUUCUCCAUAUUUCCCUUAUUUUUUUAAAAAAUACUAAAAUCUCUAUUUUUUAAUAAAUCUAAUUUAACAGAUACAUUAUUAAAUUAGAAUCCUAAUAAAUCCUAACCAAUUAAAUCUUAUCCCUAAUUUUACUCUUUAUUUUCCCCAAAUAAAGAACCCAUUUACACCACUCCCAAAAUUAAUGCGUCAAUUUCUCAACGGUUCAUCUUCUCAAUUUUGAAAAUCAAAAUUUGUGCUCUCCAUCCGUCAGCCUUCGUCUAAUCUGUCCGCCAUUUUUGUCUACUUUGUCAGCCUUUGAAAAUCAAAAUUGUGCUCUCCGUCCGUCCGUCUUCGUCUAAUCUGUCCGCCAUUUUUGUCUACUCUGUCCGCCUUAAAAAAUCAAAUCGCCAAUUUCGUCUACUCUGUCCGCCAUUUUCGUCCAAUAUUCUUGAAAGGUAUUGUGUUCUUCUUCGAUUCUCUCUUUUCAUUCUUCUAUUUUUCUAAUAUUUCAUGGAUCAUCUGUCAUUUAGUAUUGGGAUUACCCAAAUAAUCACUUCAAACUCUAAACAAAUCUAUAUUUUUGAAGAUCCGAAAUUGGUUGAAAACAAGUCUAAGAGCUUGCAUAAUUGGUUUGCAUUGUGUUGUUACAAUUAUGUAUCAAGCACAAUUUAUGUUUCAUGUAUCAUGUUAAAGUUUGUCGUUUAUAUAAAGUAUCAAGUAGACAGACUUAUAACUAUAGUUACACGUAUGUAUCAAGUACAACUUUGCAUUUUUUGUAUCAUGUUAGUAUCAAGUAGACAGACUUAUAACUGUAGUUACACUUAUGUAUCAAGUACAACUUUGCAUUUUUUGUAUCAUGUUAGGCUAUAAAGUGUCUGUUAAGUAUCAUUUUGACUGACGUAUGAUAUGUUGUUAGAAUUAUGUAUCAAGUUUAUUUUUGCAUUUUAUGUAUCAUAUUAACAACUUUGCAUUUUUUGUAUCAUGUUAGUAUCAAAUAGACAGACUUAUAAUUGUAGUUACCUUUAUGUAUCAAGUACAACUUUGCAUUUUUUGUAUCAUGUUAGGCUAUAAAGUGUCUGUUAAGUAUCAUUUUGACUGACUUAUGAUAUGUUGUUAGAACAGAUUGGGCAGCAUUGGAUGCAUAUAAAGACAAGAAAACUGGAGAACUUUUGGGUCCACAACAUUCGUUUAAUGUGGAGUUUGCUCAAGACAACAUGCAACAAAUAAGUGAUAGCCUGUGAGUAUUGUUUAUUAUUUUAUUUUAUUUUUUGUAUCUAUUCAUCCUUAUAAUUAUUCUUAUUGUUUUUGUAGUGAUUGCGGACUAUUCGUAGUUGUAUAUGCAGAAUUCUGAGUGACAAAAUCAACAUGUCAUGUAAUAGUUUUAAGAGUAGCUAUCUUCGCAAAAGAUAUGCGAUUCUUUUAUUGAAGUAUGGUCUCGACAAGAUGAAUGCUGGAUAUGUUAGCAACAGUGAUGACCCUUCAAGAAUGAAGAAUGUAUUAAACCCAUCAUCUGAAGAUGAAAUUGUUAAUGUAGGCUAGUUAGUUUUCAAUGUUUGACUUUUUUUUAUUUUCUGGAGUUGAACAAGAUGUUUGAAGUAUUUAUUAACAUAACAACACAUAUUGUUAAAUUAUGAAAGUGUUUUGAUUUUUAAAAUUAUUUAUUCUAUUACUUUAAUUUUAUUUUUAUUACCGUUAUGAAUUCAGGAAUUAUGUAUACUGUUAUUGGGACAUGAAUGUCAUUAUUGUAUCAAAACUAUAAUAAUAAUUACAUUAAUGUAAUUAUUGUCAUAAAAAAACACUUAUUAUAUAUACGUAAAUAUAUUGCAUGAUACAAAAAAAAGAAAAUUAUAUACGUAAUUAUAUUUUGUAUAUGAUACAUGAAAUAUCAAAAUAUAUAAUAUCACAAACAGUGAUUCUAGUUGUUACACUAGAUACAUGCCAGUUUUUUUUUAAAAAAAAAUUAAUAUCUUUUGUACAAAUAAGAUAUAUUCAGUACUAUGAUUUAUAUAUAUUACGAACAAUUAUUUGUCCUUCAAAAUAUGAAAUUUUUUUAAGUAUCUACACACAUGAUACUAUAUUACUAAAUUAAAUUAAAUUAGAACUGACAAUAAUUUGGGUGAAAUAUCCGCAAUUAAUAUUGAUUAAAGUAAGUUUGAACAAAGAUUAUAAAAUAAAGUAUUUGAUAUAUAAAUAUAAUAUAAAAUUUAAAUAGUGUUUAACAAAAAAAAGGAAUUAGUCUGCCAAAAAAAAGGGAAGAUCACUAAUGAAAAAUUAUAAUUUAAUUUAGAGUUUUUAUAUUGGAUAAAACUGAUCUUGAAACACACAAGUUAAUGCUUUUUUUAUGGGAUUAAUAACUGUAGCAUAUUAAAAGUAGGAAUUAAUUCAAAUUUCAGUUUUUAAUCCCCCAAAUCACUCAACAAACGGAUAAAAUAGCAUAAUAUAGAAUGUAUCCGACUGUUUUAUUAUGUAUCAGAAACUUCUUAAAAAUAAGGGAUUUUUUGUAAAUUGAAAAAAAGUAGGGAUAGAAGGUAAUUUAUGUUUUACACUAUGUGAUUUACAUAAUUUUUACAAUAAACAUAUCAACUGGCCCAUAGGAAAUAAUUAAGUAGGCGUUUCGUUAUGAUAUUAUAUUACGAUAUGAUAUCGUGAGAUAAUAGUAGAGCUAAAAAAAUUUUAAGGGGUGUCCAGAAAUAUCAACUUGUUAUGAUAAGUUCAAAAUAUGUUAUUUAAUUAUUUUGUAUAUCAUUUUAUUUGUAUAUGAGCUAAUUUUUUUCUGACAAGGGGUGUCCAAUUGGACACUUUUGACAGUAUGUGCUGUACGCCAGUGUCGUGAAAUGGAAUCAGCGUUUGGACAUGCGAUUUCAUGUCGAUUUCAUCUCAUGAUUCUAUAUUUUUCCAAAAAGCAUGCAUGAUAUGAAAUUAGUUGAUGAUUCCAUAUCAUGAUUUGAGAUAUUUGAUAUGAAAUUAGUGUUAUUUUUAUUAAAAAAAAAGAGAAAAAAAUCCUUAGAUGAUACAAGUAUCAGCAGCUUAUGGAAAUACUUAGAUAUUUCACUAUUUUUAGAUAUUUUAUUUUUUUGAGAGUUGAACUUCAUGAAAUUGAUCAAUUUUUUAAGAUAAACUUUUUAUCAUAGUAAUAUCAAAUAUGAGAAGAAUAACAACUUAUGUGAUUUCUGAAUUUAUUUUUAAACAUUAAAUUAGUCUAAUCCAAUUUGAACAUUACAACUCAAGUAUUUGAUAAAUCGUGUGUUUUACCGUUGGUUGACAUCAUUCUAAAACCAUUGUCACAGUAAAGUUGCAAAAUAUACUUAUAUAUAAGAAGGGAAAAGGCUUAAAUAUGCCAUCGAAUUUUUAGAAAAGGUUUAUUUAUGUCAUCAGUUAGAAAUUUGGCUUAUUUAUGUCGUUACCGUUAAAGAAAAGACUCAUUCAUGCCAUUAAUUUUUAACGGCGGUCUUGCAAAAUCAUUUUGGACAUGUUGCCAAUUAUAAUUCGGCCACGUAGUCUUUUUUUUUAAUAAAUCUGAAGAAAAAAAAUUGAAAAAAUUUAUUUUUUUAUUAAUAAAUUCAUGACGUGACUGAAUUAUAAUUGGCCACGUCAUCAAUUUUUUUUAAUAGAAAAAAUCAAAAUUCUAAUAAAAAUUCUUUUAAUUAAAAAAUUAAUGACGUGGCCGAAUUAUAAUUGGUCGCUUGUCAAAAAUGAUUUUGCAAAAUCACCAUUAAAAAAUAAUGACAUGAAUGAAGCUUUUCUUUAAUGGUAAUGACAUAAAUGAACCAAACUUUUAACUGAUAACAUAAAUGAUUAUUUUUUAAAAAUUUAAUGACAUAUUUGAGCUUCAGGGCAGAGAUUGGGAAAAUGACAAUAUUAACCCUUAUGUUUGACGAUAGGUUUAAAAUGGUCUCUCAAAUAUGUAUUGAACUCUAUUUGUUGCAUUUGACGGGAACUACAACUUUUUUAGAAAAAUCAGCAGAAACUCAUAUUUAGAGGUAGGGGUGUGCAUCGAUCGGUUCAGUUCGGUUUUACAUAUAAUCGAUUCGGUUUAUCGGUUAUGGUUUUAAAAUAUGCUAACCCAAUAACAAACCAAUAAGAAAUUUGUUAUCGGUUUAUCGGUUUUUGAUAUUAUCAGUUCGAUUUCGGUUAACCCAAUAAGAAAAUGUCGAUCAAAUAAUAUAUAAUAGUACGUAUGUUAUAAUUACAUGUUACCAUCUUACCGCCAAAACAUAAUAGAAAACUUUGAAUGUUGAUCAAAUUACUAACAUUCACAAACUUGCAAAAGUUAUCGCCUACAAUUACGAACUAGAAGUAAAACUAAAAUAAAAUAUUUCAACGAGACAAUCUUGAACAGUUGCUUGAUCCACCAGAUAAUCAACAAAGUUCUCACCUAUUUCUUAACUAAAAAAUCACAUAGCCUGAAAAGCUAAUAUUGAAUCUAUUUAUGUAUUAAAUUAUGUAUAUUUAAUAUUGAGGAAGGGUAAAGUAGUAAAUAACUAUAGUCUUAUUGGGUUAUCGAUUUACCCAAUAUCCCAAUAGGAAAAAUCGAAACCGACCCAAUAAUCCAAUAAUUAUUUUUUCUAAACUCAUUAAAAACCCAAUAACCCAAUAACCUAAUAACAAUAACUCAAUAACAUUUUAUCAGUUCGAUUUAUUGAUCGGUUCGGUUUUUGCACACCCCUAUUUAGAGGUAUAAUUCUAGUAGUAUUCUAUUAUUUUUUCGUUUGUUUUUAGAAAUUGGGGUAACCCUUUUAGAGGUAGUUUCAGCUAGUUUUUUAAAUUAUAGUUUUACUGUUUGGUACAUUUUUUUGUGUUAUGUAUUUAGAAAUAUGAUGAGACUUUCUUAAUGUUUGUCGAAUACAAAUUGUCAAAUAUUUGACAAUAUUUUUAAAAAAAUAUUACUAUAUAUGAGUAUCUGGGAUCUUUUUGGAUAAAACUGAAAAGCCCAAAAAUCAUACAUAUUAACCAAUUAACCAUGUAGAAUAAAACUCAUUUGUCCUGAAUUUGAAUUCUUAAAGAGCAUUAAAUUCACUAGUGUUGCCGUAAAAAUUUAUAGACAAAAAAUUGGUGUGGUUUUGUUGUUACUAGAUACGAGAAAGUUGCUCGAAUGAUAAAUAUUCUUUUACUUUGUUAGUUUGAAUAGUUAAGAUAGUAACGAUAACAUGUCCUAAAAAAAAUAUUUUUUAUAAUUACAUUUUAAAUAGUUCAAUAGGUAUAUCCUAUAUAUUUUUUAUCUUUAGAUUAGAUCAACUAUGAGAUCUAAUCAAGUUAAUUUCUAUAGUACUUCUUCUUAUCUAACUUCACUUGCUUAUCAUUGCUCGCAAAUAUAUAUAAAAGGUCAAAUUGUCUAAAUUUUGGAACAAAAUCAGACAUGAUUAUGUCGUUUUGUUAAAUGGACAUGAUACCAUCAGAACAAGUAUAUAUAUUUUGAUAAUAUAUAUAUAUCAAACAAUAAACACGAGUUACUAGUUAAACGGAAUAUGAUAAUAACAGAAUAGCUACUUAUAAAUAAUUUUUCUGUUUAGUACACAUAUUCUUUUCCUCAAAUCAUAUAUAUACCGGCACAAAAUUAUUAGUCAACUAAAUCAUCGUAAAAUACGUGUCUGUUAUCCUGACACGUGUCUAUGAAUUUUGAAGUGAUUGGACCUUAAAUUUUCAUGAGUUUAACAUCAACAGUCGACAUCUUAUAAUUAUAUAGCACAAUGUUUCACGUGAAAAAUACCAAGGGAGACAUUAUUUUACAUGUACAUUAUUGCACUGUCCAACUUUGCUUUUCUCUCUUAGAUCACUAUCAGUCCCAUGUUAUUUAGGGACUGGAAAUAAAUUCACUUGCUAAAAUAUAAUCGCACAUUUUUAAAAUGUUUUUUUAACUAAAAAUAAAAGUUAAUAAAGAAAACAUGAUUCGUCCAAUUUGCUUAUGCCUGGGUAGAUUACUGUUGAUCUGCCUACGUAAUUUCAUUUUUCUCGUCCAUAAAGUAUUGGAUUGAUAUAUACGAUUUAAAUUGACUUACGAGAAAUCUUGUCAAAUUAUUUUUAAAAUUAUAUUUUUAUUCGAUAUGUUAUAUAUAUAAUUACAAAAAUAGUAUAAUUUUAUCAUAUACUAACAAAAUUUUAAAAGAACAAAUUAAAUAAAGUAAAUAAAACUUUGUAUGAAUUGACGAAUAGAAUUAUAAUCUAUAUUUUAGCUUAUUUUGGCCCAAGUCAUUUUUGCUCGGAUUAAUUAUUGUUAACCCAAUCCAAUCCAUUAUAACUAAACAAAGUAAUUAUUCAAGAAAAAAAUAUGACUUGGUCUAGGUUAGGUUUAUGAGGAACUUUGUUCAAUUUUUUGGUAAAUAUAUUACUCCAUGUUUUCAAAAACGAUUUGAAAGACGAACUAUCCCGAAACUAAAACUUAAAAGGCGUGAUAUUCAUGUCAAAUUCGAAUCCAUCCAAUCAAAUGGUUUACAUGAAGAUAGCAACGUGAUUAUUUGAGAAAAAGACCAAAAUUAGUCCCUUAUUUUGAGUUAAAGUCAUCCUUAAGUUUUCACAUAAAGCACUAGUCGUCCCUCAUAUUUGUAAUAUUAGUGCAUUUUUUGUUGUCCCCUACACUUUUGCCUAUUUUUUGACAUUAAUUUUGAUCAUAAUUUUAUGUAAAAAAUAUCAUAUCGGCUUUUUAUAUAUUUAGUAGAAAUAAUGACUCUAUGUGAUAGAAUGUGAGAAGAAGAUUACCUUAUUCUGUUCAGUAUAAAUAUAAGUGUUGCUAAACUAAGAACAUUAUAACAUAUGACAUUGCAAGAAAAAAAAAAAUUGUGCUAUUGUACAUGAAAUCGUCGUGAUAAGCCUCUUGCCUUUAUAUGGAAUACAAUUUCUACUAAACAAAAUAAGAUAUUUUUGUUCUCACAAUCUCUCGCAAUAAAAUUAUUAUUUCUACUAAAUAUAUAAAAUGACGAUCAACUAUUUUAUAUAUAAAUUAUGAAUAAGAUUAAUACUAAAAACUAGGCAAAAAAAUUUAAUGAAGGACUAAAAUUAUACUAAUAAUACAAAUAUAAAAAACUAUUAAUGUUCUAUAUAAAAAUUCAAAAGUUACUUCUGAAUUUUUGAAUUUAACCGAGAGUCAGAGCCUGAUUAUUUUAUCUGCCCAACAAAGCAUGCAUGGAAGGUAAACGGUCAACCAUCUUUGAUGGGGUAAUAUAUCAAGUCAGUUUUUUCUUUCGUUUGCACUACACAUGACUGUAAUUUUAUUUUUGUCAUUUAUUAGUAGCUUUCUAAAGUUGACAUGAAUUUUUAUUUAAAUAUUUUGAUUAGAUUUUAUUUAUUUUAAAUAUUUUAUGUUGAAUUUUACUAUAUCAUUUUAAUAUUUUUUGCUGAAUUAACAUAUUGUGUGUUGCAUUCAUUUUGAUUGUGAGCGAGUUCUUUUUGGACUUUAUAAAAUCUUUUUCCUCCUUCUUCUUCACUUUUUAGCCCUACUACUUAUUCCACCUUCCCCCAAUAAAAAUUCAUGAUAAAAAACCUUAUAAAAUAUGAAAAAAUAAAAUUAAAAAACUAUUACACUAAUUUUAAAAAUGUUUAAAAUCAUCACACUAAUUUUAAAAAAACUUUUUAGAACAAGACACAUUUUUAAAAAAAAAGUUAGAAAAAUAUCAUAUAUAAUUUUCAAAAGCAAUAAAAAAAAAUUAAAAUCUAAUGAUUUUUCAAAAAAAAAUUGAAAGAAGAAUAAAAAAAAUGAUUGUAGAAUUGGGGAGGCAAAAGGGAAGUGAGGCAGAUGGGGUAGGGGUGAGGGUGAUAGAAGGUGGCACUGGAUGGUAGAAAAUAGGUAAUUUUAUUUAUUUAUUUUUGCUGAAAAAUUAGUUACGUUGUUAUUUAAUAAUUUAUUUUAAAAUUAUUAUUUUUACAUUCAAAUGUCACAUGUCAAUUUUUAAUUAGUCGUCAUGCCAUGUCAUCCGUAAGUAUGUUACGCACACUUUGUAAUUUUAGCUGAUUGACGAAAAGGUGUCAAAAUGAUAUAGCGGACCCCUAUUUGAGGUGUUUAAAAUGAACAAAACCUACUUAAGGUGUCAAAGUGAAAAUUGAUGCCAAAUUUAAGGGGCUGCCAAUGGGUUCAACCUUUUAUUUUAGGUAGGACCUUAACUUGGUCGUUCCCUUUUUUUGCGGAACCGCAAAUAAUUUGCACUUGUUGUACCCUCUGCUAUAAUGUCUAUUUUUUGGGUGAGCAUCGGAUAAAUUUAAUUUUACUGUGUAUAGCCUACAAAUUACAUAGGAUAUUUGAACAACAUUAGGCAAGCUUUAUAUGACAAGAUUCGAUUUAGAAGACACUGAAGGUAUCAAUCCAGAGUCAUUCGUGUGGAUAAUCACCCUCCAAAUUAACCGAAUCAUCCCACGGGACAAUAUAAUUAUCUAAUGAAAAUAUAAUGUUGUUUAAUUUGAACGGACUAUUGAUCUGCUUGAUCAUUCAUUUAUUUCAUUAACUUAAGUUGAUAAAUCAACGGUUGGUUCCCUUGAAAUUAAGCUCCCUUUAUUUUUUUUUCUUAGUUUGUGCUUUUUUUCUAAGUUUCAAUAUCGUUUUACACGGGUUUUUUUAGUUUUUUUUUUUUUUUUUUAUAAAACAUGCUAAACGUGUGAUUUUACAUCCAAAAAAUUGAAAGACCCGCCACUAAAACUAUAUACUACUAUAGUUUGUUUUGUUGUCUUAUUUACUAAAAGUGUGAUUUUAAAUCCAAAAUAUUCAAGGGCCCCCAUUAAAACUAUAUACUACUACUUCCUUGAAAGAUUGAUUUGUUGACUUAUUACCAUGUUUACACUUUUAUUUUUCGUACCCCUUAAAUGAAAAUUAUGGAUUUGCCCCGAUCGGGGAUAUCAAUCCCGGGUCAUUCGUAUGUAUGGAUAAUCAUCCUCCAAAUCAACUGAGUUAUCCAAAGGACAAUAUAAUUAUAUGAUGAAAAUAUAAUUUGUUUAAUUUGAACGGAUUUAUGAUCUGCUUCAUCAUUCAUUUAUUUCAUUAAUUUUAACUCUACAUAUCCAUUUGACAGUUAGGUGUGAAUUAUGUCAAUGAGGCGGGGCGGGUUGAAGUGGAUUUCUAAAAUUAAUGUGGACCGGGGCGUGUUGUGGGUAUAUGUGAUUUUAUAUAGGUUUGAAUUUAAUUUUAAAUUUUUUACAUGUUAUAAGAGUAAUAGAGCAUUAUUUAUUAAGAUAAUAUCUUCAAAACUACUAAAAUAUUCAAACUAGUAAAUGAGAAUGGUUCAAUAAAAAAUAAUUCAAUUACUUACGUUUUUCCUAAUUGACCUCUAAAAAUAUAAAAUUCUAAGUCAUUAUCUUAUUAAAUUAAUACAAUUUAUUAAAAAAAAUUAUUUUAAGUAUCAUUAACUAGAAAAAAAUAUUUAAAAAUAUUAUGAGAAACGAGGUAGGACUAGUUGAAAAUGUAAAAAAGGAUUAUGUGGGGCGAAGCGAAACAGAUCAAAAAUUUUAUUGAUUAAGCUCAACCCACUGGACCCUACCCAACACCGUCCAAUUGCCAUCCCUAUUAUCUACAGUAGUGACGAUCUUAUGGAUGUAGUCAAUUUAACAACUCUUCAGGUAAUUAAUGUCUUAUAUGAUUUAUUAUAGUGUGAUAUAGAUAAUGUAAGAGCCGUUGAAAUUUACAUAAAUAAGUGUAUAUAUACAUGUCAAGGCCAUUGCCAUUAUUCACCAAACACACACAAAAAGAAUAAAAGCUACUUAUAAGAAUAUGAAAAGCGUGAAAUUAGUAUCUGAGUUGCCCAAUUUAAAAGCAGUACCUUGUAAUUACUAUGUUGAUAAUCAUCUUAAAUAUUCAUCACCAUCCAUUAUUGACACUAAUCAUGAUGAUUCAUUAAUCCCCAUCAUUGAUUUUUCCCUCCUUUCCUCAAAAGACCCUUAUCAACACUCUAAAGUCAUUCAACAACUUGGUAGAGCUUGUCAACAAUGGGGAUUUUUCAUGGUACGUAGUUAGCAUUAAUUAAUUGAUCUUGUAAAAAAAAUAUUUGUGCUAUUAUUGCAUUAGUUGCACAUGCAUGAUUUGAAAGAAUAUAAUGCCAAAUUCAAUCAUGCAUAUGGGAGUUCGACGUGCUUCCUUCACUUAAACAUAUCGUAGUAAUAUUUAUCUGUUCUGAGAAAUUUGUGUGACUAUAAAAACAUUUUAAUUAUUUCUAAAUACAAAAGUGUGAUAUUUGUUUUAUUUGAAAAGCGGAAUUGAAUGAACGCAGGUUGUGAACCAUGGUAUAGAAGAAAGUUUGAUGAAGGAGUUGAUUGGGGUGAUAAAAGAAUUUUUCUUAAUGGGAGAGGAGGACAAAUGGAGAUACAAAGGGGAAAAAGUGUUUGAUCCAAUAAAGUAUGGAACUAGCUUUAAUUGUACUUCUAAUCACGACAUCACUACUACUUCUUAUUGGAGAGAUUACCUUAAACUCUCUCUUCAUCCUCAACUUCAUUGCCCCGACCAACCCAAUAACUUCAGGUAUUUUUUUUUUUUGGUCUGUCUCAAUUUAUGCGUUUCAUUUUUAUAUAAUUUUUAAUUAAUUAAAUUGAUUACUACUUUGAAAAAUCCACGUUUGAUUUUAUCCAUGAAACGUCACAAAACAAAAUCUGUCAAUGGGUCACUCAUGUCGGAGUUGGGCCUGUGCGACUGCGACCAUUUUUCAAGUUUAAAUAUUUAGCCGCUCAAUCAAAAAUAUUUAUAUCGUCGACAAAAUUUUAUAUAAUUACUAUAUUUUGUAUGGUUUAAUUUUACAGAGAAGUUUUGGGUGAGUAUGGUGAGAAAUCGAGAAAAGUGGCAAGAAAAUUACUAUCAGGAAUAUCGGAAAGCUUAGGAUUGGAAGAAGAGUUGAUGAAUAAAUCCCUUGAUCUGGACUCGGGUUACGAGGUGCUUGUUGCAAAUUAUUAUCCAGCAUGUCCACAGCCCGAACUUGUAAUGGGCCUUCCACCCCAUUCUGAUUUUGGACUGUUAACUUUUCUUAUACAAAAUGAUGUUGGAGGAUUACAAAUACAACACAAUGGAAAAUGGAUCAACAUCAAUCCCAUUCCCAACGCUAUUUUGGUUAACACUGGCGAUCACCUCGAGGUACAAUAGGCAUAAAAAAAUUAAUAUUUAUCUUAUAGAUGUAUACACUUUUUAUAUGUUAUGUAUACGCCUGCGACAACACCACACUAUUAUUACAGCUAGGAGUGGAUUUUUUUUUUCUAGAUGGUUGUGCAAAAUGUUAAAAUUUACUAGGUGCAAUGUGAUAUAUAAUUUUUUUUUUUUGGGGACAGAUAUUUACGAAUGGAAAGUACAAGAGUGUUUUGCACAGAGCGGUAGUGAACAAAAUGGAAAGGAUAUCCAUAGGAAUUGCAAAUUGCCCUGCUAUGAAUGCCACAGUGAGUCCAGCUGCUUCACCUCUAAUCCAAAAUGAGAGGUUUCCACCACUUUAUCUACCCAAGAAAUACAGUGAAUACGUGGAGAUGCAGCAGACAAAUCCACUUGAUGGAAAGUCAUGUUUGGACAAAAUCAAGAUUAAUUCACCACCAUUAAAAUAAUUUUUUUUUUUAAAAAAAAGAACUUUAUUUCUUUUUGUUUCAGUCGACUUGUCUCAAGAAAUAUGUACUUUUUUUUUUUUAUAUGUACUCAUAAUUAAGUACCAAUUUGGCAAUAAAAAGAAAAAAACAAAAAUGAUUGAGGUGUCUUUUUCUUUACCUUCACUUUUGGCAUGUUAGGUUAAAAAAAUAAAAAAAUCCUCAGAUGUCUUUUAAUUUGAUUUACGACCUGUUAAUAAUAUUGGAUAUUUAUAGGCUGACGUUCAUGAAAAAUAUCCGGUAAAAUGUGUUUUUUUUACAAUUGUUAUUGAAAUAUUACUUGAUUAAAUUUGAAUCUCUAAAAAAUUUGCUAGUUUCCGUUUUAUCAAGAUACAUAUACUUGACACAGUAUAAAUAUAAUAACAGAAGAUUUUUAAAUUUUACCAUAUUAAACUAAAAAUAUGUAAAUAUCAAAAUAUUAUUUAAUCUAGAGAUUUUAAAUAUGUCAGAUAAAACGUUAAAAUUAAUUAAAAAAUUAUCAAAAAGAAAAAAAACUAAAUUUUGUUUUUGAAAGGGAGGAAUUGGUAAAUUGUUGGUUCACUUUAACAAGCCCAUCCGUUGUAAAAUGUUACUAGAUAUGAUCAAUUGAGUAUACGAUGAGUUAGUGGUGUACUGGUGUUGAUGGAUGGAUGAGGAUAACGUGUACCUAAUUCGAGUCUCACUAAUAAAGAUAAGUUGCGUGAUAACAUUUUAUAUUAUCGAUAUUUAUAAACUUUUUACUUUUUAAGUAUAAAUAUUUGAGUCUGAAAUUAUCCAAUUAAGCUCUAAAUCAAGGUGGUAAAUCUCAAAAGUUAUAGCAGAUAGCAACAAUAUAUAAAUUUUAUUUCUUUUCUAAGUUCACAAAUAAGUGUUAUACUUGAUUAUGACUAUGAUUGAGAUCACCAUUCAACCCCUUGUGGGUGUUACUGUAGACAGAAUGCUGACAUUACCAAUAUAAAUUUUUUAACAAAUUUAUAAGAUAUCUCUAUAAAUUACCAACCUGUAUUUUUAACUUUCAAACAAUUAUGAAAGCUACAGCUCCACUUUGGUUAAACCAUCCAAUAGACAAGAAAUAGGUACUCUUUUUAAAUGUACUCAUAAUUAAAUACCAAUAGCAAUAAAAAGAAAAAAGACAAAAAUGAUUGAGGUGUCUUAAUACUUCUUCUCAACCUUUUUUUGUGGCCUUGGAGUUAAGUAGGCAACAGCAUUAUUCUUCUCUUUUUGGCAUGUUAGGUCAGAAAAAAUCUUCGAUAUUUUUUUAAUUUGAUUUACUAUUUUCUAACAAUAUUGGAUAUUUAUAGCCAUGAAAAAUAUUUGGUAAAACGUAUUUUUUAAUAAUUGUUAUUGAAUUGUUAUUCGAUUAAAUUCAAGUCUCUAAAAAAGUUUAUAAGCUUCCAUUUCGUCAAGUUAAAUAUACUUGGCACGAUAUAUAAAAACAACAAUUUUUUUUUAUUUUUUUUUACAAUAUUAAACUAAAUAUAUCAAAAUAUCAUUAAAUAUAAUAAUUUUAAAUAUGUCACAUAAAAUAUUAAAUUUAAUUAAAAAAUUGUCAAAAAGAAAAAGCAUAAACUAAAUUUUAUUUUUGAAAGAGAUAAAUUAGUAAGUUGUUGGUUCACUUUAACAAGCCCAUCCGUUGUUUCUAAAUAUGAUCAAUUGAUCAUAUGAGUUAGUGGUGUAUUGGUGUUGAUGGAUUAUAACGAUAAUGUGUAUCAAAUUCGAGUUUCACGAAAUAAAAAUAAGUUAUAUGAAAAUUUUUUAUAAUUUUAAUUUUGUAAAUUAAACCCUAAAAUAAGGUGUUAGAUCUCAAAAGCUAUAAAGAUAGCAAAAAUAUAAAUUUUAUUUCUAAACUAAGUUUACAAGUAAGAGCAUAUUUGGAUGGACUUAAAAUUUAGAGUGUUUGACAAAUAUCAAAGUAACUUAUUUUAAGUCAAAAAUGACUUGCCAAAAGCUAAAAGAUUGGUGAUGACUGAUGAGUUUUUUUUUUUUCUUUCAACUUAAAAGUCAUUUUAUAUUGAUAGUAUAUAUUACCUUUUUACCCUUAAUUCUUUUAUUUUUAUUUUUAUUUUUAUUAUCAUUAUUUUUUUUUUAUUUUUAUUAGUUUAUUUUAUUAUUAUUCUUUAUUAUUAUUAUUAUUAUUGUUAUUAUUAUUAUUAUUAUUAUUUUAUCAUUAUUUAUUCUUAUUAUAUAUUAUUAUUAUGAUUGAGAUCACCAUUCAACCCCUUGUGGGCAUUGCUGUAGACAGGAUGCUGACACUUGGGUAAUUUUACAAAUUCUACAACAUUUAUCUCUAUAAAUUAUCAACCUCUUUCCAAGCAUUUUCAUCAAUUAUGGAAGCUACAGCUCCACUUGUGGUUAAACCAUCCAAUGUCAAAGAGCUUGCUGAAUCUCCUGAUUUGCGUUGCAUACCUUACAAUUAUGUUUAUGACUCUUCCAAUUCCUCUGCUACAAAUGAUAUUGAUGAUUCAGAUUCAAUCCCCAUUGUUGAUUUUUCUCUACUCACCUCUCAUGAUUCUCAUCAACGUUCUACAGCCAUCCACCACCUCACCAAAGCUUGUCAAGGUUGGGGCUUCUUCAUGGUACGUAUUACCAACUAAUUUUGAAGUCACGUUAGAACCUAUAUAUGCACAUAAAAAAAUAAGUUAACAACUUGAAAAACAAAUUGAAACAGAGGAAGUAUAAUAUAAUAGUGGUAUUCUGUUAAUUCGUUUUGCGCAAAUUAAUUAAGUGCAGGUAGUGAACCACGGCAUACCAGAAAAUCUGAUGAAGUCAGUGAUUGAUUGCACUCAUGAAUUUUUCAAUUUACCAGAGGAAGAAAAACACAAGUUUACUGGGAAGCAUGUGUUGGAUCCUAUAAGAUAUGGGACAAGUUUCAAUACUAGUACAGAAAAUGUCUUCUUUUGGAGAGAUUUUCUCAAGGUCUUUGUCCAUCCUCAUUUUCACUCUCCCACCAAACCACAAACCUACAGGUAAAACUUAUAUAUACUGACAGUAUAACGCAAUCAAUUAUCCCUGUUAAUGUUAAUAACUUGAUAGUGUUAAAUUUAACAGGGGUAUUAUGUCGGAGUAUAGUGAGAAACUCCGGGAAGUGACAAGAAAGUUACUAGGAGGCAUAUCUGAAAGUUUAGGGCUUGAAGAAAGUUACUUGGAGAAAGAUUUAGAGUUGGAAUCAGGGCUUCAAAUCUUCGUUGGAAAUUACUAUCCACCUUGUCCUCAACCUGAACUAGCAAUGGGUAUGCCACCUCAUUCAGAUCAAGGCCUUUUAACACUUCUCAUUCAUAACCAAGUUGGAGGUCUCCAGGUUCAACAUCAAGGCAAAUGGAUUAACGUCAAGGCCCUUCCUAACUACUCUCUCUUGGUUAAUACCGGCGAUCAUCUCGAGGUAAUUAAAUCCAUUUUUCAUGUCUACAGUCACAAAGACGCGUGAUUUAAAAUUAAUCAUCGGCCUUUUAAAGUAUUGAGUUCAUUGUUGCCAAGACUAUUAAUAGUAAGAUUGAAAUAGCAAGUUAUUUUACUGUUACUUCAAGACCAAAAUUUUAUUUAAUAUGGUAGAUAUUUAGUAAUGGGAAGUACAAGAGCAACAUGCAUAGAGCAGUGGUGAACAACAAAGUAACAAGGAUAUCAGUAGUGGUAGCUCAUGGUCCAUCAUUAGACACAAUUGUAAAGCCAGCUUCUCCAUUGAUGGAAAAAGAGAACAGCCCAUCAGCUAAUUAUAUUCCAAUGAAGUACAAGGAUUACUUGGAGAUGCAACAAAGCAGCCGAAUUUAUGGAAAGUCCUGCUUGGAAAAAGUUAAAAUCCAAAGGAGCUGAGUGUUUCUAUGUAUAUUUUCCUCUUGUUUCCAAGUGUUUGAUGAUAUAAAAGUAUUAUGGAACUUCAAUAAUAUUUAUGAAUACUAUAGUUGUACGUGUAAUCUUUUAAUUAGUGAACGUUUUAGCCGUGUCUGUUUAUAUGUAUAUCUUCAAAUUAAAUGUCAUUUUCGGAUAAGAGGGUGAUGCUAGUGAAGUAGGGUCAUUCCAUAUAUAUGUCCAAUUGAUGACUCUUCCUACUCAAAUUGAAGAUUCAAUUGCUUCUCCAAACGUCCUACGUUUUUGUUUUUAUUUAUUAGUUUUGGUGUCUUUUUUCUUUCUAGAGAAUUCUACAUAUACUCACAAUUUGUUUGUGUAAGUGUGAAGUAGGCAAAAUCAAAAGAUUUGAAGUUUAUAAAUUUGAUUUACAACUUUUAACAAGUGUCAAAAUUAACAAACAAGUACGGAUAUUCAAUUUUUCUUUUAAGAAGUAACAAAUCCUAGCAAACUUUUCUUUGAAAAUCUGAUUUGGGAAUUGUGUUCAAAACAAUCUUAUUUGUACAGUUUUUCGUUGACACAAGAUUAUGUUUGGUUAUUUGCCCAAAAUUGGACAACUUUCACAUAUUCGUAUAAAAUUUGCUUUGCAUACAAUUGAAUUGAAGUAAAAUGUUUGUAUAUUGUAUAAUUAUAAGUGUAUAGGAAGAAGAUAUAUGUUUUUCUCUCGCUUUAUACAAAACAGAAACACAAUUUAUACACUUCUGUUGUAUAAAGCGAGAGAAAAUUGUAUUUCACUGCAAUUGUAUAAUUCACAAUUGUAUAAUUCGCUGUCCUUUUUCGCUGCAAUAUUUGUAUAAAAAUUUGCAUUUGUCUACAAUUGAAUCGAUGUAAAAUAUUUGUAUAUUCUAUAAUUAAGUAUAUAGCACAAAGAUAUAUAUUUUUGCAUGUGUAUAUACUAUUUUUUCUCUCGCUUUGUAUAAAACAGAAACACAAUUUAUACACUUCUGUGUGUAAAGCGAGAGAUGCGAGUAGAGAAAGAGUGGUGAACGAGAUUUUUGGGAGAGAGGCAACUAGCAAAUUUUGGCAAACGUUUGCUAUGGAGCACAAUUAAAUCAAACUAUAGCUACUGCAUUUAUUUUAGGUUAUUAGUUUGUUAUUAUAUACGGUUAUAACAAUAUAUCAGAAAAAAUUAGUUGGACAAAGCGUUAUUGGACUUGGAGUUGGGCCUUCUCUACUGCAUUAAUGACAACAGCCCAGCCACCUUAUGCUCCCCAACCAAGAACUUGGAUUACUUGUCCAAGACAUUGUCAAUUAUAAUAAAUAUUACGAAAUUUGAUAAAAAUAGACAAAUAAGUCAGGAUGGUCGAGUGGCCUAAGGCGCCAGACUCAAGUUCUGGUCUUCGCAAGAGGGCGUGGGUUCAAAUCCCACUUCUGACAAAACAUUUUUUAUUUUAUUCUUUUUUCAGUUUUUCCGUAUAAAACAGUUUUUCAAGUUGUGGCAUAGUAUAUUCUGACGUUAAAUAAAGCAGCAACAGCUAAUGAUGUCUGUUGCAAUCCCACUUCCUCACGCCACAAUAUGAUGAAACAUCCUCCUUCCUUUCCUGCUUCUGCUUCAUAGGUUGUUUAUCACAUUGUUUUAAAAGACUUUUUGAAAUUCAUUUUACUAAACAUUUGCAAAAGUUGAGUCUCUGUGUUUAUGCCUCAAGCAUCCGAUCGUAUGUUUUCAGCAUACUUAAUGUCCGGAGAGGAGCACCUCAAAAAGUUCUUCACAAAAAUAAUAAUCUCCAUACAAUUAAUUAUGACAUUACUAAAUACAUGGAGUAUUAUUUAACACUUAUUUUUUUUUAUAGGCUUUCACAAAAUGACCAGAUAGAGUAGUACACAAUAGUGCGUUUUCAAAGCUUAACUAAUAUUUAUUGUUACAACUUACGGAGUGGUGGUCGAAUAAUAAUUAAAUAUCUUAUAAAGAAAGCUCAAAAUAUAAGAAGAAAAAAAUAAGUAUAAGAUAGAGAAUUUUUUUUUCUUAUGCAAUUGUAUCUUUCAAACAUCGAGUGAUUCUCUAUUUAUGGUGUUGAGAUAUCAUUUCAACUAUUCUCUAAUUAAUAAAUACAUAGUUAUUUUAGAAGUUCUUAUCACCUUGAAAACAUCUAUGUAUGAACUCAUUUAAUAAUGAAUAAAUCUAAUAAAUAAUCCACAUAUACUAUACAAUAGAUUUACAAUAAAAUUAAAGUUUUUAAAAAGUAUUUUUACCUAAAACAUAUAACUUUUCGUAUAACCGGAUGGAAAAGAAAAAAAGAAAAAUCUCUGUUACAAAACCACAAGUUUAGUGGCAAUGUUGAUAGUGGAAGUCAUGUUGAAUUGAUUUACAUGGUUGGAUGUAGUGACGUGGCGUUACCUGAGGCGUCGAAAGACGCUGAUCGGCGCGAAUAGUGAAGUGGCAGUUUCAGAAUCACGUGUCUGUACCGGAAAAGUGGUAACCUUUUUCCUCUCACCAAAAACCCUUCUUCACUCCUUCUCCACUAUAUUUCGUCUGUAUGAAGUAAACAAAACAUAUUAGUAUUCCAUCUCUAUCAUCCCUGUUAAUCGAACUAUUUUUAGGGUUUCACUUCUGAUUGAUAUGUUUGCUGUUGAGGGAUUCAUAUACCUGAUCCAAUUUCUGGGUGUUCGUUUUUUUACCCUUGCAGACUAGCUAUAUUCUCUGAAAGGAAGGACCAUAGAUAUGUCUUUUACCGUGGAGCUGUUCGCUCAGAUGAGUCGCAGGAAAAGGAGUAAGAGGCAUUUCGCCUUAAGAGGUUCUUACCAUUUUUCUCCUUUGUUGAUUAAUUUUAUGGGUGUUCUUGUUUAUUUCGUUUUGUGCUUAUUUUUUGUUUUCAUGCAUACCCUUUUCUUGAAAUUGCAGAAUGUAACAAAAAGUUGGAACUUUUUAUGCACCGGUGUUCUUCAUCAUAUGGUCGGUAGAUCUUGUAACUGGUUGGGCUAUUAGAACUGAAGUAGUAAAUUGGAGGAGAUAGUUUUAUAGUUUAGACAAGCUAGUGAAUUUGACAAUUUAUGUGCCUUUUGGUUAGAUGUAGGUUUGAGGACUGCUUAUGAUUUAUAGGAAGCUUAAUUACUUUAAUUUUUUUACAUGGAGAACUUGGGCAAGAAGAGAAAGGGAGUAGAAAUUUCAAUGGUUUGUCAAAAAGAUGAGAGUCUAUUGACAGUAGUCAGGUCACAUUUAUCGUUGGAGGAUUAUUCUCGAAGGAAAAAGAAAUCUAGGGAAGUUGUCGUUGAAGCUGACAACUUUUGUAGGAAGAAUGUCAUUAAUGGAGUAGCUACUGCUCCGUCUUGUGGGAGUUCACGUUCACGCUCACCUGGACGAGGUCUUAAAAGGAAAAUAGGCUGUCUUGAUUCAGCUACUCGAUUGGGGCGGAAGAAGAAGAUUGAGCAGGAUUACGAGAUGGGAGAUGUUAUUGGACGAGGGAAAUUUGGGUCUGUUUUAUUAUGUCAGAGAAAGUUGAGUGGAGAAAAACAUGCUUGUAAGACUUUGCUUAAGGGGGAAGAGAUCAUUCACCGUGAAGUUGAGAUUAUGCAGCAUCUCUCUGGGCAUCCAGGUGUUGUGACACUGAAGGCUGUGUAUGAGGAUGCUGAAUCUUUUUAUCUUGUCAUGGAACUUUGCUCAGGAGGAAGGUUGCUUGACCAAAUGGCUAGGGUUGGGCGAUACCCUGAGCAACAAGCUGCUAAUGUGAUCAAAGAGCUCAUGCUGGUUAUCAGAUACUGCCAUGAGAUGGGUGUUGUGCACAGGGACAUAAAGCCUGAAAAUGUCCUCCUUACAACCUCUGGACAAGUUAAGGUUUCAGACUUUGGGCUAGCUGUGAGAAUUUCACAUGGUAAUUCAAGAUGACCUCCUCUAUUUGAAUUUGACUUGUCGGUAUUGUUCAUAUUAUCCUAUUUAGUGUGCAUGAACCGGAUACCACACCCUAUAUUAUGAUGCCUACCUGUUGUUGUCUGACUAGCUGUUUUUAGUCUUAGGCUGAAAUUGUUAUUUGUGCUCCUCAAGUGCGGUGCUUCUUGAUCUGCAUUACUCCUUGCACCCAAGAAAGAUGACCUUAUAUGCGGAUUCAGAAACAUCUUUGUUUGAUUGCCUUCAUAUACAAUUAUUUCCUUUUAUUUUGCAAUUAAAUAUGCUCUUCAGAAAACUGGAAUCACUUGUCCACAUAUUUUCCAAGUUUCUUAACUUUUAUUUGCAGAAAUAGAUUGGAACAUUUCAUACUUUACUCGAAACUUGAUGGGAAUGAAAUGUUGUAGAAAGUGCAUUAUACCCACCUUCAAUCUAUCCUAAUGUGCAUUCAAAUAUGUCUUUUUCCAGUAUACUCCUUGUAUGUGCGGUUAUUCCUUUUUUGCUAGAAGUUGACUUUACCUUUUAAAAAAAUGUGCUAAUUCAUGAUAAAUUCAUAUGUAUCUUCACUUUUUGCACCAUUUCCAAUUAGAUUCAAUCAAAGGACUUCUGAAUUUUGUAAAAACUGACAGUUCUUAUCUUAAACCCUUGAUUUUUAUCCCUACCCUUGCUUUGUCAUUUUACUGAGUGUAGUUUGGGAGGUGUUUACCUCAGAUUAUGCACAUGAAAGACUAGAAACAUUUUGGAAUUUAAUGCAAUGUUGGAUGAUGGUUCUUUACAUGCUGGUCUCAACUCUUUGUAUCCAGGAUGUUAGCUAUGUUCAUGUUGUCUCUUAUGAGCGCAUCAUUAAAUUUCUAUUUUGAGUCAUUCUAGUUCUUCUUGGAGGAUCCAUUGCACUAAACUGGGUGAAGCGGUUUUGUGUUUGUGUGUGUGUGUUUUUCUUUUGUACGUUAAUGAUGUAUACGAAAUGCUCCAUUCUUUGAUGUGCUCGUAGGUCAGAGCUUGACUGGAGUAGUUGGAAGUCCAGCUUAUGUUGCUCCUGAGGUUCUGCUAGGUGAUUACACAGAGAAAGUGGACAUAUGGAGUGUAGGUGUCCUCCUACAUGCACUUUUGGUGGGCUUGCUCCCAUUUCAAGGUGAUUCUUUGGAAUCUAUAUUCAGUGCAAUUAAGGAGGAGAACCUUGAUUUCAGUGGUGGAGCUUGGGCAUCUGUAUCACAACCAGCUCGUGAUCUGCUUUCUUGCAUGAUGACAAGGGAUGUCUCAGCAAGGUACAGUGCUGACGAAGUACUAAGUGAGUAGCCUUUCAGAUCUCUUCUAUUGUCAACUUACACCUUAUAUUCUUUUAUCAUUUUUUUAAAUUGAAAUGUAAUCAUCAAAGAGAACUAGGACUGGAUGAAGUGCUUUGGUUCUACCUCUGGAGCAUUAUUUAGCAGCAUCUGUGAGCCUUACAAGUAGAAAGGGAAAUGUGACUGAUUAUUCGUCUGCUCUGUGAAAUGACAAUGCUGGUUUUUCUUUUAAGCAGGUCUAUGCCUAUGCCACAUCCCACCUUGGGGUGCGCGGAGGGUGAUAGAUUUGUGCUUAAUCGCUUCAAACACCAUAGAAUCUAUUAAAUAUAUAAAUCUUCAGCUGAAUACACGUUCCCUCAUCUCACGAAUUGGAAUAGGUCUCUAUUUUAUCCCUGUUAACAAGCGAUAAGUUAUGGUGUUGGAAAUGCAUGUCCAGAAGACUCAGGUUGGGUUAACUAUAGUUCCUUUUCUCACGGAAGCCUCAAUGGUUUUAUCAGCACAAGAAUAUACUUUGUCAAAAAUCCUGGUGUUGAUGGACCAGUCCUGUGUUUUUUUACAUGUACAUCCCUGUUAGUGACGGGUAACAUAGUUUCUCUUUUACAUUCUUGCUCUGCAAGGUUCUCCAACAGUAUCUGUUGGAACUUCUUUGAUAUGGCAUAGAAGCAUGGAGUUCUGAUCAAUUAUUCAGUUGGAUUUGCUGGAUAAUUUAGGUAUUGGUUAUCGUAAUCAUGCCCUGAGCAAUUGAAUAUAUCUGGCAGAUCGUCUGUUUCCCUUGGAUAAUAUGCUCAAGUUGGCUCACUGUAACAGGACCAUUAAUUGCCUUGUUAAGUGGGCCACUUUGGGAUUUUGGGGGAUGGCGGAGCAAAAACUACCUGUGAAGUAGAUGAUAUAUUUCUGUUGUCAGUAUACCUAUCUUUGCUUUCCACUGUUUUUCCGAAUAACCGCAUUGCACUAAUAUCAUGACAAGCAAAAGUUGCAAAUGUCUAUAUCACACCGUUGUCUGAUGUCUCUUUUAAGACUUUGAUGAUACCAUUUUUCUUUUCUUACAGGACAUCCAUGGAUUUUGUUUUACACUGCACCCACAUUGAAGAAUCAUGCAAAGCCAAUUAGAAGCCAGCUAACUGCUACUACUAGGAUAGAGCGAGAGAGAAGAAACUUAGCCUUCAGCUCUCUCAGUGAUGACUUUGGUUCAACUUUUACAUCUGGUAGUUCGUCUAAGAUGCCUGAAGGUGAAGACUCUGGUUUUAUCGAUGCUCUCACGGUUGCUGUUUCACACAUGAAGAUAUCAGAGCCAAAGAGAAGCAGAAUAUGCAGCCCAGCCAGAACAAUCGAUCAAGAAUGUUCUCCUAACAUACAAGCUAACCACCUCUGUACAGCAUUCUGACCGGUAUGACCUUUCCUGCAGCAGCAUGUAGUGUUGCCCUUGUAAAGGUAUCCUUUUGAAGCCCAUUGAUUUGACUUCCCAACUACAUGAAGUGGUAUAUGGUGCACUGAUCUCAUUUAACCUUUGGCUCUAGAAUAAAUCAUUAAUAAACAAACCUGUCAGAUCAUACUCGACUAGUUUGGAGUUGCUUCUGUCAUGUGAAUUCAUAACAUGUCUAACUUAUAAGUUAGAAUGUGUGUGUGUGAUUAUGUAAAUAAGGCGUGUUUUCUGACUCAUUUCUAUUGGGACGUUGUAAGAAAAUCUUCAAUGGUGAUAAGAUAUAAUGCAUUUGUAAUCCAUCUUGUUCAAGAUUGGUGCUCCAUGUGAAAAAAACAAGGAUUCACUGUGAGUUUUUCCCAAAGACAAGUAUUUGUUUUGGCCUUUUCUCUUUGAGUCGCACUAUCUCUGGGUUUGGAUUCAAGAUCAUCCAUUUUCUUUAAUGUGGAGGUCCAUUAUGUUUACCAAAGUGCUGCAUUUUUUAUCAAUACACAGGGAGACAUUGUACUACUGAUGCUGCCUCCUAGUCUAUUUGCACUUGUAUUUGAAGAUCCUAAAAUGUUGGGAUCAAAUAAGAAGUGGAAACAACUUCAGAUUUGGUAAAAGCUCGAUCUUUGUUCACAUCAAAGAACUGUUUAUGGGGUUUGGCCUCACUUUUCAGAUGUUGAAAAUGUCAACUACGGAAACAAUCAAAGCCCCACUACUAGAUCAAAUAUUAAAUUUUAGAUAAGUUAAAAGCUAAAAUUAAAUAAAUCGAUCAAAUAAAAUGGGAUAUGUGUCCAUAGCGAAGUGGGGGCAUAGGCAAUGAAUAUAUUACGUUGGACGACCUAGCUGGACCCAUGUCAUUCAUUUGAAAGUUAGGUUUGAAAAAUAUAGUGUAAAUUUUUUUAAUUAGUUAGUAUUUAAAUUUAUAUAAAAAUAGACAUAUGACAUAAUAUAAAUUAUUUUUAAGUAUUUCACCUGCGAACUGACACACAUAGGAUAUUUUAAAUAAAUUUAAGAAAACUACUGGUGCAUCAGAAAUUGAAUCGCCAAUAUCAUCUUAAAUUGGAGUGUAGAAAGUAUUACUUGAUGUCCCCUCAUUUGACAUAAGAUUAAAAUAUAAUAUCCAGCAAUAUAUUGUGUUUGUGAUAUAUUUGCAGGCAACCUCAAUAGUUUGGCGUGGCACCAUUUCCACCACUAUUCACUUUGAGUCUAACUAUUUUUUUCUUUUCAAUAAUUGUGAUAUUUUAUCUUCUCCUCUCUAUUUACCGUAUGUUUGUAACUUGUGAAUUUGUUUUGUUCCAACAAUUAAAAGGAUGGAAAAAGAAUUGGAGUAUUUAAAGCAAGAAAACAAUACUACCAUCUUUUUAAUACUUUCGAAAGUUAGAUUUACGGCCAACAUACAACGUUAUCGAUAAGUAAAUGUUCUUAAAAAUAUAAAAUGGGUAAAUCAUACAAUUAUAUGUAUUAAAAGAGACAUGAAUCUGACAAUGGAGCCCCUUAGGAGAUCUCUCUUUCAUAUAAUUAAUAAUGAUUCCAAAAUGGCCACUAACUUUUACUGUUACAGUCAUUUCAAGGACCAAAUUUGGACCCAUAUCAUUUGUUAUUCUUCUUUCAUCAAGAGGACUAGUGUACAACAUCCCAAUUGCACCUACAUAUCUAACCUAUGUUUUUGCCAAAAAUAUAGGCAUGUCUCUCUAGGUCUAAAUUUCUCAGAUUUGCUUUUAUUAUAAAAUUAAUAAAAACAUAAACAAACGACAUUUUUAUUCGUUUCUCUUUUUUUUUUUGAGUACAUACACAUCCGUUUAUUACAAUCAAUCUCUUAUACAUUCAAUUUUUUUGAGAGGCCAAAGUUUCUUCUCACAAAAAUAUUUUGCGAGACGAAGUUAGGAUUUCGGACUAGAAAUAUCAGUAUAUAUAUGUACAUUUUAAGACAGGCAGUAAUGUUAUGAAUGGGAGUGAACAUUUCACUAGUCACUAGAAGUUUCCAUGCCAACACCCAACUUUUAUUCUUUAUAUAAAUGGACAAGAAAAUGAAGAGUUACCAGAUUACCCAAAAUAUAAUUUUCACACAUGAACUCAAAGGAAGAAAGUUGUCCAUACUCCAUUAGAGAAUAAAUUUGAUUUAUCAAAAUAUAUAUACUAUGCCUACUCCAUGUAAAAAAUUAAAAACUUCAUUACUCCUCCUCUCAUGAGAAAGAAUGUUUUGGAUAUUCCAACUAGUUAACACAAAAUUUUACAAGUGUGGAAAGCUUAAGUAAACUUACCAACAAAAACAACAAGAUAUACAGUAAACCUGACUCAACUUAAAAAAGGUGGAGAGACUUGUUUCGAUAUUCAAACAAAUUUACCAGAAAUACUUAAUGAGGAUUAACCCCUUUUCCCCCUCCCUAAGAGUUACACCUAUUGAGAAAUUUUAAUAAUUCAAUGAUUAGAAAAGAGAAUUAGCAAAGAAUUAAUCCACAGAAUAGUACUGUGCCCAUUACUGCACAGCCUGGAAGUAGCCUUGAAAAUCUUUUGAGAAGCCGACAAGUAUGAGAUAAUUCCAAGCAUCCCCAUGUGAGAUUUUCCCUUUUUUUCCUCACCACUCCAGCUUCUCUACUUGCUCUGCUACCUUCCUUCAACUUACUGUCACUUUCUUGAGACUGUGUGACUUGUGAGUUUUCUUUGUUGUGAAUUCUGUUUUCUAGUCUUUCAGCUUCAAAACAUGUGGGAAUCAGAAAAUGAGUCUGUUGGUGGAAGAGAUUAUGGUAAUGGAGUUCACAGUACUAGCAAGAAUGGAGUCAAGACGGAUAGUUUUGAGCAAAAAGGACAAUCUUGGUAUGUACUACUUCUUUAAAAUGGUUGAAAUUUACUAUGGUGACUUGUUGAAAUACCUCAAACUUACGUGUUCUUUGAAUAGGUAUGUAGCAACUGAUAUCCCAAGUGACCUUUUAGUUCAAAUUGAAGAUGUAACUUUCCAUUUACACAAGGUGAUUGAUUCCCUAUAACUCAAAACACUUGAAAUUUCUAUCUCAUAUCUUAUUCUUGUGGAAAAUAAUAUGACUGACUAGUUUCUCUUUGUUUACUUCACUACUGAAUAUGUAUAUAAACAAAACAAAAAGUAUCCUUUGCUUUCUAGAAGUGGGAAAAUGAACAGAAUCAUAUAUGAAUCAAGGGAUGCAGAAUUGAACAAGAUAUCUUUAAAUGAGUUACCAGGUGGACCUGAGGCAUUUGAGCUAGCAGCAAAGUUCUGUUAUGGUAUUGCUAUUGAUCUAAGUGCAACCAAUAUUUCUGGAUUAAGAUGUGCAGCAGAGUAUCUUGAAAUGACUGAGGAUUUAGAAGAAGGCAACCUUAUAUUCAAGACUGAAGCUUUUCUCAGCUAUGUGGUUUUAUCUUCAUGGAGAGACUCUAUACUGGUGCUAAAGAGCUGUGAAAAGUUAUCACCAUGGGCUGAAAACCUACAAAUCGUUCGAAGAUGUAGUGAAUCCAUUGCAUGGAAAGCUUGUGCCAAUCCAAAAGGAAUAAAGUGGCAAUAUACUGGUAAGCCUGCAAGUGUUUCUAGUCCGAGUUGGAAUCAAAUGAAGGAUUCAAGCCCGAGUAGAAACCACCAAGUACCUCCUGAUUGGUGGUUUGAAGAUGUUACCAUUCUCAGGAUUGAUCACUUUGUGAGAGUAAUUACUGCAAUCAAGGUAAAGGGAAUGAGACAUGAACUGAUUGGCGCUUCCAUUAUGCAGUAUGCAACUAAAUGGCUGCCAGGUUUAAUCAAAGAAGGAUCCGGAUUGGCGGAAGAUGGCUGUAAUAGCAGUAAUAGUAAUGGAAGCAGUAGUUGGAGAGGGGGUCUCCAUAUGAUAAUAGCAGGAUCAGGAGAAGAAAUACCAACUGUCCAGGCCAAAGAUCAAAGGAUGAUUGUUGAAAGCCUAAUUAGCAUACUCCCACAACAGAAGGACAGUGUUUCAUGUAGCUUCCUUCUUCGACUAUUGAGGAUGGCAAACAUGCUUAAAGUGGCUCCAGCUUUGAUAACAGAACUGGAGAAACGCGUAGGCAUGCAAUUUGAGCAGGCUACAUUGGCUGAUCUCCUCAUACCAUCUUACCAUAAAAGUGAAACCAUGUAUGACAUUGAUCUCGUCCAGAGGCUUUUGGAACAUUUCAUAAUUCAAGAGCAGACAGAAAGUUCAAGUCCUAGUAGAUAUCCAUUCCACGAUAAACAUAUGCAGGAUGGAAGUCAAAGGGGUACAAAUCUAAAUGCCAAGAUGAGGGUGGCAAGGCUCGUUGACAGUUACUUAACAGAAGUAUCUAGAGAUAGAAAUCUUUCCUUGACAAAGUUUCAGGUCUUGGCAGAGGCUUUGCCAGAUUCAGCAAGAACAUGUGAUGAUGGACUUUAUCGAGCAAUUGAUUCCUAUCUUAAGGUAUUUUAAUCCAAUCCUGUCAAUUUAUUGUUGGGUGCAUCCUUAAUUGAUAUCCUUAAAGCCAUUGCUGUUGAGCUUGUAGUUUGAUUUAUCAUGAAUGUAGUUUGCCUUUCUGUUCUGAACUCUCAAUGUUCCAAUAUUAGCCUGCUUACAUAUCUUAAUAGUAAACUUACAGUUAUAACAAGUGGCAUGGUUAAGAAUUCUAGAAUGUUGUAUAUGCUAAAGAUCAAAUUGAUCACAUAGAAGUAAAUCGUCUGUAAAUAUUGAAAUUAUGCUGUCUGCAUCAUAGAAUUCUAGCCCAACAUGCUUAUUUUUUUAACAGAAACUCACUCACUGAUAUACAACAUAACAGGCCCAUCCAACACUCUCAGAACAUGAAAGAAAGAGGCUUUGCAGGGUGAUGGAUUGCCAGAAACUCUCUGUUGAUGCUUGCAUGCACGCUGCUCAGAAUGAAAGGCUCCCACUACGAGUGGUGGUGCAAGUUCUCUUCUCUGAGCAGGUGAAGAUAAGCAAUGCAAUAGCCAAUAUCUCUCUCAAAGAUGAAGGGGAAACUCAUUAUCAACCCCUGGUAUCACACCAUAAGUCAUUGCUUGAAGCAACGCCACAAUCAUUUCAAGAGGGAUGGACAGCAGCCAAGAAGGACAUAAACACUCUUAAGUUUGAACUAGAGACUGUGAAGACUAAAUACGUAGAACUCCAAAAUGACAUGGUUGACUUACAGAGACAGUUCGAUAAGAUUGCAAAACCAAAACAAGCCUCAGCAUGGACUGCAGGUUGGAAAAAGUUGAGCAAGCUCACAAAAACGACAAAUGUAGAAACACAUGACAUCAGUAGUCAGAUCCCAAAUGCUGAACAGACCACAAAGCCUAGAAGGUGGAGAAAUUCCAUUUCCUGAGAAGGAAAGGCUAUGAUAGAAGACUAUCGGUUACAAGACUACCUCACAGAGUCAUUAUGUGUUACCUAAUAUUCAAAUUAUCAUGCUUCUCCUAUCACAAGAGUAGUUAAGACUUUCAUUUUCAUUGUAGAUAGAAAUUGUGAUAAUAGCACAAUUUAUUAUAGGUUCUCUAGUUUUACUGGUGAUUCGUUUCUCUAUAAUGAUUGUACCAUCUAAAAUUUGCAUUCGGAGGUGCAGUAAAACUGGUUUUGCUUGGUUACAUACCACCACAGACAUGCAGUUAACUGAUUAUUAUUCUGUGGCUAUCCAUAAAGAAUUACAUGAUAUAAAAACUAAUUUGACCAAGUGUAAUACAGACUAAUGUAGUAUUCUAUGUCAAUCGAGAAGCCAUAAACUAAAUGAAUAAGAUACAGCUCUGUAUCUGGUCUCUCAACAGUAUGUAGUUCAUUAGAGCAAAAAACUUAGUGAGGUAACUUUCAAGAAAAUACUUGAUUACCACUAAAGGUGCUCCUAGGUUAGAAAACUGGUGGUGAAAUGGAAUAUCAGAAGCAUUGCAUAUCUUUCUGAAUCAAGUCACGUCUUAACCAACAUAACAUGUCAAGUAGAUAAGAAGGCAACAUAACAUGGCAAGUAAGUUUAAACUUCCAAACAAAUGAAACAAGGAGAUAAUGUAACAAAAUAUAAGAGGUCUAAUUUCAACUCAAUUACAUUAAGCAUCUUAUCAUUCUGAUGAACAAGGAUAAAGACGGUGUUUGGGUCAGCUUGUGCGCGGUUCGACUAAUCUCCCAUAUAUAUAGUACCUACUACCUCUCACCAACACAAUUGUUGAGUAAAUCAACCUUAGGGAUAGCUUUUAUGCAUUGGAAAGUAGCAAAGGAAAAUUAUUGUAACGAAUUUCCAGAAGAUCAGUUGCUACUUGAUUACCUUUAGAAACUUCCGGCUUCAAUAUUAGUGAAAUGUAAUGAAUAGUCAUGUAACCAAAACAAAAAAGAAGUAUCAACCAACUAAAAUUGUAAUGACAUAAUUGUGGAGUAAUAAAGAAACAAGCAAACACAAACUAGAAGAUCUCCAAUUAAAAGGCUUGUGAUGGAUGAAUAACUUAAGUAACAUACAAGAAUGACGAUUAUGUCAUGUCUCAAAUUAACUUGCCGAAUCCCAAAAGAUAAACAUAAUAGCAGGAAUGAGUGUUUUAGAGCUCUAUAUCUCUCUGUCUCUUCUACUUGUUCCUUCUUUCACUUUACAAGAUUAGUACAUCUGUCUUGGCGGACUUGUCUGUCCAGUAGUUGAAAGUUUCAGACAGAUGGGAUCGAAAGCCUUUCACGUUGACUCCUUCAUUGUUCUAUGCACAAAGUGGAUGUAACAUGGAAAUAUUAGAGGACAAAAACUUGGGAACUACUUCCUCCAUGACACUACUCACUAGAUAACAAACAAGCUGCUGGUUCAUUGACAUAUAUGUUGUAUUCCUUAAUUUCCAAUGAUGAUAUUCAUUAAAUGAAUCUCUGUACUUUCCACUUAUUGAAGGUAUGCAAACCUCAUUGAUCUUUAUAGGCGUAUAUAAAAUUUGAUGUUCGGUGUACAAGAACAUAUAAAGGGGUUUAUAUGAUUUUGAACUAUCUAUGUAUUGCAUUUGGGCGUUCAGAUCCUUUCACUAACAUGGCUCCAAAAGACUAACUCGCUAACAGAGCACGUUCUUGGAGUUUUACUGUUCUCCUAAGGAUAUGUGACGCGAAAUUUCAAAAACUAGUGCAUAAACAAUGAACAACGAUGAUAGUAACCACAAAGCUAAGCUAAAGUAAGAUGAGUUUCCAGUCCAACACAUAAAUUGUUAUACAUCAGAACACUUUUUUUCCUUAAUAAAUUACAUGUUACAAUCAUGCUUGUUAAAAUUAGUAGCGCUUCUUUACCUCAUUAAGAUUAGUAAGGUAAGACCUAGUCUCCGUUGCAUGUACUUAUCCUUGUUGAGGAUCUUUUGUUUUUGUUAGUAAUAAAAAGUCGCUAGACACGCCAUUUUGUUUUCCUUUUUGCAGUUACUCUUGGUUGAAUAUUAGGUUUGCCCCUUGCUGGAUGUGCUUUAGAGAUUAGACCAUUAACUUCAGUUAAGGUAGGUAGAAAAGUUAUGUUAGUGUAAAAAUCCUAAAAUAAUAAUAGGGUAAUACCAUUUAUGUAUAUAUUUCUUUCUAAAGAAGAAAUGAAAAUUAUAACCAAUUGCACACUUUCACACCCUUUUCAUUGAUUUCAAUAUCUGAAUCAUAGCUUGCAAUACCUUCAAAAGAGCUGUGAUUAUGAAUGUUGACAUGGUAGCCCUUUUCAUAGAAUUAAUAAUACAAUUUUGGUAUGCGGAGUUAUUUUGUUCAGCAUUUGGUUAAUUAAUUAGUCCCAAGAACUUACAAUUUGCACUAAAAGUGGUGGGGCUCAAUCCCAUAUAGAAGGUGAGAGAGCCUAAAUCUUAUGGAUAUUCUCGUCUAUCCUAUCUCACGUACCAAACAACCUCUAGGAUUUAGUUACAUCCAUUAAUAUUCAACAGUUUAAUUAAUUUUUUCCAUCAUAAAUGCAAUUUAACUUGCUAUUAUUAGAUUAACUUUCAAAUUACCCACUAAUUAGUAUUAUAAAUAGUUACAUAUAACUUAAUCUGAUGAUGGUAUACAAACUUUUUAGAACACCAAUAUAAAGAAGUUUAACCUCAGAAAACAUUAAUCUUUCUCCAUAUGGAAAUAAAACAACCCAUUUCCAGUUUAAUAACAGUAAUAAUAAAAAAUAGACAUCAGUAUCCAUUCAACACAAGGUGCAAGCAAAUAUGAAAAGGAUCACAAGAACACAGAGGAGGCAAAAAUAAAAAAAUCUUAUUACUAGUAUCAUUUAAAGUAGAAAAAAGCAUAAAGACAACACACACAGCAAUAAUAUGAUGAAACACAAGGGUCCAUCAAGCUCAUAAAAAGACACCACGCUGAAAACUCACAAGUCUCCAACUACAACUCACCCAUCCAAAGUGGAAACAAACCUAACUUUAAGACAAGAUUUGAUCAUGUCUCUCCAUCAGCCUUUUCAUGAUAAGCUUAGAGAGAAGGGCCCCCUUAUUCAAUGCACUUCUUCAACAUCAAUGCCAUCACUGCCCUUUGUGGAAUCAACAGAAAGAUCAAAACAUCAUAGCUACUCAUUCUGACCUAUAACAGUGGGAGACUCUGACCCUGUGCUGGUGAGAGAUAGCAAAUACCAAGCGAAAUAGUUGCAACAAACUGACCCCAACAUAACCAACCACAAAAGUAAACCAUCAUACAGUCAUUCAAUUCAAGAAACAUAAUAGGGUGGAUGGUGGGACCCCAAAUCACCAAAUGCGCAUGCAUAGAAACCAUGGUUUUCUCAAGAUUUUAAAGGGUCCCCCUCAUUCACAGCACUCAUCUUUUGAACUUUGAAAUUCUACUUUCUUAACCACAAAAGCUAAAAAUAAUCAUUCCUCGUCGACCAUAGACAUUCCCCUUUUUGUUCUACCCCUUGCAAGUAAAAGAUCAAAAGAAUCCCACUAAAUCUUUUCCUCUAGUGGAUAAUAAUACUUGUUGCACUGUAGGACUGAUGAGGAUGGCAAAUGCUUCACAAUUUAACUACUUUCAACCAAAUAAUGAUAUACGGCUUUUCUGUACUAUCCAAGCAACUGUACCCCUAAAAAGUCAUAAUGCUACUGUUGUAGGGGUUGGAUACUAGUCUGUUCUUUAACAAGAGGCUGGGGGAUACUCUUGAGGGAGCUCAGAUCCUAAGGCUUUGGCUUUACCCCUCAAAGACUUCAAGUAAUUGAUUGCUUCAUCAAUAACCAACAACGGGUCCUUGCUCUUUAUCCCAGGAAUCAAGCUCUCAAGAAUCCUCAAGGUUUCACGAAUUUUAACUUUCCUUUCCCUAGUGCUCAAACUGGAAUCCUUAUCCUUCCCACUAGAAGGAAGAGAGCCUCUAACACAUUUUGCUUCCACAUCAUCAUUGGGCCAUCUAGAUUCUAUGUAUGAUGAUUUCUUGUACCCACCAUCUAGCAAUCUUUGCCUUUUGCAUGUGCCAUCAGAACUGGCAACUUCUUCUGUAAGUUCCACAGACUGUUGCUCAUGCUCACCGCAGCCGCAGCACCCCUGUUUUGCACAAGGAGAGCGAUCUGUGCUAGUUACUUCAUCAUCCUCACCAUAAAAAUCAUCAUCUUCGUCGCCUUCAAUGUCAUCAGAAGAGAAAAGCAACGCAUUGAUCUCAUCUGUAUCUUCAAGCGUAUUACUUUCUUCACCAUUAACAUAACUUUCAUCCGAUUUCUCUCCAAUAACGGGCUUCACUUGAAAUCUUUGCUCAACUACAACAUUCAGGUUCUCAUUUUGAUGCAAACCAUAAGCACCAAACACUUCUUUCGGUGUAAUAAUUUCAUCCUCAGCAGGACGACCUUGACUAAAGAAAAAUCUAGUUUGAUUUCCAGAUUGAUCACAAAUGAGAAACCUCUUCUGAGGAUUUGUAGAUGCAUCAGUUGGUGGGGACUUAAACCCAAUCAAGUGAGGCAGAAAGCAUUUAGUAUCACUUGAAUACACAUUUUUGGUGGGAACUAAGUUUGGCCGCCAAUUGACUCCAUUGUGACAUGCUUCCAUGGAAUUCGGCAAACAAGGGAUAAAGCAUGAACGCCUAGGAGAAACUGCAUUUGCAGCACAUAUGGCAGGGGUAUACAGAGAUGGAACGCCUAGGUGAUGUCCAGGUUGCAAGAGUGUAGUGGCAUAAUUCAAAUUUGGUGAAGUCCAUGCAGGAUCCUGCUGGUAAUAUUGGAGCUCGCUGGUCGUAACCAUCUAGACAAAAGAGAAACCUAACAUGCAUAAUGUAAGAAAUUAGAUGGAAAACCAUAACAAAAAGCAACAGAAGUUUAACACAAAUAGCAGCAGAAAGACUAGAUGCAUACCAGUAAUAUGAAUUGUACAAAUUCCACCUUAAAUUACUUUAAGGACGCAAAUAACAAGAAAUUACUAUAAAGCUGGAUUUAAAACAAAGGUAUGAACUCAGAGCAUCUACGUCACAGGCUUCAACAACUGACGGAAGUAUUCAGCCUGGUAAGCAAAAAAACAGACUGUUAGUUUGGCAGCUUUUCAAUUACAUCAUAGAAGCCCACAACUGAGUAGAACAGUUAAAUAUCACAGUAAUUAUCCAUAAGUGAGGCAAUAAUAUAGAACGAACCUGGCAAUUCUCCAAUGGUUGAAAGCAUGCUAUAAACCUGACUCUAAUCGUUGCUCUCCCCGUGAUUCCAUUCUCAUGCUUUGAGGCCCGAAAUCUUGUUUGGCUUGCGGCUUGGCACACCAUAACUACUUUUAACCUUCCAAUGAAAUCAAAAUCUAUGCCAAAGACAAUUUCUGAAGCCCAAGAGUAAUAGGUAACUAGCUUUUGGAGGAAAAUGGAGACUACAACAAAGGAGAAGCUUGAAGAAAUUGCAGUAUGAGAAAAGCAAUCUGAAAGACCAAUAAUGAGCACAGGAUGACAAAGUGCAAACAAAUCAAAAUCAGGACUCCGAGGAUUAAUUUGAUUAGCAGUUGCCUAUCUUUCAGCUAAUCCUAUAGAUUUAUCAAGAAAAAAGACAAAACUAACUGGUUACAGUUGAUAGGCAGAUGAAGAGAAUGGUGAGACAAAAAAAAUCUGGCUUAAUCGGAGAAAUGACUUAAAGGAUCACCCUGCAAUACAAGUUCAAGGGGAUGACACAGCAAAGCACAUCAAUUGACAGACUCAGCCACCGCAUAUUGUUACUCCUUUACACAACAGAAGUUUUCACAGUUGUGGUAUAUUGUCAAUAGGAAGUUAGUGCACCUGAAAGAUUUGGCAACAUAUGUAUCAGAGUCAUGAACCAGAACAACUAAACAGUUUGCAAUGUAAUAUCACCAAAAUCCUUGAGAGAAAAUAGAAGUGUAAAUUACUAGACAGUGAUGGUUUUUAACCCACACAAUGUAGCUGAAACCUAUCUCUUCUUCCAUUUCAUAUGAAUAAUAUUCAAAAAAAAAAGCUAAAGGAAUUGAAGGGAUGUGGAGUAACUUAGUCACUAGGCACAAAUCAAUCAAAAUCAAUAACCAAAUCAAAUCAGGCUCCUAUAUCAGGACACUAUACAGCUCUCUAUGAGUUCUCAUGAACUUAAACACCAAAACCCAUACUAAAUCCAGAUAUCUUUUGCAAUAAAUAUAAAAUAAAUAAAAAGAAACAAAACUGAUGUUCUCAACACUAAAACCAUAAGUUGAAGGCCAAAUCAUCCAAGAAACCCCAUCAAGCAAAUGCUUCUGAAAAUCUUUUGAAGAGGCAAAAACACACAAACACGGGGAGAUUGAAAUCAAGAAUUCAGAAAAAACAUGAAAAAAUGAUAAUAAGGGGUUUUCAGAGAUAAGAUUAAAAAGAUUUCCCAAAGAUCCUAACCGUCACCAAACCAGAUAAACAAAAGCCUCAUAAUUUAAAGUAUCAAGAUUACGUAAAGAAACAUAAACAGUGUGCAAAGUAAAAAAUUCUAGUGAAAAACGUAGAAUGAAGAGAUCCAAGACAAAUGUAAACCAGCAAGCAGUAUGCAGAGAGAGAGAAGCAGAUGCAGAAUGUAAGCAGGUAUAAGAAGAAAAGAUGAAAGAAGUGAUGCAAACAUCCAAGAAAAAACACACAUGGAGAUACAAUCAAGAAUUCAGAAAAAAAAAUAACAUCAAGAAAACCUAAAGAUGAAAAACUGAUAAUAAGGGGUUCUCCAAGAUUAGAUAAAAAGAUAUCCCAAAGAACACAACUUUCACCAAACCAGAUAAAUCAAAGUGCUUAUCAUUUAAAUUAUCAAGAUUAUGUUAAAGAAACAUAAACAGUGUCUAAACUAGGGAAAAAAAAGGUAUCCGGAAACUUACAAUGAAGAGAUUCAAGACAAGUGUAAUUGAGAGAGAAGAGGCAGAAUGUGAAGUAAUUAUUGUUUGAAAGUAGAAGAAGAGCAGAUGAAAGAAGAGGUGAUGUAAUUUGGAAAGGAUAGCAUUAUAUAUACGUUCUAAUGACAGCUUUACCCUUCAUUACAAUCAUAAAUACAAUAGUAUCCUUUCUUCUUGUUGUUUUUUUCACGUUUGAGUUGAAAUACCUAUUAAUAAAACAAUUAUUGAUAUAAUAAGUAUAUUAUCAUGUUCCUACUAAUCAAUGUCUAGGAUCGGUUUUGAAAAUUAACGUGAAUGUUAGGAAUAAAACAUAGAAUAAAAUAGGGGAUUGUUUGUUUAUAUGUUUAAAAAAGUGACAAAUAAAAAUAAAAAUUUAUUUUGAGAAGAAAUAACAAAUAAUAAAAGAGAGUAACGUUUUAAAUACUUUUUUACCAUUAUCCUUGUAUUUUAAUGUAUAAGAAACACUAGUAUUUUGAACUCAAGAUUCAAACCAGGCCAAUUGUCUCGCAUAAAGUGAUCAAAUUGAGUACUAUAAACAUCAACGUGCAACAAAAUCAACAAAAAUGAUGAUUUUGCAAUCAAGUAUAAUUAUUAGCAAUGAUUAUAUUCAACGAAAAAAAAAGUGAAUUUAAGCUGUGACAAUAAAACAUGAUGAAACGCACACUUAAUUUAGUCCCUUGUGCCUUCGAUAUUUAUGAGGAUCAUCAUGCCAGUAUUGAUUAGCUUUAAGGACUCAGGCCGUGACUUUAGGAGGCAAUGGGUAUUUAAGGUCCAUUAAACAUCAUUAGAAAGUUAAGCAGAAAGCAUAAUUGUAAAUUGAAAAGCUUAAUUACUACUCCACAUGAUUCCAAAAGAGAAAAUAAAAUGAUUAAAACCAUGGUGUGAAAUAAGACUUUCAGCCAAAGCAGGUUCAACCACUCGCUAUAUAUUAUAUUAGAUUCAAUAAGUAAUAAUCGACAACCACUUCAUAUAAUUAAGUAAUUUUUUAAAUAAUGGAUAAUCAUAAGAGUAAAUUUAGGUCUGCACUUUUCAAGACACAAAGCAACCACUAGCAUCAAUUGAAGGGAUUUGUUAGUUUGUUGCUGAUUUAUUUACAUUGUAACAAUUGGCAGUGACACAGAAGUAGAGAUGUGUAGAGUUGUGAGACAAUAACAAAUUAACAUGACUGAAGGCUUACCAGAGAGACCAAUUUGAUCUCUAAAUGGUAAUUGAGAAACAAAGUAUGUAACAAACAACAAAGUUCCUUUCAAGAUGAGUAUCUUACUGUGGAGAGCCCUAACCAUUGAGGGGUACUGAUGAUAAGGUGGGUAGCUAAUGAUUGAUGUGGUAGACCCUCAUGGUGCACCUUUUUGGCCACAAUCAACUGGAUCUAAGAUGGUGUGGCUUCUUCUAUGCCACACUAGGAAUCGAAGUUUUCAUGAUAUACAAUGAAGACAAAUAUUACUCCACCGCUGGACUCGUAAAAACACCACUAUCUCUGAAAUUAUCACCUCAUCUACUUGUGGCCUAAAGCAAAGUAAUGAGGUCAUUCCAGAUUGCUCAUAUGAUCAUUCAAGCUCCAGGCAAUGUCGCAUGGACUAGAAUGGUGCAUCAGCAAAGGGAUAAGAUAUAUCAUAGCUCAUAAAUGGGAAGGCUGUCAUUCCUUGCAAAAUGACACAUUCAGUGAUUAAGAACCUGGUAUUACAGUAUGACAUAGUCAUCAAACACUGCCUGACAGAAGCCAAUCAAGUUGACAAGCACCAGCUACAAACUGGAAAAUUCCUCAGACUAUCAUGAACAUCAAGAGUUGCCUCACAGAUAAUUACAGGUCUUUGUUUCUUAACACUGCAUAAGAGCUGGGAUCCACCCAGCAUACCCUUCAGGAGAAGGGAAUAACGGGCAAGACACAAGGGUACACCACAAAGACAAUCACACUCACAUUCUCAUUCCCAUCGUUUCCUCCUAGUUUUGUCAAAUUGAGUUUCCACCAAUUCUUUUAAGCUAUCAAUUUUUGUGAUGAAACAUUAGGCUAUUAUACAUAAGGCAAUAGGCAAGCAUAUAGAAUGCGACAAGGAGAAUAGUACCCCAUAUUAGUUGGAGUUGACCAUACAAACUCUUACAUCCAUUCCAUAUUAUAUUUCAUUACUAACUAAUUUGUCUUGCAAGGCAAAUUAGUAGUCUCAUAGAAGACCAUUAUCCAGACAAAAGCUUCAAAGCAUUUAUUAUUGCCUUAAUCUGUUUCAACAAGUUGCAUUAGAGCAAAAGAGUACAUGAGCAGUUCUGAUACCCUCAAGCUGUCUACUGUAUAGUGUACAACAGCUCCAUCGGGAAUGCCCAAAUGUUAGCAAAUUGCUCAUUGUGCACCUAGGACUUCAAUCUCAAAAACCAGAACUGAGUUGGGCUGAAUACCCCAUGCUGGAAAUCCACCAGCACCAUAAGCAUAAUCAGGGGUGCACUGCAAAAUUGAAGACAUCAGUUUAAACCUCUCCUUAUAGAAGAUCUUAAUACAUAAAAGCCUAGAAACUUUUUUCAUAUAUGUACACAAUUAUAGUAAGAUUAAUACUCUUAGGAAGAAUGCAAUUAUUGUAUCAUCGCCAUUCCAUUAUAAACUUUGCAGCCAAUCCCAUCAAAAAGAUGGAGAUGAUGUGACCAUGAAAUGGGCAGUAAUACGAGGCAGAAAUUGAAAAACGACAAUUAGGGGGAGUUAUCUGAAACCAUCAAUCCACUUUAGAGUGUCAAUUGUAGAAAACAUCAUAAUGUCUUCCUAUAAGCCAGUCAGCCAAAAGGAUAGAGACAUUUCAGUGAAGUGAAAAUAAAUCAAAACUCAACAAUGUAAAAUAACUAGGAGAUAUCAACCUCCUUAUUUUCCAAUUGACUCUUAGUUUUCUGACUAUAAACCCAUAACUCAAUGGGAGUCUAAACUUCAUAACAUGGAUAACACAAACAUAAUUAACUCCGUGAUUGAUUUGACUUCAACUGAGAAUCAAAAGAAAAGAGAAGGCAUUUACCGUUAAUCGAGCAACUUCUCCCAAUUGCAUGCCCAGUACUCCUUCAUCCCAUCCUGUAAAUAAGGAGACAUAAGAAUAAAAGAAAUGCAAGCUGAGAGAACUGUCACUAUGGUCUACAGCGUUCUUAAGUUUCUCCCUUUGAAGACCCCAGAAGGAGGUGGGGAUUUGUUCAUAAUGGGCACAUGUCUGACAAAUAUAGAAGGAUCUAAAAAUGCCACUACAAAAGUUCACCACAGCCAAAUUUUACUUCGUAAGUCAGCUAUGAGCUUUUGCUUUGAGAAAGAAGUGUUAGUUUAUCCAACAUUAAUCUGGUAUCACUCAAGAGACCGAAGAAUCAGCUGAACUAUAUGUGUGCUUCAAGGGAAAAGAUAUCUUAGCUCCUUCCAUAGUGUCUUUUCUAGAAUGAUAGCAAGUUGGUUGUCUCAACUUAAAGACCUACCAUCAUUUGCCAACAAAUCUAUAACUCUACAUGAAUCCACCUAUGUCACAUUUAGACCUCUUUGGCCACCAACGUAGUAAGCUUUUGUUUGCUUUACAAAAGUGUAAGUUCUCUUGCACUAAAAGCUGUCCAGUAUAAGAGCUAUAAGCUUCCGGACCACUUCUAUGGUCAGAAAUUGGGUUUGAGAGAAAUUUAAAAUGACAAUUGAAAUCAAUAAGAAAAGUAGUGGGAUCACUACUAUAAGUUCCAUUCAUGGUUAGUCCAAUAUAAGACUACUAAAUUUUCCAAAUUAAUUGUCCAAUUGAAUACAUUAUCACGCAUUACUUAUAAUAACAUACUAACGCAUAAACUAGGAAAAACAAAUCAUAUAAAUCGAGAUAUACAGGAGUCGUAAGUACCUUUGAUAACUUUGCCUUGGCCGAUCUUGAAAGAGAAAGGCUGCUGGCCUGGAUCCUUAGUGCUGUUACACGUAAAAUUAAGCAAAGAUAUAUACUACACAUAACCCUGCAUCAAACUUCAUAAAUAAAUAAAAAAAAACAGUUUACCUCCAGAACUUCUGACUCAGGUCUCUAUCUUUCCCUGCAGGCAUAGAACAAUAAAAACAAUAUUAACCAAAAAUACUACUAAAAACUGUACUUACUAAAAAUCAAACUAUAUUAAAGAUCCGAUUCAUCUAUAAAGAAUAAAAACAGACUGAAUUAGAGAUUAACUAGUUUGAUGCGAUUAAUCCCUUGUGAAAAGAAAAUGGAUCUUUUUCUUUGGCGAAAAAAGAAAGAGGACUCACCGUAACCAGUGCAGUGGACGGUAACAGUUUGACCAGGCUGCGGUUUGGGGCCAUUUCCGGCUCUGAUAACUUCCUUCUCCACUCCCAUUUUUUCCGGUGAUUUUGAUGAAAUCUCCGACUUCUUGAUUUAGGGUUUGAUGACUGAAACUGUAGUGCUUGUCAAUUUCAAGGGUCAGUGUCACGUGAUUCUCGCGUGCGGCAGCGGAAUAUCUUCGUUACUUUCCUUUUUAUACCCUUUUACAUUUUAUUUUUUUUUAUAUAUGGGCGGAUUUCUAGCUUGUUCGAGGAGAAUAAAAAUUGCUUACUUUUUUUUUUUUUUUUGAAAAAAUGCGAUAAAUUAAGGUCUUAUUGUCUUUAAAUUUGUAUUGUUUUUAAUUUUUUGUAUUUUUUUUACUUACGUGAUAUCUAUAUAUCUCUCACGCGUCAAUUGUGUGGAUGCACGGAGUGUGCCACGUAUGACAAAAAGUAUAUAAAAUCACAAAAAAAAAAUAAGUUCAAGGGGUAAUAAGACCUUAGUUUAGUUUAAUUGUGUCUCUGGAUUUCGAUCAUAGUUUAGGGGGUAAUUGUGUAUUUUUCCUCUUUUUUUACUUCUUCUUUUGUAUGAGUUUUUGGCCGAAAUUAUCCCUAUCAUAUGACUAAACCUAAAGUAUAUCCUUUUAUUAAAUAAGUGAAAAAAAUCCUGAAUUAUUAAAAAAGUUGCAAGAUGUAUCCUUUUGUCUAUUUUUUUUUUUUAAGAAACUCACGUCGCAAUUAAAAAUGUGUCAAGUCAAAUGAAUAUAUGUUCACAUGGUUAAGCUAAUCAAAUUAGGCGGUUCUUUUCAAUUUUUUGAAAUUGAGGGUUUAAAUUAUAUUCAUACAAAAUAUAUUCAAAUUCUAAAUAUUCUUUGAAAAAAACAAAUACUACUCCAACUUCAAAAAUUUCCAAUAAAGUAAUUAUAUAUUUUUUAUUUUAAUAACUAAUCAGCUACAUAAUAUCACAUUAUUUCCAGCAUUUUUAUACAUGGUAUAAAAUGUGAACAUUGUAUACAUAAUAUACCCUCAAUAUUUUAUUAAAAACUCUCUAAAUAGUUGGAUUUAAUAUAUUUGAAAUGAUUUCUUUACGUAAUCUUUCUAAACUUCAGAACAUAAUGUAUGAAUUAUUCAGAAUUUAUGUAUUGGUUGAAGUCACAUGAUCGAGAAAUGCAAGUUCAACUUGAUGAAAUUGUUCGUACUAUGUGGGAAGAUUAUAUUAAAAACUACUACACAACAAUUUAUGUUCAAUUUUUUUUAUUAAAUUAAAGUUAGAUGAAACAAUUAUUUAAGUGUAGAACAAAUACCUUUGUAAUACUUUAUUAUGCAAUUUUAUUUUUUUAUUUGAUAAGAUUGAAUAAACAAUUGUGGCUAUUUAAUAAUUUUACAACUUCUGAAAUUUAUAUAUUUAUGAGAAAAUAUGUAACACAAAAAUUUCAUAUCACAUGUCCAAACAAAACUUCAAUUUCAUUGAUUCCAUAUCAUAUUACAUGACCAAACGGGCCCUUAGAUAAUAUAAGAAUGUACAUUAAAUUUGAGUCAUAGUUGAAAAAUGAUUUAAGCCAAAAACUCUUUUUCGUAGCAUACUGAAAAUAUAUUUUCUAUUACUUACUUAUUUUUAUAAAUUUAAAUUUCUCAAGUACCAUUAAUUUAAUAUUUUUUAAUUGUUCUAUCAAGAACACUAAUAAUUUAUGAGUCUGGAGCCUAAAGGGUAUAAAAUAUUAACAAAAAUUUCAAAACGGUAUAUAAAAUUUUAUACUAACCAAAACAGCAAAAUCGUUGCAUCAACAACGAUUUACUCCACCGAAAAAAGCAAAAUCGUUGCCUCUGCAGCGAUUUUGAAAAAUAUGUUUUUUUAAAAAAAAUGAAAUCGCUACCUAGGCAGCGAUUUUAAUUUUUUUAAAAAAAAACCGCUGCCUAGGCAGCGAUUUAUAAUUUUUUUUAUAAAAUCGUUACCUUUUUUUAAAAAAAUGUUGAAGUCGCCGCCCACGCAGUGAUUUCCAAAAAAAAAAAUCGCUGCCUAGGUAGCGAUUUUUUUUAAAAAAAAAUUAUAAAAUUUUUAAAUCGCUACCUAAGCAGCAAUGUCAUAUAUAUUUUAAAAUAUGUAAAUCGCUUAGCGAUUUUAUAAAAUAAUUUUUUUUAACAAAACAAUUUUAUAAAAAAAUCUUUUUUCAAAAAAAACGUUGUGUAGGCAGCGAUUUAAAAAUUUUAUAAUUUUUUUAAAAAAAUAAAUCGCUGCCUAGGCAGCGAUUUAAAAUUCUAAAAAAAAUAAAAAUUUUUUGGAAAUAGCUGCCUGGGCAGCGACUUCCACAUUUUCAAAAAUACGUAGCGAUUGUUUUUAAAAAAAAUUAAAAAAAUUAUAAAUCAGCGAUUUUUUUUUAAAAAAAAUUAAAAUCGGUGUCUAGGUAGCGAUUUUAUUUUUUUAAAAAAAAUUCACAUUGUGCAAAAUCGCUGCAGAUGCAGCGAUUUUGCUUUUUCCGGUGGAGUAAAUCGUUGUUGAUGCAGCGAUUAUGCCAUUUUGGUUAAUAUAAAAUUUUAUAUAUCGUUUUAAAAUUUUGUUAAUAUUUUGUACCUUUUAGGCUCCGGACUCAAUAAUUUAUUCGGCAUUAUACUCUCUCUGUCCACUUUUAGUUAUUAAAGUUUCUUUUUAGAGUCAAAUUAUGAGAAUUUUAAUUGAUAUUUUGUGAUAUAUUUUUUCAUCAUAAUUCAUAUUGAUUGUAUCAAUAUGAUGAAAAAAUAUAUCACAAAAUAUCAAUUAAAAUUCUUAUAAUUUGACUCUAAAAAUAAACUUUAAUAACCAUAUACUUAUUAAAUAUUUAAUUUUUUUAUUUAAGAUAUCAAAUUAAUGUAAUAUAAUUUAACUUUAAAAAUUAAUCAAAUUGAAUUUAAAAAAUACGAUAUAACAAUUAAAAAUAAACUAAGAAAGUAAGUAUUUAAAUUAAAAUAAAUACCUUUUUGGUAAGAUUUUCAAAAUGGAGUUGCAAAUGAAUUUAUCAGUUUACCCAUCAUUAAUAGUUAUUCAAUUAAGAUUUUUAAAAUUUCAUUGACAAGGCUGGUGCAUAAUACAAUUUUGCUUGAAUUAAAGGUGCAAUUUGGAAAUGUGCCAAAACAACAGUAAUUAAUAUAUAUAUAUAUAUUUAAACAUGUGAUUUCACGUUACUUUCAAUCAUGAGAUAGAAUCUCAUAUUCUCCAAAAAAUUAUAUCUUGGGAAGUCAGUAUUAUAUUUGAAAAUUUUUAAAUAUAAAAAUUGACCCAUGAAACAACUCCAUAUAAAUCUACUUGUCAUUUAUUUCAUAGGUAAAUGAAAUUUAUAAUCAUAUAUCGAUCUGGACACAUAAAGAAUUCUCAGCGUCGAGAGAGAUUUGAGAUUUUGUAAGUAACGUAGUGAGUGUUUUCUAAGAAGGGCUUCGAAGAAGAAAAUGAAAUAGGAAUAACUGCGCUGGUCAUAAUAGAUCGAUUUUCAUGCUAGUUCUUGCUCCAACAUGAAAGUGGACUGCCGAGCUACAAAUCCUACGACACAUAAUUAUUUUUAAAAAUUUAUCAUUCUCACCAACAUAUUUAUUAUUACUUUAAAUCAAUUCUACUUAUCAUCUAUAUUCAUAACUACUACUUCAUUGUCUAAUAAAAAAAACUACUUUUUCAUCUAUAGUGAGUGAACAAGACCGAUCACAAUAGCUUUGUAAUAGUUUAUUAUGUAAUUUUAUAAAAUUUUAUUUAUUUGUUAAGAUUGAGUAAAGAAUUGAGAUUAUAAUAGUUUUACAACUUUUUUAAUUUAUGUUUAUGAAAAGUAUAUGACACAAAAAUUUUAGAUCGAUUCAAAUAAAAUUUUAAUCUAUCUUGCAAUUUCAUAUCAUGAUUUUAUAUUCGCAUACCUUAGAAUAAGACAUUCCAUUUUAUGAUUAGAUGAAAUUGUUUUUAUUGUAUGAAAAUUUAAAACAGUCAUUACACUUUUCUCCAAGUGCUUAGACGAAUAAUAUAAUUUAGGUGACACGAUACAAUUCUAACACUCUUUACAUUAUUAUUUUUUUCUUAACCUCGUAAUAUAUGUAAAUUUCAUGUAUUUGCUAUGAAGUUCAUAUAAAAGAUGCAAUAGUGUUCUACGAAGUACAUUUUUUAGAUAUGAAUUUGGACAUAAUGUAGAAUGAAAACAUGCAUUUAAUGCAGACAUCAAUAGUAAUAUGUAUGUUGAGAAUUAGCUAUCGAGUGAUAAUGAUCCUUAAACUAUUUGCCUAUCGAUUGAUUAAUGAGAUAUAUAGCUUACUAUUGUUAAUUUGCUUUUAUCAUUUAAGUUAUUGAUUGUAUACUUUUUUACAUAUAAAAUUCAAAUAAAAUUUAUCGUAAUUACACAAAAUAAUUUUACAGCAAAGCAAGUUAGCCAACUUUCGACUAAAAUUACCAACUUUAGUUGAAUCUAGAAUAAAAAAUUAAACUGAUAAUAAAUAGAUUAAAUCAUAGGAACCAACCUAAUAAUUAAAAGCUCUAUUUGAUUUUUCAAAUAAUUGAAGAAGUAUAUAUAUUCCUCCCCCGGUUAUAACCCUAAGUUUAAAUAAUUGAAAGUUGUCAGUUUCCAUUUUGAUACAAUAAGAUAACGCCAAAUCAAAAUGGACCUUGAUACUCUGUCAGAGAUAAGAGUACUCAUGUGAGCAAUCAUGUCAUACCUAAACUUUAUCCACCGACACUGUUAACUUACUUAAUCUAUCAUUUAUAAAUCAAAUUGAUCAAUUAAUUUAAUACGAAAAAAGUGUUAUUGAGUUAAUGAAUUUCAAUGAUUUUAUAUAAAAGAAUUAUUUGAUUAUUGGUUCAAUAUUAAUUUUAUAAUAUUGAAUUAUUAGGUAAAGUUGAUAACUAAUUAAGAUAGUUGUAAUGUAUGACUUUACCUAUGUAUGAAUAAUAAUGUCAAUAUGGUUACUACCUUUGUUCAAUGCUUUCAAUUCGAAUUAUUGUCCUAGUUCUUAUAUUUGUGUUGCACUUGUAUAGUUUUUUCAUAUUAGUUACUAUUGUUAUGCGCAUUCUAUAAAAUUACAUUAUUAUUUUAUCGCGCCAAAUUGCGGAGAAGUCAUAUAAUUAUUUAAUGACCAUUUUUUUAUUAGUUAAUUCGAAAUGGAACUAUUGAUGAUAAAAAAUUGAUAAAUAAAAAAAUAUUUUGUUGAAUUAAUUAUUAAUUUAGCAUUUAUAAAAAUAAGGAAAUAAUAAUAUAUAAAAUCAAAUCAAACCGAGAAGUACAUCGUAAUAAACCUUAAAAAUGAUAAUGACAAUCAAUCAUGGAGCUAGGGGAUUUGAGGAUCAGUAAGGAAAUAGGCAAUAAUUUAGUUGAUUACAGUUUUAAUUGUGGAAGAAUUUUUCAAUUCAUAGUUUAAUUAAGUGGCCUAGUACGUAAUAUACUACUAAAUGUUUUUUCUUUAUUUAAUACUCCACCUUAAUAAAAGUAUUUUGGUUGGUGCGACGUAUUCUAAAGGGAAACUCAACUACUUGUCUACACGUAAAAGUAAAGAGUAGUUGUUGAAGGAAUUGAUUGAUAAUCUUAUUUUGCAUGCAUGGCCUAAUAUACCACUCCCAACUUUUAUUUUCUUUCUUUGUUCAUUUCAGGUUUAUGCAAUUAAUUUCUAUUAUUGUAAAACAAAAAUAUAUACAAAUGUUCAUUAACCAAAAAUCUCAUGCUUUCGACGGAUUUAUAUAAGAUAUAUUUUUAUCGUGAUUCUUAUUGUUUAUUUUUAUUUAUUUAUUUUAAAUUUUAUAUUCUUUUUUAAGAAAAUAAAUAUUUCAUUACCUGUGUUAAUUGACUAUGUAUAAUCUUAGGUAUAGAAAUUAAUUUGAAAAAUAAGUAAUUAAUAUUGAGAGUAAUAUAUACAAAAAAUAAUAUUAUUUUUUCUCUCAAUAUACUUAAAGUGAAAACCAAAAAUAAAUAUCGAUCAAAGUAUAUAAAAAACAAGUAAAAAUAAAAGCAAAAAAUACUUAGUAGUGGAGAUUUUGAAAAAAUGUAUAUAUGAUAUUUUCUAAAAAGAACCAUACACAUUCUGAAUAUUUUCAUUAAUAUUCAACUACUAUAUUACUAGGUCUUCCUUCAAGUUCUAAAAAUAUAAAAAAAACACUUUUGUCCGUUGAUGAUUAUCUACCUGUCUUCUACGUAAAUUAAAUUAAUUGCUUUGUCCUAAUUUAUUGCACAAAUAACGCUGUGUGGAACAUUUAAUGAAGAAAUGAAAGAAGUUAAUUAUCUAUCAUCAAUCCAUCAUCUUUCUAUUUGCAAUUUUCAUAAUUUUUAAAAAAAAUUAAAUAAUAGUAAUUUUAAUUAAUAUUUUAUUGUAUAUUUUUUAAUGUUGAUAUGUAAAAAUUUUAUAUUUAUAAUAUUUUUCAUUUAAUAUUUAAAUAUAUCAAACUAAUAAUUUAAUUUAGUUUUAAUAAUGAAUUAAAUUAACUUUUAAAAAAUGUAUGAUAAUUAACAUGAGAUGAAUAGAGUACUUAUCAAAUAAAAAUAUUUACAUCUGACUGUAUAUCUUUAUCAUCUGUACGUGUUAAUUUUUUUACACCAUAAAAUUUUACUCUUGACAUGAUACUUUUAACACGGUAAAAAAGAAAAAAUAGGAGGUAAAACGGAAAAAUAGUAUAACAAAGAAGUAACGUCCACACACGCAUGCAAAACCGCUCUAUUUUUUCUUAUUAAAUCCACCCGUUUCUAAUAUCUAUAUGCUUCAUAUCUUCUUCUUCAUCAUCCUCUCUUCAACAUUUUUUUCUCUUAAAAGACAAAAAAAAGGUUAUUUUUUCCCCUUAAUUGUUGAUGUUAGUUGAGUUAUAGAUCAUCUAAUUUCAUUUCUGGGUGUACCUAGAAACUCAAUUUUUCAUGGGGUUUUCUUGACCUUUUUAUUGAAUGCUUCCAACAGAAAAAAUCAUGGAGGUUGCUAGAAUUAGACAAUUGUUGCUCCUUUGGAGUAGAAUCAAAUCUACCCGUGUUUCUCUUGUGGGUGGCAAUCACACCGCCGCUAGGUUUUGUACUCGCUAAAUUCACCUUUCUUCCGUCGCUGGAUUUUCCCCUUUCUCUCUCUCUCUCUCUCUCUCUUCUUGUAGCACAAGGUACGAUCAGUUUUUACAGACUCUUCCGAUAGGUUUGUUGUAAAAGCAUGGAUUUUGGUUUUGUGUAUUGCCCCAAAAGGGGGGAAAUCAAGGGGAAUCAUUUUCCCGAGUUGAAAAUUGGGUUGCAUCAAGACGCCGUUUUGAUUAUUAAGCUACCAGAUUCGAGGGCUUUAAGGAUUAUGUCACGGUCUUUGUUCUUUGCAAUGGUUCUUUUCAUAUUGCCGUCAAUUGGGUCCAUUUUAAGAGGCUCAUUCGAUGUAAUUGAUGAUUCUUAUGUGAAUUCUGAUGGGAGGGACUUCAAUGUGUUGCAUAAUCUUUUUCGCGAUUUGGCAGAUGAAGGCCUUGUCAAGAAGGGGCAUAAAGGACUUGUUUUGAGUUCUGAGAAUGAUCGUUUGAUCAAAGAUUUGGAAUUGUCGAAUGACAAUGUGGUUGAUUUGGUGCUUGAUUCGGAUAUGGAUUACAAGAAUUCGAUUCCAAAUGAGACAUUCGAUUUUGCAAUUGCUCAGAAUGAAUGGAACAGUAAGUUCAUUGACCGUGUACUCAAGAUUGGUGGCAUUGUUGUAACUCAACUCAGCAAUGAUCCUUUAGCUGAGCUUAAAGCUCUAGCAAACUACAGAAUCGUGUAUAUUCGACGAUUUGACAAGACUUUGGUGGGAGUUAGGAAAACUGGGGUACUAAAUGCUGAACUGAAUUCACAGAAAAAGGACAUUGUUUGUGGAAGCACACCUGAGGCUAAAAAAGUUGCAUUGAAAGGAUUAGAGGAUGUGUUGCUCGAACCGCCAAAAAGGGCAUUGCUGAAAUCAUUUUCAAGGAAGAUGAAGUUUCUUCCUGAGUUGUUAGGUGAUUCUCUUGAGAAUUACCCUCGAAGAAUCUUCAUUUCUGAUGAGAAAAAUGGGGUAGCAGAAUGGUUUAAGAGGAGCUACCCUGCAAAUAAUCAAGAUUUCGAGAUUUACAACUUGGAUGUUGAAAUCCAAGAGUCAGAGCAAUCAGGGGAUGGAGUAGCCUUAGUUGGGACAGCAGAAUGGUUGAGCAAAAAUGUUAAGGAAGAAGACUACGUUGUGAUGAAGGCUGAAGCAGAAGUGGUUGAGGAAAUAAUCAAGAAGAAAGCAAUAUGUUUGGUAGAUGAGUUGUUCUUGCACUGCAGAAACCAAUUAGAAGAAGUUGGUAAUGAUGAUGAUGAUGAAGAGGAAAAUGGAAGCCAAAAGAGGGCUUAUUGGCAAUGUUUGACAUUGUAUGGGAAGUUAAUAGAUGAAGGUAUUGCAGUGCACCAAUGGUGGAGUUGAAUCUAAGACACUUGAUUUAGCUUUGUCCUUUAUCAGUCUCUUGUUAUUGUUGUUCAUUUCAUGUAUCAUGUGUUCAGUGGUCAUCAGUGGCUUUGGCUUUCUUGUUUGAGCCAUUUGUUGUUUAAUUCUACUCUCUUUCUGUUGGCAUGAAGACUGUUGCCUCAUUUAUUUAAUGUUUUUCAUCUUCUAUCCUUUUAUUGCAAAGUUGGCAUCUUUGUCGUUAUCUUCAUAUAUUCCUAUUUUCUAACUGAGAAAAUCUGUUUCUUUUCUUUCUAUUAUUUCAUCUCUAGAUAAGAAUUUUUAAGUAUAAAGUUCACCCCAUCCACAAGUCAAUGUUAAGUAUAUAUGAUAAAUGAAGGUAGUAAUAUUGAAACAACGAUUAAUCAGUACAUAGCUUAGAUACAUAAAUAGCAACAAACAUUAAGCAACCAUUGCUUCAGUAAGCAAUUUGAAUUUAACCAAUAGAAAUACAUCAAUUAGAAGUUAAUUAUAAAGAUACGGAUAGUUGAGAGUCGUGUGUAUGAAGUUACAUUUCAAGGAGUAGUGGUUUGUGUGGCAUCAGCUGGAGUGUUGGGGAAUGGGGGAAAUGGAAAAGUAGGCAGACCACCAAAGGCGCCGCCACCAGUUGAUGGAGUAGGAAAACCUGGAGUCGUAGGCAUAGGAAAUGAGGGGAAACCACCACCAGUUGAUGGAGUCGUAGGCAUAGGAAAUGAGGGGAAACCACCACCAGUGGAUGGAGUAGUAGGCAUAGGGAAACCACCAAAUUGCUGAAGACGUCGAGCUGCUGUGGCUUGCUCAAUUGACAUUACUGAUACAACAAGCACCACAACGGCUAUCAUGACAUUUAUCUUCACCAUUUUUUGUUGUUGUAAAAAAAUACUACUCUUUUUGUUGAAUUUGCUUCUUGUUAAGUAUAUGUGCAGGGGUUUUGGGUAAGUUAUAUAGUAGUAUGUAUGGGAAUAGAAACAUAAUGAGCAUUCAAUUUGUUCACCCUCCUAUGUGGUUGAGAGUAUCAACUGAAAUCCAUCUCUCCUUAAUUAGCUGUCAAUUCAAUUAUUCUGUUUGAGUACGAAUCAUUGCUCCCUCCGUUUAACAUUACUUGAACACAUUGUUAGAAUUAUUUGUUACAAAUAAGUAAUUUACAAAAUCAUGUAAUUUUUUCUCUUGUUUUAUCCUUAAAAUUAGUUCUUUUUGCAAAGUUUAAACAGAUCAACAAAAAAAGAGUCUUGUUUAAUCUUUUUCACGUUAACAUUUAGUAAAUUGAUUAUUUGAAUAAGACACAUAAAUUGUAUUGAAAAGGGUUUAAAAAAGAUACACAAGUAAAAAUACUCUUUUAGUUUAUAAAUAGUUUUUAAAAAUAGAAAAGUAAGACAAAUAAUAUGUGGAAAACUAUUAUAUUUAUUUCUAUACUUUUGAGGAAAAAAUAUAUUUAUCUUUUGUUAUAUUUUUCUGAUAUACUUAUUUUUACCAUUCAAUUUUGGAUUCAUAAGAUAUUUAAAUAUUAUCUUAUCUACAUGGUACUCACGUAGAUAGAAUUUUUAUCUGAAUUAAAAAAAUACACAACUAUAACUGAGUCUAACUUGGUAAGCUAUCUAUAUAUUGCCUUCUUCUUUUUUUUUCCGUCAAAAACCACCUGUUUUUGGGUGGAUUUGUGGAUGAGUUGCGGAUUUUAGAUGGACUUCAAUUAAUUUUUAUAAAAGAUAAAAUAAAAUUAAGAACGGGUGAAAUGAAUUACAAUGUUGAGAAAUCAAAUUCUCACAUAUUAGAUAGAGAGUUUAGGUAACUACCCAAAUUAGCAGACUUCAAUCAGUUUAUUUUCCUAUUUAUUAGCAUUAAUUAAAAAGAGCUGUUUAACAUCCAACUAACCGAUCUUCAUUUUUUAGUUUUUUAUCAUAUUAUUUACCUCCCUUUAUUUAUUUUACACUUCUAAAAAAAAAUAAUUCAUGUUAUUUUCUUUCAAGCACUUGUUUAUAUACCUAACGUAAACUUCACAUCAUUCUUGUCCAGUGUAAUGCUCCAUCCAUUUCACAAAAUCAAGAAAAUGUUCAUUUUUCCUCUCAAUUUAUGCUUAUUUAAAUAGUACUAGCAUUUUUAAAGAGAUGCUCUUUUUUUUAAAGACACUUGAUUGAGGGAAAUUAAUAAAAAUACUUAAUUUUAUUUAAUGAAUAUGUCCAAGCAAAAUAUAUUACUAUUUCCGUUUUUUAAAAAAAAGACUUCCUUUCUUUUUUAGUUUGUUUAAAUAAAAAUGAUUUUUUUCUUUUUUGAUAAUAUUUUAAUUUUAGUUUUUCAUGUGAUAUGUUUAAUGCCACAAGAUUAAAAUACAAUUUUGUACAUUUGACAUAACUUUAAUCUAGAAUCACAAGAUUUAAAAAUCUUCUUUAUUUACUUAAACUCCGUGAUAAUUCUAAGCAGAUCAUUAUUUUUGAAACGGAGGAAAUAUGAAACGGUUGGAAUAAAUAGACAGACUCUUCUACUAUCGAAUGCUAAGAUUUACAUUUAUUUAUUAAUAAAAAAUUAUAUAAGUGAUCUUGACACUUGAUAAAAGUAUACACUUUAUCAAGCAGCAACUGUCAAAUCAAUCAUUCAACUAAUUUUCUCCUUCGCUCGCAUUAAUCUAUAAUUUGAUCAAAACCAUUGUAAAUUAGAUUUUAAUUAUGUUACUAUGAGACUCUAGGUAAAAUACAUUUGUUUUUAUAUUGAUUAAAAAGAAUAGUAAUCUAAAAUGCUAAGCUAAACGGUUGUUGAUGGUAGUUUAAUUUGGAGUAGAAAUUAAAUCGAUACAGCUUUAAUUUAUUACAAUGAAUCCAUUUGGUCCCUUAAAUGUGGCUAGCUGUUAUUAUUUAGAUGAGCGUUGAUGCCAUUAAAUUGGCUUUAACAACAACCAAAAAGCUGUCUAGAAAGGAACACAACAGACUAAAGAAAAGAUAAAAAUGAAAAACAGUGACACAUUAGGUAACCUUUUCUUAUCAAGUAAUUAGCUAUUUUUCAUUUUUUUUAUCUUUUAAUUAUUCACGUUCACAUUAGAUAACCUUUUCUUAUCAAGUAAUAAAUUAUCUAUUUUAAGAGUUUGAACUGUGGAUAAACGUAAAUAGUUUUUCAACCGUCCCACCAACCACAUCAAUAGGUAGAAUAUGAAUCAAUUUUCACAUACAAUUCAGCUCAAUUUGCUUCACAGGAUUUUUGGUUAAAUUAAUGUAGACCAACCACUACCUACAUCUUAUAACUGAAUCAAGCUAUGCACAUAAUCCUAAAACAUACAAUCAUGUAAUUUUUAAAUUUAAUUUUUUUGUUCUUUUUACACGAUAUUUUCAUUUUUACACCUAAAAGAGAUUUGAAAAGAUCAGUUUACAGAUGAUCAUAAGAGAUUUAUUUUCACGCUUACGUAAUUUCGUACACAUUGUUUAGUUGAAAAUGGGUUGCACGUACAAUAAGGACACCUCACAAAUUUCUUGGACAAGCUAAUUAAUUAUAUUAGAGCUGCUAUUAUUUUCUCCCAAAUUCUCUCCAUUUCACAUUAAAGUUUCCAAAACAGUUGAUGCAAUAAGCUUUAUAGCAUCAAAAAUUUAUUAGUCUCUCAUGAUUAUUAUGUCUUCAAUUAUUAUAAAAGAAAAAUAAUAUAAGGAAGAAGAAACGUAUAGCAGUUGGCCUUAGUGGUUAAUGAGUUACUUCUUACACUAAAAAGAUUUUAUUUGUUAAAAUUAGAUAAACAAUUUGAAACACAGGAAAAAGACAUUUUACUUUAUUGAACCACUUAACUAUUGUAAGUUGCAUUGAUUUGCUGUAGUCAUCCUCUACAAUAAUAGAGGAAUAACCACGUUUAUUAGUUAAGAAUUAUGAAUAAAGCUUAAUAAAGUCAUUUGGUUAUAAUUUUAUAUAUAUUUCAAAAUUCCUCUGAUUUUUUUUGUUACUAUGCACAUAUUAUUUUGUUUCAAAGUAGCUGAAUAUCGAAUUAUAGGACUAUGUAUGAUGUUGCUAUUUUCUAGUUUAAUUAAAAAAUCUCUAAUUUUAGCACCUAUAAUUUUAGCAUAAAAAAAUUUGGCCCAAAAGUUAGAAACUAUAGCUUCUAUAUUUUGAGUAAGAGAAAAACAAACAUCUAACACAGUGAUAACAAUGUAAGCUGGGUUAUAAAAAUAAUAAAAUUAAAGAAAAAGGAAGUACUUUGCUUUAUUUGAUAACAAAUUUAAGUUUUGUACAAUUUUUGAGUAGAUAAUAUGUGAUAUAUACAAAAAUAAUUUAUCAUUCAACUCAUUUUUAUUCUAUCCAUUUGCAUCUAACCAAUUCUCAACUCAUUCAUAUGCUAUCUAAUCCGUCCGUUAGCCAGCACAAGUCAUGACACAUAUAUAAUGUCGUAGUUCCUCAUGGAGAAGUUGAUAAUAUUGCUUUAGAAAGUUUUGGAAUUUCUGUCUUAACCACAUUUGAAUCUCAAGAUCUAUAACAAUUGAUAAUUUGGGCUUUGUAAAAGCUGGGAUCUCAGGUAUGGGGGUAGUUGGUAGCUCACGCUUUGGCACACUUGGCAAUUCGGGCUUAGAGACACUAGGUAUCUCGAGUUUUGGGACUUCUGGAAUCUCUGGCUUUGAAAAAUUAGAGGUGUUGGGGUAGUGGGCAUUGAAAAACUAGUGAUUGUUGACGUUGAGAAACUAGAAAUCUGAAGAAGAUGACGUGCUGAUAUAGUAAUUAUCAUGUGGUUAUGCAUGAUAUUUAUUAAUGCAAGCUAUAAGAUGGUGGAAAAACUACAAUGCUGAGCCAUUUUCUUUUGUAGAUUCAAGAAGCUCGGAGAAAAAUGUGGUAAGAUCAAUGCAAAUAAAAUUUUUAUAUUUUAAUAAUUUUCCAUUUAGAUAUAUAUAGAUUUUUAAAGACAUCUAAAAGGGAUAAUUUCAACAUUUGACAUGUCAGUUGAUCUAUUUAUUUGUCAAUAUUAUAAUAUCUAAAAUUUGUAUCGUGAUAAACAAUAUUAUAGUAUUUUGAAAAUCCCUAGAAUAAAGGAUGAUCAUAUUUACUAGCUUAUAUGAAAUUAUUAAGGAAGCAAACAUUUGUUAAGCUAUAUUUACUAAUCACUUCCAAAAUUGCAAUCACAAUAUCUGUUAUGUCCUUUCUUUAUUUAUAGCUUUUCUCUUUGAAUAAAUAAAAUUAAAAAAGAAUGGGUAUAAGUGAAACACAUCAUAUCAUAAUCAAACAUAAUUGAAAUUUUAAAUGCAUAUCACUUUAUCACAAUAAUAAUGACAAUGUUUAUUUUUCCUUGUAAUAAUUAAAAUCAUUACACUUUUCACUAAAUAUCUAUAAAAUCAACAUACAAACUCCCUUAGUCUUAUUUUAAGGCAUUGUAUGAUUAAAUAUCGAAUCGUAAUAUUAAAUUGAUUCAAGUGUUUGUAUUAUUACUAAAAUAUUAAAAUAAUUAUUGAUAAUUUAAUUUGAUGGAGAAAACAUUACAUUAUAUAUGAAUAUACCUAAAAGGUAUAAUCCACUAUCUACAAAAUAAUACUAUUUUAGUAAAAUAUGACAACAUUUGAGACGUAUCAGUCAAAAGAUAUAAAAGUUAUAUUAUAACUUGGAACAAAUAAACAAUACUUAUAUUGUUGCAGACAAAAUUAGGCACGGAGGAAAUAAAUAUUUUUAUUAUUCUUUAAUAAGAUGUCUUAAAUUUGAGCUUCGAAAAUAGAGUCAUUUUUUAUGGCACAAAUCACGAGUUGCAGGGUAACAAAGCAGACCAGGCAAGGGCAAAUACAACAUCAAAGGCUAGAUUCAUAUGAACCUAGUAAUUUUGUCAUAAAAUGAUCACUAAACUCGCAAUAAAUAAUAGGCCAAAACUCAUAUUUUUAAUUUACAUAUCAAAUAUGUUCAAUAUUAAAAAUCUAAAAAGUUGAACCAACAAAAUAGAAAAUUGGACUCUGUCAUUUAGAAGAUUUAUCACGUUUUCAGAGAGUUAAAAAAAUGGUAUUAAUCAAUUAACGAACAUAACACUCUAUUGAGGUAUAUCUGUGGAGCAAAAUAUUGAUCCAACACUUUAAUUUAUCCUUUAAAUUACUCUUGAAAUGCGAUGGAAUAAAGUGGUUACUAUUAUUAUUGUAAAUAAUAAAUUAUAACCCGACAGGAAGAGUAACCAAACAAUGUGUUAACAUUUGUUUUAGUUAUUGCAGUGAUUUUUAACAUAAUAAAUUUCUACUUUUACAACGAAUUUGAAUUUAGCUAUUGUAGAUUUUUUUUUUAAAAAAAAGUAAACUAGAAAAAUCUUUUGUUUUAAAUUGACCCAAAUUCUACGUUUAAACCUAUUUUUUAGUCAUGACAAACAUUUACCCUUUAAAAGAUCAAAAUUAUCAAAUUUGAUUAGCGAAAAUGAGAUAAUAUUUUUAAAAUUAUAAUUUGUGAAUGUUGUAAUGAAAGAACAUAUUCUGCAAUUCUAUCAUUGUCCAAAUUAAAGUACUUUUUAAGAAAAAAAUGAAAGUUCAAAAGCAUUAAAAACAAUUAACACUAACUUGAAAGGCAAUAUUUGAGAAAUUGCAACAACUAAAGCGAUUACAGGAGCUUCAUAGACACUUCCUGUCUUCUUAAAAUGAUGAGACAAAAUAGAGAGAAUUAUAAUAAUACUUGAUAUUAAACACAUAAGAAAGUAAGUGAAACAUAUAUAUUAUGCAACCAACGUAGCGCACACUUAAUUAAUCAUGUCCAUGCUUUCGAAAUCUGAUGUAAAAAAAUGGUUUAUUUGAUAAACACAGAUCAUGUCCUGCUAAUUGUAUGUGGUAAAAUAGAUCAAUCAUAGUUUCUACAUAUGUUGAUUAAGAAAAAAUAAACAUUUAACGACACAGUGAAAAACAAUGUAAGUUGGCUUAUCAAAAAAUAAAAUUACAGAAAAAAAUGCUUCACUUUAUUUGAUAGCAAAUUUCAUUUUUGUACAAUUUAUGAGUAAAUAAUAUGUGGAUACUAAAAUCAUCCAUCACUCAACUCAUUUUUAUUCACAUGACAAGUCAAAUAUUUAUCCAUUCACAUCUAACCCAUAUUCAACUCAUUCAGAUGCGAUCUAAUCCUCUGUUGGCUAGCCAACACAAGUCAUGACACAUGAAUAACACCGUAGUUACUCAAGGAGAAGUUGACAAUGUUUGUUUGGAAGGUUUUGGCAUUUCUGUCUUUAAUACACUUAGAAUCUCAGGAUCUGAUAUAACAGGUAAUUCAGGCUUUGUAAGUGUUGGGAUCUUUGAUUUUGGGGUAGCUGGUACCUCACGGUUUGGUGCACUUGGUAUUUCAUGCCUAGAAACACUUGGAGUCUCAGGUUCUGGGGCUGCUGAAAUAUCAGACUUUGAAGAAUUAGUGGUUUCGGGUUUUAAUAAACUGGGUAUCUCUGGAUUUAAGAAACUAGGUUUCUCAAAAUUUGGAGAUCUUAGGAUCUCAUGCUUCGACGAACUUGGCGUCUCAGACUUUGGGGAACUUGGUGUGUCGGGACAUAGUGAACUAGGAGUUACAGGUUUUGGAAAACUUGGAGUCUCAAAACUUGGGAUGUCAGGCUUUGAGGAGCUUGGCGUCUCGUGCUUUGGGGAACUUGGGGUCUCGUGCUUUGGGGAGCUUGGCAUCUCGGGUUGUGCGGAACUUGGCGUCUCAGGCUUAGGGGAGCUUGGCGUCUCAGGCUUUGGGAAGCUUGGAGUCUCUGGCUUAGGGAAGCUUGGCAUCUCGGGCUUUGCGGAACUUGGCGUCUCGGGCUUUUGGAAUCUUGGAGUCUCGGGCUUAGGGAAGCUUGGCGUUUCGAGCUUUGGGAAGCUUGGAGUCUCAGGCUUUGUGGAACUUGGGGUCUUGGGCUUUGGGGAGCUUGGAGUCUCGGGCUUUGGGGAGCUUGGCAUUUCGGGCUUUGCGGAACUUGGCAUCUCGGGCUUUAGAGAGCUCGGCGUCUCGAGCUUUUCGAAGCUUGGCGUCUCGGGCUUUGGGGAACUUGGAGUCUGGGGCUUUAGGGAACUUGGUGUCUCAGGCUUUUGAGAGCUUGGGGUCUCGGGCUUUGGGGAACUUAGCAUCUCCGGCUUUAGGGAGCUUGGCGUCUCAGGUUUUGAAAAUGUAGGAGUCUUGGGAUUCGGGGAACUUGAAGUCUCGGGCUUUGAGAAACUAGGAUUCUCGGUCUUAGGGGAAGUUAGAAUCUCAGGCUUUGAAAAACUAGGAGUCUCGGGUUUCGGGAAACUAGGGGUCUCAAGAUUCGGGGAACUUGGAGUCUCGGAUUUUGAAAAACUAGGAGUUUCAGGAUUUACGGAACUUGAAAGACUUAGAGAACUUGAAGUCUCAGGCUUUGAGAAACUUGAUAUCUCGGGCGUUGGGGAACUUGGUGCCUCAUGCUUUGGAAAACUAGGAGUCUCAGACUUUGAAAAACUGGGGGUCUCAGGCUUUAGGGAAUUUUGUGUCUUAGGGCUUGGAGAACUUGGCAUUUCAGGUUUUGUGAAAGUAGUGAUUUCAGACUUUGGGGAACUCGGAGUCUUAGGUUUUGAAAAACUCGGAGUCUCAGAUUUUGGGGAACUUGACAUAUCAGGCUUUGAAAAACUAGGAGUCUCAAACUUUGGGAAGCUAGGGGUCUCGGGCUUUGAGAAACUAGGAGUCUCAAACUUUGGGAAGCUAGGGGUCUCGGGUUUUGAGAAACAAGGGGUCUCAGGCUUCGGAGAACUUGGAAUUUCAGGCUUUGAGAAUGUAUGAGUCUCUAACUUUGGGGAACUUGGAGUCUCAGACUUUGAGAAAGUAGGAAUCUCAGGCUUUGAGAAACUAGGAGUCUCAGGCUUUGAGAAACUAGAGGUUUUAGGCUUUGAAAAACUUGGGGUCUCGAGCUUUGGAGAAUCAGAGGUCUCUGGCUUUGGGGAAUCAGAAGUGUCAGGCUUUGAAAAACUAGGAAUCUCGGGUUUUGUAGAACUAGGGGUCUCUGUCUUUGAGAAACUUGGGAUCCCAGUCUUUGAGAAAGUAGGAGUCUGAGGCUUUGAUAAAGUAGGGGUCUCGGGCUUUGGGGAAGUAGGAGUAAUAUGAUUUGAGGAUUUAGGAGUCUCGACCAUUGAAAAACUAGGGGUCUCAGACUUUGCAAAGGUAGGAUUCUCAGACUUUGGUGAACCAGGGGUCUUGGGAUCGGAGAAACUAAGAGAUGUGGGCUUUGAAAAAGUUGAAGUCUCAAGCUUUGGAGAACUAGAGGUAUCAGGUUUUGAAAAACUAGGAGUCUUGGGCUUUGAGAAACUACUAGUCUUAGGUUUUGAGAAACUAGGAGUUUCAGGCUUUGAGAAACUAGGUGUCUCAGACUUUGUGAAACUAGGUGUCUCUGGCUUAGAGAAACUAGGAGUUUCUGUCUUUGAGAAACUAGGAGCCUCAGGUUGUGAGAAACUAGGGGUUUCAGAUUUUGAAAAACUAGGAUUCUGGGGUUUUGAAAAUGUAGGGGUCUCUGAUUUUGAGAAAGUAAAGGUUUCAGGUUUUGAAAAACUAGGUGCCUCAGGCUUUGAGAAACUAGGAGUUUCGGGCUUUGAGAAAAUAGGUGUUUCAGGUUUUGAGAAACUAGGUGUUUCAGGUUUUGAAAAACUAGGGAUAUUAGGAUUUGCGAGACUAGGGAUCUCAGGCUUUGAAAGACUAGGUGAAUUUGAGAAACUUGGGGUAGUUGGUGUUGAGAAACUAGGGGUCUCAGGUUUUGAAAAACUAGAAGUUCCAGGCUUUGAGAAACUAGGAGUCUCGGGCUUUGAGAAACUAGAUGUUUCAGGUUUAGAGAAACUAGGGUUCUCAGGCUUUGACAAACUAGGUGUUACAGGCUUUGAGAAACUAGGAGUUUGGGGCUUUGAGAAACUAGGGUUCUCAGGCUUUGAAAGACCGGGGGAAUUGGAGAAGCUUGGGGUAGCAGGCAUUGAGGGACUAAGGGUAGUGGGCGUCGAGAAACUUGGGACAGCGGGCAUUGAAAAACUAGGAGUAGCGGAUCCUGUAAAACUAGGGGUUUGAAGAAGGCGACGUGCCGUUAUAGCAGUUAUCAUGCCGUCAUGGAUAAAGUAUAUAAAAGCAAACAAUAAGAUGGAGGACAAGUUGUAAUGCCAAGCCAUUCUUCAGCUGAUGCAAGAAACUUAGAGAAAAAUGUGGUGAGAGAAAAUAAAAUUUUGAUAUAUUAAUUGUUUCCCAUUUAGCUAUAUAUAGAAUUUUAAAGGCAUGUAAAAGGGAGGAUUUCAAUACUUGAUAGGUUAGUUGUCCUAUUUAUUUGCCAAUAUUAUAGUAUCUAGAAUUUGUAUUAUGAUAGCAAUAUUAUAGUAUCUUGAAUAUCUCUAGAAUAAAGAAAUGCUCAGAUUUUCUAGCUUAAUUGAGAUUAUUAAGGAAGCAAACAAUCGUUAAACUAUUUACUAAUUACCUUUAAAUUAUCAAUCACAAUGUCUUUUAAUUAUGUCCUUUCUUUAUUUCUAGCCUUUCACUUAGGAUAAAAUUAAAAUAAAAGUGGGAAUAAGAGAGACACGUCAUAUCUUAAUCAUACAUAAUUGAACUUAAUGUACAUAUCACUCUAUCACGAUAAAAAUGAUAGCGUUGAUUUCUUCUUGUAAUAAUUGAAAUCAUUACACUUUUCACUAAAUAUCUUUAAAAAUAAACAUAUAAACGUCCUUAGUCUUAUUUUAAAAGGCAUUGUUUGAUUGAAUAUCGUGCCAUGAUGUUAACUUGAUUUAAGUAUUUAUAUAUAACUAAAAAUAUUAAAAUAAUUAUUGAUAAUUUAAUUUGAUGGAGAAAACAUUACAUUAUAUGAAUACACUUAAAAGUUAUAAUCAACUAUCGACAAAAUAAUACUCCAUAUUUCAGUAAAAUAUGAUUACAUUUGGGAGCACUGGGAUGUCCCAGUUCAAAGAAAUAAAAAGUUGACUAUAACUCGGAACAAAAUUAGGCUUUGUAUGGAACAAUAGUGACACAAAGACUAGUUAUCAACAAGCGACAUGAAGGGGAAUAAAUAUUUAUUAAUUCUUAAUCAGAUUUCUUAAAUUCAAGCUUCGAAAAUGGAGUCACCUUUGGUGGCAUAAAUCAUGAGUUGCAGGGUGACAAGGCAGGCAAGGUCAAAUGUAACACGAAAAAUUAGAUUCAUCUAAACUUAGUAAUUUUGUUGUGGAGUUUAUGGGCAAAAAGAUCACUAAAAUUGCAACAAAUAAUAAGCUUGAAAUCAUACUUCUGGUUUACAAAUCAAAUAAGUUCAGUAUUAAGAAUCUUAAAAAUUUAACUAACAAAAUAUAAAUUCUAGAUUCAUCUCUAAAAAAAAUAUUUGACACCUGAUGAGAAAAAAAGACUAGUACAAUCCACAGAAAUGGCAUAAGAAAGAUAUAACUACACUUGAAAUAUUUAUCACAUUUUUAGAGAGUUAAAAAUAAUGAUAUCAAUCAGUGAACAAACACAACUCUAUAAUGGUGUAUUUAUGGAACAAAAUAUUCAACAGGCACUUUAAAAGGAAAAAUGUCUGAAAUAUAUUUGAACUUUGAUCGAAAUUUCUAUUACGAUACUAAAUUUUGGAAAAGACCUUUUACCGCACUAUUUAGUAGUGUAUUUUAAAGGCAUAUAUGUGUCACGUGGACAUAAAAAAUAUGCAUAAUUAUGAAUAUAAUGUGUCUAUGUCUGUAAAUAUAUACCUUUAAAAUAAACUAUUAUAUAGUUCAGGGGGUAAAAGGUCCUCCACAAAGUUUGAUAUCGUGACAAUAAUUUUGACUAAAGUUAAAAUAUUUUUUUUCCCAAUUUAAAAUAUGCUACAAGUUAUCCUUUAUAUCAUACUCUUGAAAUGUGAUGGAAGAAAGUGGUUACUAUUACUGUAAAUUAUUAAAGAAAACUGAGAAGGAAGAGUAGCCAAAUAAUGCAUUAACAUUUGUUUUAGUUACUGAAGUAUUUUAAACAUAAUAAGUUGUUACUUUUUACUUUUUAGAAUGAAUUUGAAAUAAAUUUACUUGCUACUCAUAAUAACUACAACACGAAAAGAAUAUCAUAACUGAAAGAUAACACCGAUAUAAAAAUCAUUAUCUUUUAAAAUAUUAAUUUGCAUUGUGAAGUUAGUUUCAAAAAAAUUUUAACAUUCAAUGAGUCAUUUGCAAGGUAAUUACCAAAACAUUAAUCUUGGCCUUGACAUCUUUAACAAAAUUACAUGUUAGAAACUUCUUCUUAUAAACAUAGUAAAUGAGUACAUCAAAAAAUUUACAGUGAAAUUCAGAGUGUUGAUGAAUUUUUAGAAAAUACGUAAAUUAUGGAGAUUUUUUGUGGUGAAGUUUUGGAGUCCCAAAAUGUGCUUAAAUAACGUGACAAUUACAGUGCUGAAAUAUCAACAAAUCUUUAAUCAUUUUACAAAAUAGUAUAGUGUAUGUUGUGAAGACAUUCUAUGAGUACACACAAGAAUAGACAAAAAUUGAUGCACAAUUAUUUUAUAAUAGAUCAUGCUAUAUUCAGAAGACAUUAUAUAAAUCAAAGGAAAAAAAUGUUACCAUCAGAAAACACUCAGUGCAUUAGAAGAUAAAAUUGAUCAAAAAGUACAAUAUUUGCAAUCAUUCAUCGUAGCUUUUUAAGAUAUGUGAUAAUAUCGAAUCUCUUCAUUUAUGUUCAAAAAUAUUGCAACGAUCAUUAAGUUAUUUAUAUUAUUUCUGAUAUUAGUUGAGAUAUGAGAAUUAAUAAUAAAGCUUAAUAAAGUCUAUCAUGUGGGAAAUUACCUAAUAUAUAUGUAUAUAUAACUCAAAAUUCCCUCUAGUUUUUUUUUUGCCAAUAUGUGUGUACUCUUUUCUUUCAAAGUAACUAAAUACUAAAUUAUAGAAGUAUAUACAAAGUACCCUUUUGUAGUUUAAUUCAAUGAGCUCUAAUUUUAGCAUCUACCAUUUUAGCAUACAAAAACUUCGUACCAAAAGUUAGAAACUACAACUUCUAGUAUAUGUAUUUAUUGACUAAGAAAAGAGAAAUAUCUAAAGUGAAAAGCAAUAUGUAGGUUGGCUUAUCAAAAUAAAAAAUUAAAUAAAAAGAAAGUGCUUCACUUUAUUUGAUAGUUAAUUUCAAUUUUGUACAAUUUAUGAGUAGAUAAUAAGUGGAUAUAAUAAUAUUAUCCAUCAUUCAACCCAUUUUUAUUCACAUAAAAUACCGUCUAGUCGAAUAUUUUAUCCAUUUGCAUCUAACCCAUUGUCAACUCAUUCAUAUGCGAUAUAGUUCGUUUGUUAGCUAGCAUAAGUCAUGACACAUGAAUAACACCAUAGUUACUCAUGGAGAAGUUGACAAUGUUGGUUUAGAAAGUUUUGGAUUUUCCGUCUUUAUCACACUAGGAAUCUCAAGAUUUGAAACAAUUGGUAAUUCAGGCUUUGUAAAAGUUGGGAUAUCAGGUUUUGAGGUAGUUGGUAGCUCACGCUCUGUCACACUUGGUAUUUAAGGUUCUAGGGUUCUGUUGGGGCUGCUGGAAUAACAGGCUUUGAAGAAUUAGAGGAUUCGAAUUUAAAGAAACUAGGUACCUCUGGCUUUGAGAAACUAGGAAUCUCAAAUUUAGGAAAACUUGGUGUCUCAAGAUUCGGCGAACUUUGCGUCUCAGACUUUGGGGAACUUGGUGUGUCGGGCUUUUGGGAACUAGGAGUUUCGGGUAUUGGAAAAUUUGGAGUCUUGAAUCUUGGGGUGUGAGGCUUUGGGGAGCUUGGCGUCUCGGGCUUUACGAAACUUGGGUUCUCGAGCUCUGGGAAACUUGGGUUCUCGGGCUUUGUUAAGCUAGGCAUCUCAGGCUUUGCGGAACUUGGCAUCUCAGGCUUUGUGGAGCUUGGCGUCUUAGGCUUUGGGAAGCUUGGCGUGUCAGACUUUGCGGAACCUGGGGUCUCAUGCUUUGGGGAACUUGGGGUCUCGGACUUUGAGAAACUAGGAAUCUCAGGCUUUGAGAAACUAGGGGUCUCGGGCUUUGGAGAACUUGGAUUCUCAGGCUUUGGAGAACUAGGGAUCUUGGGUUUUGAAAAAAUAGGGGUCUCGGGCUUUGGAGAACUUGGAGUCUCAAGCUUUGAGAAAUUAGGAGUCUCGGGUUUUGUGAUACUUGGUGUCUCGGGCGUUGGAGAACUUGGCGCCUCAGGCUUUGAGGAACUUGGAGUCUUAGGCUUUGAGAAACUUGGAGUCACGGGCUUAGAGAAACUUGGGGUAUCAGGCUUUGAAAAGCUAGGGGUUACAUGCUUAGGGGAACUUGGGUUCUCGGGAUUUGGAGAAAUGGGGUUUUUAGGCUUUGAAAAAGUAGGGAUCUCGAACUUUGGGGAUAUUGGAGUCUCAGAUUUUGGGGAACUUGGUAUCUCUGGCUUUGAGAAACUAGGGGUUUUUGGCUUUGAGUAGCUAGGGGUCUCAGGCUUUGGAGAAUUUGAGGUCUCGAACUUUGGAGAACUUAGGAUUUCAUACAUUGGGAAAGUUGGGGUCUCAGACUUUGGGGAACUCGGAGUCUCAGGAUUUGAGAAAGUUGGAAUCUCGAGUUUUGAUAAACUAGGGUUUUCAGACUUUGAAAAACUAGGGGCCUCGAGAUUUAGAGAAUCAGGAGUCUCGGGCUUUGGAGAACUAGGAGUCUUAGAUUUUGAGAAAGUAGGAGUCUCACAUUUAGAGAAACUAGGGGUCUUUGGCUUUGAAAAACUUGGGAUAUCGGGCUUUGAGAAAGUAGGAAUUUUGGGCUUUGGUGAAGUAGGAAUCUCAGGCUUUGAGAAACUAGGAGUUUCCGGCUUUGAGAAACUAGGAGUUUCGGACUUUGAGAAACUAGGGAUUUUGGGUUUUGAGAAACUAGGAGUCUCGGGCUUGGAGAAACUAGGUGUCUCGGGCUUUGAGAAACCAGAUGUCUCAGGCUUUGAGAAACUAGGAUUUUCUGGCUUAGAGAAACUAGGAGUUUCAGGUUUUAAGAAACUAAGAGUCUCGGAUUUUGAGAAACUAGGAGCUUUGGACUUUGAGAAACUAAGGGUCUGUGGUUUUGAGAAACUAGGAGUCUCGGGUUUUGAGAAACUAGGAGUUUCGGGUUUUGAGAAACUAGGAGUUUCGGGUUUUGAGAAACUUGGAGUUUUGGGUUUUGAGAAACUAGGAGUUUCUGGCUUUGAGAUACUAGGAGUUUCGGGCUUAGAGAAACUAGGAAUCUCGGGCUUCGAAAGACUGAGUGAAUUGGAGAAACUUGGGCUAGCAGGCUUUGGAAGACCGGGGGAAUUUGAGAAACUGGGGGUUGUGGGCGUUGAGAAACUAGGAGUUUGUAGAAUGUGACGUGCUGUUGUAGUAGUAAUCAUUUGGUCAUGUAUAAAGUAGAUAAAUGCGACCAAUAAGAUGGAGGACAAUUUGUAAUGUUGAACCAUUUUUUCAGCCGAUGCAAGAAGCUUAGAGUAUCAUAUGUUAAGAGCAAAUGAAGUUUUGAUAUUUCAAUAGUUUUUCAUUUAGCUAUAUAUAGAUUUUUACAAGCAUAAAAAGGAAGAUUUCAAUAUUUGAUACGUUAGUUGACCUAUUUAUCUGCCAAUAUUAUAGUAUAUAGAAUUUGUCUUGUAAGUAAUAUCAUAGUAUCUCGAAUAUGGCUAAAAUAAAGAAAUACUCAGAUUUACUAGCUUAUAUGAGAUUUUUAAGGAAUCAAACUUUUGUUAAAUAUUUAUAAUCACCUCUAAAUUUUCAAUUACAAUGUAUUUUAUGUUUUUUCUUUAUUUGUUGGUUGUCUCUUCAAAUCAAAUUAAAAUAAAAAGUGGGUGUAGAGACACAACAUAUCUUAAUCAAAUAUAGUUUAAUUUGGCAUGCAUAAGACUCUCACGAUAAUGAUGAGAAUGUUGGUUCUUCUUUAAAAAAAAAAUCAUUACACUUGAACUAAAUAUUUUUAUAAUCAAAAUAUAAACUCUCUCGGCCUUAUUUUAUAAAGCAUUUUUUGACGGAAUAUCACAUCUUAAUGUUAACUUGAUAUAAGCAUUUAUAUUAUUAAUAAAAAUAGUUAAAUAAUUAUUGAUAAUUUAAUUUGAUGGAGAAAACAUUACAUUAUAUGAAUGCUUAACAGUUGUCAUCUACAGAAUAUUACGUAAUGUAUUUAGUAAAAUACGAUAACAUUUGAGAUGUCCGAGUUAAGAGAAAUAAAAAGUGUGAUAUAACUUCGAACAUAUUAUAAACUAUAGUUAUAUUGAUUGCAGACAAAAUUAGGCUUUGUAUGGAACAAUAGCGAUAUAAAGAGUAGCUACAACAAAAAUAUCGUCAAUCAUUCUGGUAGAGAUGCGGAGAGAGUAAACGUUUAUUAAUCUUUAAUCAUACUGUUAAAUUUGAGAUUCGGGAAUGGAGUCACCUUUGAUGGCACAAAUCACGAGUUUCCGGGUGACAAAGCAGGAAGGGGAAAAAUACUAGAUUCAAAGGCAAAAUUUGAGAAGGAGCAACCAAAUAGAGUCUUUCCGUGGAUGCUGAGCCAUUUUUCUGCACAUCUUAGAAUUAUAAAGAAGAAUGUGUAGACUCAAUGUGAUUCGGAUGUGGCAUUGGUUUAAGUCUGUUGCUAUAUAUAGGUUUUAAAAUGGACUUUUGGAUUUUGUUUGUUUAGUAAGGAUCUGUGUAAUUGAACUUCUCAUCCACUUAGCUUUUAGUUGGUACCUCAAAAGCCAAUCUGGAUGACCUAAUUACAAAAUAGUGUAACUUGUCACAAACACAUAGGUUAUGAUGGCAACCCGAUAGAGAUUCAUUCCUUAUUACUCCCACCGUCCAAAAAUAAAUGAAUUUUUUGGGUUGUUACGCCACUAAAAUAAGCUAUUGACAUUAGUUAAAUAAUACUUCGUCAAUAUUUAAAUGGUAAAAUUAGCUUAUGACAUUAUUUUGGACCGGAUAGAGUAGCUUAUUUCAUUAUCUUGAAAAGAGAAAAAUCCUGAAUUCACAUUAUACCACAAAAUGUCAAUACAAUUCUCCAAGAAAUGAAACAAAAAAUAUAUCAGAUUCGUAUAAAAAAGUUAAUACCGAAAGAAUGGCAUACAGGGGCGGAUUUAGGUAGGAUGAAGGACUUCAGACAUCUUACAGACGUAUGCAAAAUGAAGUAUUUCAUUAUAAUAAAUAAAAAUAAAUGAAACCACUUCCCAUAGUCAAUUGGUUCACUGGCAAAGCACCUAAUUUCACACGGUUCUGCAAUCUUUCACUUUAAAAGUUUAGAGUUUUACUGCUUAAUAAAAAAAUGAUGCCCGGUUGAAUGGAUAUGACUUUCUACCUUUUAUAAGGAAAAAAUUGAAAUAUAUCAUCAACUUUUGCAGUACGAAAGGGACAAUAAAUAACUACAAACCGUAUUCUGAUUCAAUUACUUGGACUUGCUUAUUGCUUUCUCAGGGAUGAUGUUGAUUAAGAUCAUUUGUGAAAUCGAAUGAAUGAUGAGUUUUUGAGUAGUUGUUUGAUGUAAUAAACUAAUAUCUUUUAAUAUGACGUCUCUACAAUAUUUGUUCUUUGUUUACUCCUCUAAAUAUAGAUGCCGCUUUAAAAAAAAUUGAGUAUAGUAUAAGGUUGGAGAUUCAGGCUUCAACUAGGCCGAAAUAUUUGGGGGGUUUAGGGAAUGGCCUCUCUAAAUAGAACCUGUAGUUGCACAUGCUAACAGGCCAAGCAUGAAAGCAUAAUUUGUUCUCAUCUUUCUUUUAGAGCAGAGGUAACUGAGUCCAUUUGAUAUGCCCAAGGAUAAACGAAACAAAGGGCAAAAAUAGCUAAAUCAUCAAUUUUGUACUAUGCUUAAAUAUGCUAAUUCAUUCUUAUUCCACAUUCUUGAAAUGUAAUGGAAGAAAUUGGUUACUAUAAAAAACUAGAGGGAAAGAGUGUAUAGAUAAGGAAUGAGCAAAAACAGAGCUUACCAAUGAUACAAACUAAAUUUAAAUAACACAGAUCAAGCUUAUUUAUAACAAUUACAUAAAACACUCAUACAGUAUAAUGACACGUCAAACAUGGUACAUCAAAUUCAAACACUACUAUAGAAGAAUUACUAUUUCUACUCCUAGAAGAAAGUUUUCAAUACUAUCUCCAUAUCAUGGUUCAUGUCGCAAGUUUCAUAGACUGAGAUAGAAAUAGCAAAACAUCAGUUGGGUACUUUUAAUAGAGUGAAAGUAGCACAUAAUUACUCAUGGAGUUGCAGGUUUGUACGGUGGAGAGAGUGAAGGAAGAGUUCACAGAGGUAGUUCCGGGAUUUCAAGCUUUGGCAUAGUUGGGACUUUUAGCUUUGGAAGCUCGGGAACUUUUGGCUUUGGUAGUUCUGGGAUUUCAGGCUUGGGUAUAGUUGGGACUUUUAGCUUUGGAAGCUCGGGAACUUUUGGCUUUGGUAGUUGUGGAAUUUCAGUCUUUGGCAUAGCUGGGACUUUUAGCUUUGGAAGCUCUGGAACUUUUGGCUUUGGUAGUUCUGGAAUUUCAGGCUUUGGCAUAGUUGGAAGCUCGAAAACUUUUGGCUUUGGUAGUUCUGAAAUUUCAGGCUUUGACAUAGUUGGUACUUCUAGCUUUGGAAUUUCAGGGACUUUUGGCUUUGGUAGUUCUGGAAUUUCAGGUUUGUGCAUAAUUGGGACUUUUAGGUUUGGAAGCUCGAGGACUUUUGGCUUUGGUAGUUCUGGGAUUUCAGGCAUUGGCAAGCUGGAGGAUGCUCAAUCUUUAUAGCUGCUGGGAUUUCUGGCUUUUUCAAGGGACAGUUGGUAGUUGGGGCUUCGGAACAGCGGGGAUCUCAGGCUUUGGUAUGGUUGGCAGCUCAGGCUUUGGCAUAGUUGGGAUUUCAAGCUUUGGCAAGGCUAGAACUUUCGGUAGUUUUGGUUUAGGUAUCUCAGGGACGGGUGUCUCUAAGAGGUGGCGUGCAGCCGCACCAGUUAUGUUGCCAUGAAUAAAGAAUAAAUUAAGAAAUGCAAGUAGUAAGAGGGAGGACACGUGGUAAUGCUGACCCAUUUUACACAGAUUGUAGAAACGAAAAGAAGAAUAAUGUGUAAGACUCAAUGUGAUUGGGAUGUAACAUUGGCUUUAUGUCUGUUGCUUUAUACAGUUUUUAAAAAUGCAAUUACAAGGACUUUCAGGAUUUUGUUUGUUAGUCACGGACCUGAGUAGUUGAAUUUCUCAUCAAACUAAUUAGCUUCCAGCCUGGUACUUCAAAAAUCAAUAAAUUACUUAAAAUAGUCUAAACCUGUCACUUGCAUUUAGGUUAUGCUGGUAACCUGAUAAAAAAUCCUAGCUUAGCUGAUUUCAUUUCUUUGAACAGAGAAAAAGUAUCUACUUUUUACCACAAAUCUUCAUUCCUGUGUGGUGUACAUAAUAACUCAACGAUAUCGACAAAAACUACCAAAAAUCAAAACAGAAAGUUGAUUACUUUAGAGUUUCUUUUGGGCUUCAGGAUUAAUAAAAACAAAUGACACCACUUCCCAAAGAUUGCCUGUAAAUGGUUCGCUGGCAAAGCACCUAACUUAGUCAAUAAACUUCAACAAUUAUUACUGCAAUCUUUCAUUUUAAAUUUUUUGAGUUCUACUGCUUGAACACAUCAACUUUUGUGUAUGAAAGGGACAAUAAAUAGCUAUAAACGCUACAUGGAUUCAAUUCUUUCACCACUUGUAAAAUCCUACUUUGAAAACUACUCGGUCCAAUUACUUGAGACUUGGCGUAUUGCUUUCUCGGUGAUGAAGUUUGAUUAAGAUUGACUUGUAAAAUCUAAUGAAAAAUGAUCUUUAAAGUGGUUGAUGGGGUUUUCACCGUAAGACACUAUUUUUAAUACGACUGUUAUGAUUAAAAAAAUAUUUUUACUGUCAUGAAUACAUUUUAAAAAUGAAAACACGUUGAAGCAAAUUAUAGUAAUAAACUAAUGUCGCUACAAUAUUUAUUCUUUGUUUGCUCCUUUAAAUAUGGACGCUGCCUAUAAAAAUGUUUGCUUACGCCAUGGAUUCAUAUAGCUUUGGAACGCUGGAAAUAGAUAGUACUUCAGGUAUUGGUAUAAUAUAGGAUUUCAGGCUUUGGUAAGGCUGGAAUAUAUGGGGAUGGCGUCUCCAGAAGGUGGCUCGUGUAGUUUCACCAGCUAACUGAUCAUGCAUGAAGCAUAAGUUGUUUUUAUCAUUCUUUUGGAGAAGGUGAAACAGAGGUAAUUGAAUCAUUUAAUGUGCAUUAAUUAGGAUGAAUGAAACAAAAAGCAAAUAAGUUAAAUCACCAGUUUGGUUCUACAUAAAAAAAUGUUAGUGAAGAGAUUAUCACCAUCAAUUCAACUCCAUUGAUGAUCUCAUACGUGAGCUUGAAAGCUUAAGCUUGCAGCUUUAACUUGAGAGCAGAUUAAGGGAAGAAGAAGAGUAUUUUGUAUUGAUUGUGUAUUGAAUUAAAAUGAAUACAAUAUGAGUAUAUAUGUAACCUUGAUGAAUAGCAAAACUAACUUCUAACUAACUAUUGGAAAAUAACAACUUGUAACUAACAACUUAUAACUAAUAUCUUGUAACUUGUAACUAACUAAAGCCACUAAUUUGUUACUAACAGAAAGUUUGUUACAAACAGAAAGUAUAUUCUCAUCACCCCCCUCAAGUUGGAGGUGAUGUAAACACAGACAACUUGUGUAACAAAGAAUUGUGUUUAACUCCAGUUAAGGCUUUGGUGAGGAUGUCAGCCAAUUGUGAAUCUGUGGAUAUGUGAUGAAGUGUGAUCAACCCUUGAUGAAGCUUAGUCCUUACAAAAUGGCAAUCAAUCUCAAUAUGUUUUGUUCUUUCAUGAAAAACUGGGUUCUUGGCAAUGUGAACUGCUGCUUGGCUGUCACAAUGAACAUGUAUUGGCAGAGAACACUGCACAUUCAACUCACUCAGCAACCUCUCAAGCCAUACUAGCUCUCCCACAACCUGUCUUAUUGCCCUGUAUUCAGCUUCAGCAGAUGACAGUGAUACUGUUGCCUGCUUCUUGGAUUUCCAGCUGAUAGGACUAUCUCCCAUAAGAACUAAGUAACCACUAACAGAUCUCCUUGAUUCAGGGCAAGCAGCCCAAUCAGAGUCACAGUAUGCACUCACAGUAAGAUCAUCCUUGUUUGAAAUAAAAUUACCCAUAGUUGGAUCUUGUUUCAAGUACCUAAGUACAUGGUAGGCUGCUUUCAAAUGUGGUUCCCUGGGUGAUUGCAUGAACUGGCUCAAAUGUUGUACACUAUAGGAUAUGUCCAUUCUAGUGUUAGUUAGGAAAUUAAGUUUGUCAAUCAACUUCCUAUAUUGAGAAGGUUCAGUCAAUAAUUCACCAUCUGUGGCCUUCAAUUUUUCAGUGGAAUCAAGUGGUGAUGAAGUAGUUUUGCAACUCAACAUAUCAAAAUCUCUUAGAAGAUCAGAAGUGAACUUCCUCUGAGAAACAAUAACACCAUCAUGUCUAUACAAUAUCUCCAGGCCUAAGAAGUAAUGUAGUUUCCCCAAGUCCUUUAUUUUGAAUUGGUCAUGCAGGAAACACUUUAAGGAAUUGAUUUCAUCAACAUUAUUCCCAGUCAUAAUUAUAUCAUCCACGUAUAUAGCAACAAAUACUAAGGAACUACCCUUCUUCUUGUAAAACAAGGAAUAGUCACUGUCUGAAUGCUGAUAUCUCCUUGAACACAGACUGUCUGCUAGCUUCUCAUACCAUUGCCUACUUGCCUGCUUUAGUCUAUAUAAAGAUUUCUUUAACUUGCAUACCAUGUUAUCACAUCUUGUUGUAAGACCUUGUGGAGGUACCAUGUAAACUUCCUCAUGUAAAUCACCAUGCAAAAAUGCAUUAUUCACAUCUAGUUGAUACAAGUUCCAACCUUUCUUAACAGCCAAUGAGAUCAGUGUUCUCACAGUAGUCAUCUUUACUACAGGUGAAAAAGUCUCAGUGUAAUCUACUCCAGCUUGUUGUGUAUAGCCUUUUACUACCAACCUUGCCUUGAACCUUUCUAUACUUCCAUCAGCCUUAUGCUUUAUCUUGUAUACCCAUUUGCAGCCAAUAGCCCUUUUUCCAUCAGGUAACAUGACCAUUUCCCAAGUAUCAUUAGCAUGUAAAGCUUCAAACUCAUGUGUCAUGGCUUGCUGCCAAGCAGGGUGCAGUAUUGCCUCUUCAAAGGUGUUAGGUUCACAUUCAUGUGAAAUAGCUGUGACUAGCUGCUGGCUAUCAGAACAAAGACUAUUGAAGCAUACAUGGUUAUUGUGAGAGACAAAAGUAUUGAGGGAAUGUAGUUUAGGUAGAGUAUAUGUAUAAUCCUUUAGAUAACUAGGAGUAUUUAUUGUUCUGGAAGUUCUUCUAGGCUCUUGUGUUGUAGAAUCAGCAGAUGUUGUUUCAUGUAUGUUAGUGAUAUUGGUUACUUGAUUUUCAGUGACUUCAUGUGGUGUUAGAUUGUCCAGCAUUUCAUCAGUAGCAAAUAUGUUUGUAUUUCCAGGCAUACAAGGUAUGUUAGCAGAAUGAGUAAGCAUCUUUAAGACAGAAUUGAAGCUAGAGUCAUUAUCAGGAACAUGAACAAAAGGAAACAUUUUUUCAUGAAAAACAACAUCUCUGGAUAUAUGAACUUUCUUUGUAGCUAGAUUUAAGACUUUGUAUCCUUUUGUAUUGAAUGGAUAACCAACAAAAAUAUGAGGAAUGGCUCUUGGUUCAAAUUUGUCCUUGUGAGUUUUUAAAACAGUUGGAAAACAAAGACAACCAAAACUCUUUAGAUGAGAAUAAGUAGGCUGCUUAAGGUAUAAUAUCUCAUAUUGAGAUUUGUUUUGAAGGAGUUUAGUUGGUAGUCUGUUUAUUAUGUAUGUGGCAGUCAAAACACACUCUCCCUAGUAUCUCAAAGGCAACUUUGAUUGAAACAAUAGUGCUCUUACUGUUUCAAGUAAGUAUUUAUGUUUCCUCUCUACCACCCCAUUUUGUUGGGGUGUAUAUGGACAUGUCUUUUGGUGUAUAAUGCCUUUGGUUUGAAAGAAAUGUACAGCUUCAGAUGAGGUAAAUUCUAAGCCAUUGUCUGAUCUUAUGGUUUUUAACUUGGUUUGAAACUGUUUUUCUACGAGGGACACAAAGGCUUUAAUGGUUUGAAGGGCAUUACUUUUGCAUCUUAGUAGUUGUGUCCAAGUGGACCUACUGUAGUCAUCAACCAUGGUGAGAAAAUAAUGGUAACCAUCAUGAGUAGGAAUAUGAUAUGGUCCCCAUAAAUCAACAUGUAGUAGUUCAAAAAUUUUGGUAGUGAUAGAUGUACUUUCUGGAAAUGGCAUCCUAGUUUGCCUAGCCAUAGGGCAUGUGUUGUAUGUAAAAGGUUGUUUAGGAGAAAAGUUUACAGGUAUGGAUGUUAUAUUUCUCAUCUUUACAAAAGGUACAUGUCCUAAUCUAGCAUGCCAUAGAAGUUCAUCAUCAUUGUAUGUGUGACUAUAGACAUCAGUAAGUGAAAGACACUUAUUAUUAGGAUGAGAAGAAGACACAGUCUUACAAGCUGCUUUAUUUGCAGUAGAAAUUUGAGAUUGUCUUACAGAGGAUACAUUGUGAAACUUUGAGACAAGAUGACAUUUAGAGUGAGAUGACUUUUCUUCAGCAGACUUUCAGCAGUUGUGACACUUUUGACACAAGAAAUAUAGGCCAUUCUUGGCCUUACCAAGCUCCAGAGGGCUCUUCAGAGAAGGGCCCUGCAAUAAACAAGAAGAUUUAUCAAAACUGAUGACUCCAUUAAGUUGUAGUGCUAAACAAUGAACAGAAAUGAGAUUAAACUUGAAGCUGGGUACAAAUAGCACUUUGCUUAGAGUUAACACUGGAUUUAAACAAGCAUCACCAACUUGAGUCACUUUAACCUUGUAACCAUUUGGAAGUGAUAUUAAGAAAGGAUAUGGAAGUGUUCUAAUAUUUGUGAGAGUGGUUCUAUCAUAAGUCAUAUGAUGUGAUGCUCCUGAAUCUAUUAUCCAAGAGCCAGCAGUUAGCUUAACACAUUCACAAGAAAGAUCACCUAUGUCUUUUAUAGAGGAAUAACAAGCAAGUAUACCUGCAAAAUUCACAGCCCCAUUCAUCAUGUUGUUUGAAUCAUCAGAAUUGAAACCUCCAUUUCCAGCUUGUAUAUUUCCCAAUAUGUUGAGUAAUUGUUCAUACUGAUCUUUGGACAGGCUUAUUGGCAUUUGCUUUCCCAUUUGAGGCUCUUCCUCAGAUUGUUGUUCACUCAUAUUAGAAGGACACACAUUUGCUGCAGUACUUGUUCUUUUUCCCUUUUGAAACUUUGGAUUGGAUGGAUAUCCAUGGAGUUUAUAACAUCUAUCUCUCGUGUGUCCUGAUUUCUUGCAAUAAUCACAUACUAAAAUAGACCUGUUGAUACUUGAAUUCCCUCUAGACAUAUUGUUACCAGAACUGGAUCCAGCCCCUUUAGAUGAACUAUAAUCUGUUCUGAAUCCUUUGUAACCUGCAUUGUUAUUGUACUGUCCAUAAGCAUUGAGAGAAGUAGAAUCCAAGGCUGUAUGAUUAUGAGGCUUUACUUCUCUUUGCUUUUCUUCUUGGCACAGUAUAGCAAAAGCUUGAGCCAUACUAGGAAGAGUGUUCAUCAUGAGAAUACUACCUCUAACAGUAGUAUACAUUUCAUUUAACCCCAUCAAAAAAUGUAUCAACCUUCUGUCUUGCUCAGCCUUUUGCAGCUUUGUUUUACCUCCACAAGAACACACACAUGUGCAUUGAGAAUUAAUGUCAACUGUGCUCAUCUCCUCCCACAGCUUUUUCAUUGUUGUGUAGUACUUAGUAAUGUCUAGAGUACCUUGAACAAGUUCAUUUAUCUCCUUCUGUAACUGGUACAAUUUGCAUCCAUUUGUUUGAUCAUAUCUCUCUUCUAAUUCUGCCCAUAACUCCCUAGCAUUAUUCACAUAUUGCAGGCUAUCUCGCAACUCUGGAGACAAAGAAUUCAAGAUCCAAGAUGUGACCAUAUCAUCACAUCUUUCCCACUGCAUGAAGUUAGGAUCAGUAGAUGUAGGCUUCACGAUUGUUCCAUUAAUGAAACCUGUUUUACUUUUAACUGAUAGUGCUCUGAGUACUGCUCUUCUCCAAGAUUUGUAACCAGUACCAUCGAAAACUCCAGGUAACAAUGAUGAUCCUGCAUUCUCUGAAGGAUGCAGAUAAAAGGGACUGGAAAAAUCCAAACGAGAUGUGGUUGAACUAGAAGCAACAUCUCCAACUUGAGUGUCAGUCAUUGUAUUGGAAUAUCUGUGAUAGAUCUAACACAAAAAAAAUCUAGAACUUGCUAAAUUCCAGCUAUGAAUGUGUUUCCUCAAUCAGAAAGAAAGAAGAAGAAACCUUACAAUACAACCUCUCAAUCAGUCAAUCGAAUCAGUUGAUAACAACAACAAAAAAUGGCUCACAGUUCGACUUCGAAACAGGACAAAUUAGACUACCAUGAAGAGAUUAUCACCAUCAAUUCAACUCCAUUGAUGAUCUCAUAUGUGAGCUUGAAAGCUUAAGCUUGCAGCUUUAACUUGAGAGCAGAUUAAGGGAAGAAGAAGAGUAUUUUGUAUUGAUUGUGUAUUGAAUUAAAAUGAAUACAAUAUGAGUAUAUAUGUAACCUUGAUGAAUAGCAAAACUAACUUCUAACUAACUAUUGGAAAAUAACAACUUGUAACUAACAACUUAUAACUAAUAUCUUGUAACUUGUAACUAACUAAAGCCACUAAUUUGUUACUAACAGAAAGUUUGUUACCAACAGAAAGUAUAUUCUCAUCAGUUAGUUCACUCCAUUCCGUGGCACUUAAAUAUACUAGUUCAUCCUUCAUUCCACACUCUUGAAAUGUAAUGGGGAAGAUAUUGGUUACUAUAAAUUAUGAAGGAAAAACUGUGAGGUAAAGAAUGGACAGGAACUAAAUCAAAGUAAAAUAUAUCAAAGCUUUCUUACACGGUAUGUAUAGAAAUACAUAAAAUAUUCAUAUAAUAUAAUACUAUAAUAACACAACAAACUCGGUACAUCCAAUUCAAAUACUACUAUAAAAGAAUUAAAAUUUCUUCUCCUAGCAGAAAGUAUCCAAUACUAUCUCCAUGUCGCAGCUCAUGUGGCAAACUUCAUAGAGUGAGAUGGAAAUCUCAAAACAUCAGUUGGGUACUUUCAAUUAGAGUGAAAGCAGCAUAUAAUUUACUCAAGGAGUAGCGGGUUUGUAUGGUGGAGAAAGUGAAGGAAGAGUUGGUUUAGGUAGUUCUGGAAUUUCAGGCUUUGGCAUAGUUGGGACUUUUAGCUUUGGAAGCUCUGGGACUUUUGGCUUUGGUAGUUCGGGGAUUUCAGUCUUUGGGAUAGUUGGUACUUCUGGCUUUGGAAGUUCUGGGAGUUUUGGCUUUGGUAGUUCUGGGAUUUCAGGCUUUGGCAUUUUUGGUACUUCUGGCUUUGGAAGUUCUGGGAGUUUUGGCUUUGGUAGUUCUGAGAUUUCUGGCUUUGGCGUUGCUGGGACUUUUAGCUUUGGAAGCUCUGGGACUUUCGGCUUUGGUAGUUCUGGGAUUUCAGUCUUUGGCAUAGUUGAUGCUUCAAGCUUAGGCAUUGUUGGGACUUUUAGCUUUGGAAGUUCUGGGGCUUUUGGCUUUGGUAAUUCUGGAAUUUCAGGCUUUGGCAUAGUUGGUACUUUUGGCUUUGGAAGUUCUGGAAUUUCUGGCUUUGGUAGUUCUGGGAUUUCUGACUUUGGCAGAGUUGGUACUUCAGGCUUUGGAAUUGUUGGGACUUUUAGCUUUGGAAGCUCUGUGGCUUUUGGCUUUGGUAAUUCUGGGAUUUCAGGCUUUGACAUAGUUGGUACUUCUGGCUUUGGAAGUUCUGGGACCUUUGGCUUUGGUAGUUCUGGAAUUUCUGGCUUUGGCAUAUUCGGUAGCUCAGGCUUUGGUAAAGUUGGAACUUCAGGCUUUUUCAUAGCUGGAGGAACCUCAGUCUUUGGCACUGCUGGAAUUUCUGACUUUUUCAAGGGAGGAAACUCUAAUUUUGGCAUUGCGGGUAUCUCAGGCAUCUUUGGCUUUGGCAAAGUUGGUAACUGGGGCUUGGGGAAAGUUGGUAGCUCAGGUUUUGGAAUGGUUGGAAGCUCAGGCUUUGGCAUAGUUGGGAUUUCAGGCUUUGGCAAGGCUGGGAAUUUGGGGAGUUCUUGUUUAGGAAUCUCAGGGAGGGACGUCUCUAGGAGGUGGCGUGCAGUCGCUUCAGUUAUGUUGCCAUAAAUGAAGAAUAAAUUGAGUAAUGCAAGUAGUAAAAGAGAGGAUAAGUGGUAAUACUGAGCCAUUUUUCUGCAAAAUCUUAGAAGAUUAAAGAAUAUGUGUGACAUUGGCUUCAAGUAUGUUGCUUUAUAUAGUUUUUUAAGAAUGCAUGCAAUAUGGACUUUUAGGAUUUUGUUUGUUAGACAGGGACCUUAGUAGUUGAAUUUCUCAUCAAACUAAAUUACAGCUUAUAGUCUGCUACUCAAAAGUCAAUGUAGAUGACCUAAAUUACAUCUUUGUGUGAACCUGUCACAAGCAUAUAGGUUAUGCUGGCAACCGAUUUAUUUAUUUGAAAAGAAAAAAAUUAUUCAUUUUUUAACCGCAAAUCUUCAUUUGGGUGUGUACAUUAUAACUCGAUAACACCAACAUUAAUAUAAUGGUACUAACUUCUACUCUCUUCCUUGUUACAGAUAGCCCUCACAAUGUGUCUUCUGAGAAUACUGCUGCAUCCUCUACAUUUUCCUCGAACACCCAUUACAUCUCUCUACUAAUUAUUAUGCACAUGUUUUUUUAAAAUUUUAUUAUUAAUGUAAUUAUAAUUAAAAAUCCUACACAAUAAAAAUUUAUAGCUACUUUUUAUUUCUUAAUUUCUCUAAUUAAUUUCAGUUCAUGUUUUAAUAUAAAUUUUGUAAGAUUAGCUUCAAUUCUUUGAGAUGUUUUAUUUUUCAAGCUCAAACUAAUUAGAUUACCAAACAAUUAGAUUUUGAAAAAUAUUAUCUUAACUUUGAAGGUCUUCUAAGAGUAACAAUCAUUAUAAUAUUAGUUUUUUUGUAUUUAAAAGUAUUAUGAAAUAUUACAUAAGUGAAAAGUGAUACUCUAAUUGACAUAUUCAAUCAAGUAAAGUCUUAAAUUUUAUUUUUGAAUACUUUUAAAAUAAUCUUUAUAGUUUAUUUAAUAAUUGAUUCUAUUGAAAAAGUUUUCAAAACUAUAAUCAAUUAAAGAGAUUUAAACAUUUAUGUUGUUAUGUAAAUUACAAUAGUUAUAUAUAUAUAUAUAUAUAUAUAUAUAUAUAUUUAUAUUUUUACAAGAAAUAUUAUAUUAUCAAUUGAAAAAAAAAUAUUAUAUUAUAAUUAAUUGUAAUAUUCUUUUAGAAUUUAUAAGAAUAAAAUAUAUAAAAUAAAUUUUUUUUAUUUUUUUUAAAUGUUGACUUUAGGUGAUAGUAAGUCACCUUUGUAGUAUUAACAAAUGUCUUCUGUAUUCUUUCUUAAUUAAUAUCUGUGUGAUUGUAUGUGGAAGAAGAAAAUGGUGACGGAAGAUUUAAUAGUGAUAAAGUAGAGAAAAAAAAAUUGACGUGAGAGUUGAGAGAGGGGGCUAAUAAAUGUGAACUUCUAUUUAGAAGAUGUGGUUGGUGUAGUAAUUGUGUAGUUUAUCUUGUUCAUUUGAUUUGAUUUCAAAUGUUAUGAUAUAAACUAAUGAAAUUAUUGCGUUUCUUCUAGCUUUUUUUUGAAAAAAAAUAUCUUUUUUCUAUAAUUGUUUUUUUGUAUUUUCUUAAAAACAAAUUAUUCAUAUGUAUAUAUAGUAUGAUAAUAUUUGUGUAAUGAAGAAAAUGUAUAUGAGGUCAUUGAAAUAACUAUAUGUUGUAUAUUUGAAUUUCCUCCAUCUUUCUAGAUUCUCUAUACAAAUUCUUGUUUAUUUUUUUUAAUAAAAAACUUUUGAGCUUCUUAAUUAUGUCCUAAUUAUUAUAUUUUAUUUUAUUUUAAUUUUUUAAUAUAAAUUAAACAUUUUUAAGAAUUAUGAAAAUGAAAUACACAAAAAAUACAAAUGAUAUUUAAGAGAAAAUUAAUAUUAUAAGAUGACGAGAUAUCAAUUAUAACUAAUUUAAAUUUACAAUUUUAUUAAUGGAAGUGUUAAAUAGCUAUAAAAUUUGGUUAAGUUCGGCCAGAAAAUUUAAAUAUUAUAAAAAAAUUAUUUUAAAAUAAACUAAUUUUUUUUUCAUUUUUUAGUUAAAAGAGUAAAAAUGUUUAAAAUCUAAAAUAUCAUUUUGAUCAAAAAAAAAUUCUUUUAUUAAAUAUGAAAUACAUUAAUAAUUAUGUAUUGAUUUAUUAUAAAAUUAAAUAAAUGAACUGUCAAAAUUUAGAGCUUUUGAUUAACAAAAGCCUUUCUAGAUAAUUGAAUAGGAUUAUUGUUUGAGAAAAAAACAGCAGUAAGGAGCUUUUUCAGUUCUCCAACAUUCCUCAAAGUCGAGAGAAUAUAAUAAAAUGACCUCAAGCAUUAGUUAGAGACAAGGCUAAUUCAUGUAUUAUUUUGGGAAAAUUGUAUAAAAUAGCAAAUUAAUAACCUAAAUUAAAUUGAAUAGCUAAGGUUUGAUUUAAUUGUGCUCCAUAGCAAAUAUUGACAAAAAUUUGCCAGGUGUCUCUCUCCCAGAAGUCUCGCUCGCCACUCUCCCAUUCUCGCCUUUCUCGCUUUAUACACAGAAAGUGUAUAAUUUCUGUUUCUGUUUUGUAUAAAGCGAGAGAAAAUUGUAUAUACACAUGCAAAAUGUAUAUAUCUUCGUGUUAUACACUUAAUUAUAUAAUUUACAAACAUUUUACUUCAAAUAUUGCAGAGAAAAAGGCCAAAGAAUUAUACAAUUGUGAAUUAUACAAUUGCAGUGAAAUACAAUUUUUUCUAGCUUUAUACAACAAAAGUGUAUAUAUUGUGUUUCUGUUUUUGUAUAAAGCGAGAAAAACAUAUAUCUUCUUGCUAUACACUUAUAAUUAUGCAAUAUACAUACAUUUUAAUUCGAUUCAACUGUAUGCAAAGCUAAUUAUACAAUUGCAGCGAAAUAGGCCAGCGAAUUAUACAAUUUAGGCCAGCGAAUUAUACACUUUUAUAUAUAUAGCGAAUUAUACAGUUUUUAUAUUUGCUAUGGAGCGCAAUUAUGCAAAGUUUGCUAUAUUAUACAAAUAUAAUUUUUUUGUUUGCUAUAUGUGAAAGUUACCCUAUUAUUUUUUAUAAUAUAAUCUAUCACACGAUCUGUUAUGGUGAUCUUUAACUUGUCUCUGUUUAGAUGUUUAUCGUCCAUAGCCCUGACAGAAAGUGGGGAUCGAGUGGAUCUAAAGAAAGAUAACAAACAACAAUCUGCAUUGACAGAGCUGGCAGUAGCUAAUAAACUUGCCCACUGAAGGGGUUUGAUCCCAUGGACAUUGGCCCAUGCUCACGAACCAUUUGGAAUGCAACAAAAAAUAGUUUUUUAAUUGAGUUAAUGGGUAGUAUUGUGAAUAAAUUUGGAUCUAGUUGUAUGUGGAUCGAUAAAAGUUAUGGGACAUAUUUAAUUUAUGAUAAAAUUCUUAUUAAUAUAAUAAAUGCAUAAGUUAUAAUGAUUUUUACUAAUACAAAACAAAAGUUGGAUGAUUUUACUAGAUAAAUUUUAAAAUUUGUGUGAACUUUUGAAACAUUAGCCUGAACUAAACCAAAGUAACAUUAGAUCAGAGCUCUGUUACACAUACUGUAUAUAUAGAAAGUAAUAAAAUACUCAUAAUGACAUAUCAAACAUGGUACAUCCAAUUCAAAUACUAUUAUAAAAGAAUUAAAAUUUCUACUCCUAGCAGAAAGUAUCCAAUACUAUCUCCAUGUCACAGCUCAGGUCGCAAGCUUCAUAGAUUCAGAUGGAAAUCGCAAAAUAUCAGUCGGGUACCUCCUACUAGAGUGAAAGUAGCAUAUAAUUUACUCAAGGAGUAGCGGGUUUGUAUGGUGGAGAAAGUGAAGGAAGAGUUGGUUUAGGAAGUUCUGGAAUUUCAGGCUUUGGCAUAGUUGGGACUUUUAGCUUUGGAAGCUCUGGGAUUUUUGGCUUUGGUAGUUCUGGAAUUUCAAGCUUGGGCAUUGUUGGUACUUCUGGCUUAGGAAGUUUUGGGAUUUCAGGCUUUGGAAGCUCUGGAACUUUAGGCUUUGGCAGUUCUGGGAUUUCAGGUUUUGGCAUUGUUGGAAUUUUUAGCUUUGGAAGCUCUAGGGAUUUUGGCUUUGAUGGUUCAGGGAUUUCAGGCUUUGGCGUAGUUGGUACUUCAGGCUUUGGAAGCUCUGGGACUCUUGGCUUUGGUAGUUCCGGAAUUUCAUGCUUUGGCAUAGUUGGUACGUCAGGCUUUGGAAGCUCUGGAACUUUAGGCUUUGGUAGUUCUGGGAUUUCAGGCUUUGGCAUUGUUGGGACUUUUAGCUUUGGAAGCUCUGGGGCUUUUGGUUUUGGUAAUUCUGGAAUUUCUGGCUUUGGCAUUGUUGGUACUUCUGGUUUCGGAAGUUCUGGAACUUUUGUCUUUGGUAGUUCUGGUAUUUCGGGCUUUGGCGUAGUUGGUAUUUCAGGCUUUGGAAGCUCUUGGACUUUUGGUUUUGGGAUUUCAUGCUUUGGCAUAGUAGGUACUUCAGGCUUUGGCAUUGUUGGGAUUUUUAGCUUUGGAAGCUCUGGGACUUUUGGCUUUGGUAGUUCUGGGAUUUCUGGCUUUGGCAGACUUGGUAGCUCGGGCUUUGGUAGAGUUGGAACUUCAGGCUUUUUCAUAACAGGAGGAACCUCAGUCUUGGGCACUGCGGGGAUUUCUGACUUUUUCAAGGGAGGAAUCUCUAGUUUUGGCAUACUAGGAAGCUCAGAUUUUGGCAUGGUAGGGAUCUCAGGCAUCUUAGGCUUUGGCAAAGUUGGUAACUGGGGCUUCGAAAGAGUUGGUAGCUCAGGCUUUGGUAUGGCUGGAAGCUCAGGCUUCGGCACAGUUGGGAUUGCUGGAACUUUUGGGAGUUGUGGUUUAGGUAUCUCAGGAACGGGUGUCUCGAGGAGAUGGCGUGCAGUUGCACCACUUAUGUUGCCAUGAAUGAAGAAUAUAUUGAGAAAUGCAAGCAGUAAGAGAGAUGAUACGUGGUAAUGUUGAGCCAUUUUUCAGCAAAUGUUAGAAAAGCUAAAAGAAAAUGCGUGUAAGAGUGGAUGUGGCAUUGGCUUCAACUCUGUUGCUUUAUAUAGGUUUAAGAAUGCCAUUACUAGGACUUUUAGGAUUUUGUGAUCUGAGUAGUUGAAUUUCUCAUCAAACUAAUUAGCUUAUAGUUUGGUACGGUACGUCAAAAGUCAAUGUAGAUGACCUAAAUUGAACAAUAGUGUAAACCUGUCACAGGCAUAUAGGUUAGGCUGGCAACCUCAUAAAAAUUCUUAGUAUAUGUGAUUUCAUCUCUAAACUAGUUAUCAGAUUGUAAUACAAAAUAACUUCCUUUCUCGAUCAUAGUCAUUUCGUCCUUGAUAUUUUCUCUACAAAUAAAAACAGAGGUAGGCAAAAGAGUGACCCUUCAACUUUCAAGUCUACUGAAUCUAAAACAGAAAAUUGUCUGAGUUUACAGAUCAUAAACUAACUUGGAACACAUAAUUCUCUGCUAUCCUAUUCUACAUAGUACAUAAUAAUGGUGGAGCACUGCAAGUGAAACAUGUUGAACAGUAUUAUACAAUCCUCCAAGAAAUGAAAUGAAGUCAAUAGCUGAAAAAAAAUAUCAUAUAAAAGAACUGUUGAUGAUAUAAUCAAAUAGAUAAGUGUUUAAUGCCUCCGUCCAUUGCCUUAAAGUUUUGUGUUGGAGACAUAUUCACUCAUAUGGUGUCCAUAUUCAAAUUUUCGGUAAAUCAGUCUUCACAACUGUUUUUCUCUAUCUACUCUACGCUUAGGACAAAUAUCCUUCUACGGACCAUCAUCACGCCAUGCCACACUAGGCUUCUCUCUUCCUUCACUCUGCUUCAUAUCCACUCUUCAGCCUUCAUGGAAAAAAGAAAGUACAAAUAGCAGCAAAAAAUAAAAUACAAAUCAGUCAACUGGUAAACCAUAUAACCAGGCUACAUACGCAGGAUUGUGUUAAAUAUACUCGUCACUCGUUGUAUGUGUAAGGAUUUACAGAAAUGUUUAUAAUGUCCUAGACCACUCCACCCAUCAGCUUAAACUUUUUGGUCGAAUACUCAUAUUCUUUCUGAACUAGUAUCCUCAUGUGCCUAUUCCAUGCAGUCAUUUCAACUACCAAACCACAUUAAAGCAUGCAACACAAAAUGUUCAAUCCUGUUUACUACAACUGCAUUUGUCCAUGACACUUAUACCAGCAUCUUCCAUUUAAACCAUAUCGGCCCUACAUAGAGUAAAAUAUGUUAUUCUGAAACUAACCAUAGCCACUUACAAUUUUCUUUUCAAAGUUAAACCAAACAGAGAAAAGAAAUACUUGCUACUGAACCCUGAACAUAUUGCCACUGAACUCUGAACAUAUGAAAGAACGGCAGCCAUAUCAUUUUGAAGUUUUAACCAAUCAAAGUACAUAAACAUCCCUGGGAAUUUUAUGGUCCUAAUGGAAAAGAACUGCUUUUAUCUCCACCUGAGAUUUUGGUGGUUAUUCCUUGUGUGCAUUCAGUUUAAACCGACCCUCCGGAAUUUAUUUGUUAUUAAAAAAAGAAAAAGUGGAUUCCGUAUCACUGCAACAUAAAUGGAAUGAUAAGCAGAUUAUAACUUCUCAUAGAGGUUGUAUCGCAGGCUAAAAUUGAGGCUGGAAACAGCAACUUUAGUAACUUUAGACUUUCCCAUUACACCAACUCCAACUGAACCAAGUUGGAAGUAAUAUAAGAACUUAUCAGAACAAAACUGAGUUUAUAUCUGACUUAGCACACAAUCAUUGUGGGGACGUCACUUGCAAACACAUAAAUAGAAGAAAGAUCUAGCCAACCUUCAAAUUGCAUCAUCUACCAUGCUCAUUAAGUCAUAAAUGCCUACACAGCUCCUGCGACCAAUGACAAGUGUGUUCUCUACCUGCAUAGAAAUGAAAGUAAAGUUGAAAAAUCCUUUAACGGUCAUUUUAGAUGGAAAAAUGAACCAAACACGACAAUUCACUACCCGACCACCAUCUCCAAAACAAGAGCUCAGACAAAGAAACAAGGAAAGCAAAGAGAAGAAAGUAUAUAAAAAGAGAAUUUGAAUAGGAACCUCAUGCAACCUCAUUGUUAAUGAAUAAAAGUCAAUUAUCGUCAAAAAAUUUCCAAUUUCCGAUGUAAAUCCAUUUCACAAGUUCUUACCGUGAUUUUGGAUAUCAACAAAUUCCAAUCCAUAAUUCAUUUAUAGAUCUCCAAAUAAUCUAGUAGCAACAUCAUGCUAAAUACUGAUUGAGAAAUUACAUGUUGUACCAAAUUCCAUUCUCCUAAACAAUUAAAGAAUAUAGGGAAAAGGGACGGAUUUACCCCGAACUUUAAUAAAUGGUACGUCUAUGCCCUCCUUUAUACUUUGCAUACACAUAUGCCCUACCGCCCAAUUAUAGGUACAAAUAUACCCCUCUCACUAACGGAUUUCUAUUUUUUUACACGUGUCUUAAUCCUAUUAAACUACCCGUUUGACCUUUUUUUUAAACCCGUAACCCAAAUAUCCGCCCCAUAACCCAUAACUUACCCAAUACACACUAAAGGAAUCUUAAUUAGAAUACCCAAAUUAACAUUCAGCCAAGUAUCUCUUGCAGUGCCCUUUCCAAUUGGUUUAGAAUUAUUAGUAGUUCAGUACUUUAUAUGACAUAAUAAGAAAUGGAAGGAGAAAAAAAAACUAAAUACCGCACGGAGUUGCCACUGCUAGUAAAGGCAAUUUCCUGCGAAUGGAGAUGCCAGUGCAUUUACACUCAUAUCCAAAUCCUCUUUUUCAUUCCUUGUGGUAAUGCAAAAUUGAAUUCGUUCACAAGCCUUGCUUAUGCUAGCUCAAUUAUCACAAUAGCAAAAGGAAUUCCUGAGCAACCCCUCCUGCCAGCUUCGAACGGAAUCAACUCAAAGUUUAGUCCUCUGAAAUCAAUAUCACUAUUCAAGAAUCUCUUAGGCCGGUACACCUCUGGUUCAUCCCAUGAUAAUGGGUCUCUUCCAAUUGCCCAAACAUUAAUAAGGACUUGAGUUUUAGCAGGUAUGUCAUAGUCUAGUAAUUUUACGUCUUCCAUUGAUUCUCGAGGAACUGGUAUUGGAAACGGUGGAUUAAGCCUAACACUCUCUUCGAUUACUGCUUUGAAAUACUGCAGAUUUCCUAAGUCGUCCUAUGUUAUCUCUACUUUCCCUUGGGCUAAUCCUCGCACUUCAGUCUAUAAUUUCUCCAUGGCUCUUGGAUUCCUCAAAAGCUCAAUCAUUAUCCACUCUAAAGUUGUAUAUAUGAAUCCACACCAGCAAUAAACGAGUCCGUUGCAAAAAUUGUUGGUGUGUGAGAUAUUUGGGUGAAUGUUAAUAUUGGUGUCCUAAUUAGGAUUUCUUUUAGUGUGUAUUGAGUGGGUUAUGGGGCGGAUAUUUUGGCUAUGGGUUAAAAAAAAGUGGUCAAAUGGGUAGUUUCAUAGGAUUAAGACACGUGUAAAAAAAUAGGGAUCCGUUAGUGAGAGGGAUAUAUUUGUAACUAUAAUUGGACGGCAAGGGCAUAUGUGUACGCAAAGUAUAACGGAGAGCAUAAACGUACCAUUUAUUGAAAUUCGGAGGUAAAUCCGUCCCUUUUCCCAAGAAUAUAAGAUCUGCACAUUGUUACUGUAUGAAGGUGACAGGAAUGCAGAAUCUUGAAAAAAAAAAGGGGGAAGUUCUAGAAAGUACCAUGUCGGAAGAUAAAUGGGGGCAAGACUUACUCAUUUUAAAAGAAUUAACACCAAAAUGACUAUCUGAAUUUGUCACCAACGGACCAUUUCGGCACCAAAAGAAAGGAACCAAAAUAUAUGUACUGAGAAUGCAACCCAGAAUGUAUACAUCCUUGGCAAUACAAAACAUGAUUAUCAACAAGGAACAAAGGCAAAUAUUAGGAACAGCUACUUGUUCUUCAUAAGGAUUAAGAAGGCACUGGACUUGCCACACUGUGAAUUGCAGAGGCUUCACCUGAUUGGAAACCUUCCAUAGUUGACGGACACAUGCGAGAGUCCACACAAACAAGCAUGACAAACUUCCCUUCAAAUUGAAGGUUGAAACCUCAGCACUAAGCUAUGAAAUUAAAGUGAAUUACUGACUGAGUUUGAAUAACAAGAAAAUAUAUAACAGCUGCAGAAGAAAAGUUACCUUUCUUCUUGGGAAUAUGUAAGAUUUACUUCCCUCUUAAAGUCACUUGUUACACUUGGACUGCCCUUAGAGAGGCUUGCCUAUAACACAAGACAAUCUCAGGAGAAAAGGAAUAAUUCUCAUCAACAGAUGUUUCAUGUGCAAGCAGGAUAAUGAAACUGUAAACCAUCUCUUUUUGCACUGCGCUGCAAGCAGUUGGCUUAUGGAAUUUGUUUUACCCUUUAUCUGGGCUCCAAUGGGUAAUGCCCUUCUCCAUGAAAGAUGCCUAUGUAAGUUGGUCACUGUGGAGAGUAGAUAUAACCGUCAAAAGAAUGUGGAGAAUAAUCCCAGCAGUUGUUUUUCGAUGUCCCUGGAACGAGAGAAAUAGCAGAUGCUUUGAUGGAAUCUCAACUCCUACUAGCACACUCAUGGCUAGAUGUUUAGAAUGUUAUUCAGUUCGCACUUUCUUUCCCCAGUUAACAAUGGGGAUAACAAUUUAGAUUUUGUUAGCUCCAUGUCUUUAGCUUAGUAGAAUAUUCAGGAAAUUCUUUGGCUGUUUUACAGGUUUAGGCCUAAGUUUGCUUCACGUUUUGUUUGAAGCAACUUCUUUUUCUCUCUUGUAAUGCUAUUCUAAUAAGAUUUGAUUCCCUUACCCAAAAAAAAAAAAAAAGAUAGCACCUCUAUUGGUGAUGUGAAGCUCUUCCUUGUAAAUUGUCACGUCUCAAACAAACCUCAUUUGCUGCCAACCAAGAGACAUUGCACUUCGAAUGGAGCCUUAGUUUUUCCAGAUCUGUCUCCAUGGCCAAUUUUUUCCUUGAACAUUUUGUUGUCAAAGCUUUUAAAAGAUCCAAAACCAAGACUUAUAAUCAUGUAUAAAGAGAAAUGGGAUAAAAACAUGUAACAUUGUAUGCGGUAGAGGAGUCCCUUUUAUUUAAAUGGAAGCUUAGCAUAUAUCAAAAAUUUAUCCUAAAAGAUUCAAAAAUGUUGGCAUCAUUUCUCACAAGGGAAAAAAUCAAAACUAUAUGAAUCUAUUAGCAGUUAGCUCCAAACAAGUAACAAGGAUACAUAAAAGUAACCAAUUGCCUGAGAAAGUAGAAAAAAACUUGGUUUCAAGAAAACAGAGUUCAAGAUAAAGUUAAAACUUAUAUAGCACAACUGAAGGGAAAACAAGAACAGGCAAACAAGGCCCUCUGAGAACCUAUGUGAUCUUUUAAAAGAUAGAAACAUAGGACACUGAGGAUAAAUGAUUUAAGCUAUACAAUAAGAAAACCAAGAUUACUGAUGCAGUAUGGAGAUUAGAGCUAAAAGCUGAUUAUUGCAAUUACUUCAAUGCAAACUAGCAAUACAUUAGCAUUACAAUGAAAACAUCAAGGCCAAUGCCUGAGUAGCUUUUCAUCCCUUACUAAAACAUACAAAAGACAAAAGGAAGCUACAACUAGAACAAAAGAAAUGCCUUACUUUGCUAGGCAGCCUUAACCUUAUCAUCACCCACAGCAUUGAGUAUAGGAAGACUGCUUAGGAAUUCAUCAAGACCUUCAAAAAACUCAAUCCCUUCAAUGUUCCCAUCCUCCCCUGUUCCAGCUCCAUUGCCUUGGCCUACCCCAGGUGCAGGGGGCUCUUCAACCUCAUUACUGAAUUCCACAUUCAAAUCCAAUUUCCCAACAUCUUUGGUAACCCUUCCAGCUUGCCUUCUGGCAUUACCAGCUCUCUUGCUUGAUUGAGCUGUUGUAACAUUGGGCACUUCUACACCCCCUUGAGUCACUGAAACAUCUUGCACAUCAUCACCAGCAUUCCCUACAACAUUCUUUCCCUUGUCAGAUUUCUGCAUCUUGCCCUUCUUUCUCCUAAACCUUUUACUUUUUCGUUUCCCACUCUUUGCCUUCUUCAUCUUAUUAUCACCCUUCCAAUCCUCAUCUGACUCCUCACUCGACUCUGAUAAUCCCAGAAACACAUCCUCAUAAUCAUCAAUAUAAACUCUGGGAGCAGAUGGCUUUCUUACACCUCCAUGUUUAUUAAACAUGGGUGCAAACGGAGUCCAGCUCGAAAUAUUGCCUUUGUAUUUCUUAAAGAUCUCCAAGGAAAAUCCUAAAGGCAUAAAUCCCCAACAACAGAAAUAAGCUUCUUGUCCCUCUAUAAUUGGUGGUGGCGAGGCAAUCUUUACAGCCUGAAAUGCCCUCUUGCACUUUUGACACCUCAAAGUACAAUCCACGUACUCUAAAGGAUACUCAUACAUCAGAUAACAAUAAGGACAUGCAGUCCAGAAACUAGGAACAGCAGGACUUGACGCAUCUGCACCCCUCUCUUUUCCCCUGACAUUGUUGUUACUACUACUAACAGAAUGAUUUUGAUUGUUCCCAAAAAAAACCUCAUUGUUAACAUUGUUGUGACUAGUAUUAGCAGACUGAUUUUGAUUGCUCCCAAACAAACCCUCAUUGUUCACAUUUCUAUUGGUACUAGCAGACUGAUUUUGAUUGUUCCCAAACAAACCCUCAUCGUUCACAUUUUUACUAAUACUAGCAGAGUGAUUCUGAUUGUUUCCAAACAAACCCGCAUUGUUCGCAUUUUUACUAAUACUAGCAGAGUGAUUCUGAUUGUUCCCAAACAAACCAGCAUUGUUCACAUUUUUACCAGAGUGAUUUUGAUUGUUCCCAAACAAACCCUCAUUGUUCACAUUUCUACUAGUACUAGCAGAGAAAUUUUGAUUGUUCCCCAACAAGCCCUCGUUUCUUUGUGGUGCCUGCUUAUUACCUUGCUGAUGUACAGAAACUACUUCUUGUUGCUCUCUUCUCGACUCCAUAGACGCUACUCGAUGUUGCCCUCUUGUCGAGUCUACAGAAGCUACUUGCUGUUGCCCUCUGGUCGACUCUACAAAAGCUACUUGCUGUGGCCCUCUUGUCGACUCUGCAAAAGCUGUUUGUUGUGGCCCUCUGGUCGACUCUGCAAAAGCAACUUGUUGCUGCCCUCUUGUUGAUUCUGCAAAAGCUACUUGCUGUUGCCCUCUUGUGGUACUUGAUCCAAAGGUAAACGGGUGUUGUUCUCUGUCCGGGCUUAGCAUAGUAGAGCUUACUGGCUGUGUUUGAUUUCUGCUCAGAAAUGUUACAGGUUGCUGCUCUCUAGUCAAGCUAGUCACAGAAGUCAUUGGCUGGGGUUGUGGGUCUUGAAGAAAUGUUACAGUCUGCCGCUCUCUGCUUGAAGAACUCGGAACAGAACUCACUGGAUGCGACUGUGGUUGACUCUGAAAAAUCAUAGAACUUUGCUGCAUGAAACCAACUGGGUUAUUAGUCGGAGGUGGAGGAGACGAUACAGGGUUAAGGUUAAGAAAAAACCCAAUUUCUUUAUCAUAAACACUUCUCCUAAAAGCGUUUGAAAGAACAGACCAAGCAUCAACCACAAGAUGAAAAGCAUGGUCAGAGAAAGGGAAAUUGUUCUUCUGAGGGUUCAAUAGGAGCGCAAGACGUCGGUACUGAUUAGCGAUAAGUUCAGAAUCAUGAGUUUGGUUGGAAGGAAUUUGAAGAAUAGAGUAAUAAUCAAGAUGCUGGUUGUUGAUCCGCUUGUCGCCGGCGAUUAGGGUGUCAACGAUUGCAAGAAUUUGGUCGGCAGGUAAAAGGGUCGGGUCGGAUUCAUGGGCACGGGUCGCAAACGAUUUGCUUCCAACUAGGUCACGGUUAGUCAAUAGCUUCUCGGCAAUUGAUAACCACCGUAUCGCCUCCGCUCUCGACGUAUUUCCAGCGCCGUUCAUGAAGAAUGGAUGUUCCAUUUUUGAGUUUUUCAACUUCAGUUCCAAGAAAAGAAAGAAAUUGAAGUGAAGAAGAAAGAAAAGAGAGAGAAAUUAAGUGUAGCAGUAGUAGUAGUACUAUAUUAACUGCUAUGAAGAAGGACACAAGUUAUAAGAUACAAAAUGACAUAAAGGCCACGUGUUUGUAGACUUUAUAACCAUGAAAAUAUCCUUAGAUAAAAGGAUAAAAAGGGAAAAUUAAAAAUGUUUACUGUGGUAAAACAUAGAUUUACUUGUUAAUUACUAUCCGUUGUUAUUUGUUUCAAUAAGAUCAUACGAAAUCUGUUACAACUAUGAUAACACUUAAUUCAAAGUGAGUUAAAUUAAGUUAUCAACUUAAGUUUAUUAAAAUAUUUAAUUAAUAUUUAGCAGCAUAUAGGAGUUGAAUUUAUUGCAUAUACACACAGUUGAACAAUGAACGACUCACACGUGGCAGCUUAAGAAUGUAUAGUUUAAUAAUAGUAGAAAAUAAUUUACAAUAUUCUUCUUUUUUUUCUUUUCCCUAAUUGUAUAGUGUGGUAAUAUAUAGCUCUUCUAGAAAGAAAAAGAGAAGUGUUGUAUGGUUGACUAUUUUUCCAAUUCGAGAAAAGUAACCAAAUUUAUAUAUUAUCUUCGUUCACUUUUAAUUGUCGUAAUUUCAUUUUUCUUCGUCUAUAUUUAUCUGUCAUAAUUUUAUUUUUUAGAAUUAGAUAAUAAUAAUUUUAACUAAUAUUUUAUAAUGUAUCUUUUUAUUGUAUGAAUAUGCAAAAAAAAAAUAAUAUAUAUAAUAUUUUUUAUAUAAUUUUUGAAUAUCUCAAUUUUUUGAUUUAAAUAUUAAAUUAAUAUUAUCUAAUUUAACUUGAAAAUUAAUCAAAUUGACUUUCAAAAAAUGUAAAUAACAAUUAAAAGCGAAUAGAAUGAGUAUCAUUUAGCAACCAUAACAAUUAAGAGUGUAAAAAUAAGCGGGUUAAAUUUAAUUUGAAGGAUUAAAAUGAAUAAGUUAUUGAAUUGCUUAACUGUUAUUUGAAUUAGAAUUGGCUAAAAAUGUUUAAUGAUUCAGAACGUUUAUUACUUACCAGGUUUAAAUUUUUAUAACAUGUAUAACCAUCUAAUAUAAGUUUUGUGAUCUUUAUUAUGGUUACGGAAAAAUGGUAAAAAAUUACCUUUAAACUAUCCGAUAUAGCUUAUUUAUAUCCUCAAGCUAUAUUUCGGCAUAAAAUCUACCCUUUCUGACAAAUUAUUGGGUCAAAAGUAUUAUCUUAUUAACGAAAGUUGUUAAAUGUCAUGUAGAUGCUACAUUGCAUGCCAAUAGGGUUCCACUGCCAUGUACACUAAUAAAAUCUCUAAAAUCUAAUUUUCCCCUCAUUGCUUUCCAAACACGAUUUCAUCUAUUUCCCCUAAUCAUCCCCUCGUUUCUCCAUCUCCCUUAAAAACGAUUUCAAAUCAUCCAAGUCGUCAAAUUUAAAGCAUUGAGACAACAAUGAAUCUUCUUGCAUACGAUUUUUCAGGUGAAGAUUCUGACAUUAUCUCGAAUCUAUGUCAGCUUCGAAAUUGAUAAAUAAGUGAAAUCAUUUCUUACCCUAACCGUGAAAUGAGGGGAAAGGGGUAAGGUGAAAUCGUUUCUAAGGGAAAAGGAGAAUGAGGGGAAAAUUAGGGGAAAUGAAUGAAAUCGUAUUGAGGGGAAAAUUAGAUAUGGAAGUGGGAAAUGUUGGGCCUUAUGUGGCAUGCAAUAUGAUAUCCACGUGGCAUUUAACAACUUUCGUUAAUAAAAAAAAUACUUUUGACCUAAUAGUUUGAUGGGAAGAGUAGAGUUGAGCCAAAAAAUAGUAGGAUAAAUAUGAGUUGUUUCCAAUAGUCAAGGGAUAUUUUUGAGUCUUUUUCGUUAUGGCUGUUUAUUGGAUAUUGUUUUGAAAUAUAUUUUGAUAAAAAUUUCACCGAUCUAUUUGGUUACAUAUUUGUCCAACUUUUAGAUGUAUGAGUGUUAAUUUUGUGGUUUAAUUUGAUUUCGAAUGUUACUCGAUUGAUCUUAUUGAUUAUUAAUUCGUAGAUAUAUUAAACUAUUGUAAAUCAUUAAGAUAUUGAUUUUUAAUAUUUAACGACUUAAUAAUCAACUGUCGAAUUCUGAUUGUGAUAUGUGAAGUUGCUCCUUGUUUGUACCAUUGGAAACAAACUUUAUAGAAUUAACUAUAUGGCCUGAGAUUUGGUGAAGUGUCUGUAUAUAACUUAUCAGUUAACCAAUUAAGAAUAAAUCUUAAGAUGUGUUGUUAUGAGUAGAAAAAUAGUGCACACGUACAAAAUUGUAUUCAUUUUAUAUAAGGGCAAAGGCUUAAAUAUGCCAUUGAAUUUUCAAAAAAGGUAUAUUUAUGUCAUUAGUUAAAAGUUUGGCUCAUUGAUGUCAUUACCGUUAAAGAAAAGGCUCAUUCAUGCCAUUAUUUUUUAAGGGUGGUUUAGCAAAAUCAUUUUGACACAUGACUAAUUAUAAUUCGGUCACGUCAUCAAUUUAUUUAAUAAAAAAAUAAUUCAGAAUUAUGAUUUUUUUUAUUUAAAAAAUUGAUGAUGUGGCUGAAUUAUAAUUGGUCACGUAUCAAAAAUGGUUUUAAAACCAUUGUUAAAAAAUAAUGACAUGAAUGAGCCUUUUCUUUAACGGUAACGACAUAAAUGAGCUAAACUUUUAAUUGAUGACAUAAAUGAGCUUUUUUAAAAAGUGUAUAUAUUGCAGCAGAAAUUAACCAUACUUUUAAUUAUAUACAAAAACUAAUUGAAUGAAUACACAAUAUCUUAUGUAUACACAAUCAACAAAGUAUACAUAAAUUUAUGAUGUAUUCAUAAAUAUUCAUUGAGUGAAACAUUAUGAAUGCAUAUUGGACUGAUUGAAUACAUUACCUAAUAAACUCGUUACGUAAGUAUGUACAUAUAUAUAUAUAUAUAAAAUUUAUUUUAGAGGAUGCAUUAUGUAUUCAUAAUUGUUUUUUUAAUUGAUAAUACAUUGACAUAUUAAAAAUUUUCACUUUAAAUUGAAAUAUCAUUCGAAUAGAAUAAAUAUUUUUAUCACAGAUAUUUCAGAGAAAAAAUUAUUGUAAACUUGACAUUCUGUCAGUACAAUUUUAAUUUUGUGGUGUUGACACCAAUAGCAAUAAAAAUUGAUCGAUUUUAUAAUAAAAUUCAAAAGAAUUAGUAGAAGUAUCAACAAAUAAAGGAUUUGAAAUCAACAUCCAUGUUGAUAUUGAUAAUCACCACUUCUAUGAAACAAUUUACAAAUUAUUAUUACUAUCUCAUUCUCCAUUAUAAUGAAUCAAAACAAUUAAAGGUGUCACUUAUAUCUUAAUGCUUUUAUUUGCUCUAUGAUAUUUAUUUACUUUUAAGAUAUACUAAUAAUGGAGUUGGGUUUGGAAAUUUAAGGAAACCUGAAAUGCUAACUUUCGUAGCUAUAGGAAUUAAAACCACAUAAGAAAAAUAAAUCCACGUCUUCUAUUUAUUGCCAUUUGGUUGCCCGAUGAUUACUUUUGGGCUAAUACAUGCUAUUAUCUUUGGGCAACUUUCACAUAUAGCAAACAAAAAAUUCAUAUUUUUAUGCUAUAGCAAACUUUGCAUAAUUGCGCUUCAUAGCAAACAUAAAACUGUAUAAUUUGUUAUACAUAUAUAAUUGUAUAAUUCGAUGGCCUAUUUCGCUGCAAUUGUAUAAUUUGUUUUACAUACAGUUGAAUCGAAUUAAAAUGGAAUUAAAAUGUAUGUAUAUUGCAUAAUUAUAAGUGUAUAACAAGAAUAUAUAUGUUUUUCUCGCUUUAUACAAAAACAGAAACACAAUAUAUACACUUCUGUUGUAUAAAGUUAGAGAAAUUUGUAUUUCACUGCAAUUGUAUAAUUCGUUGGCCUUUUUCUCUGCAAUAUUUAAAGUAAAAUGUUAGUAAAUUGUAUAAUUAAGUGUAUGACACGAAGAUAUACAUUUUUGCAUGUGUAUAUAUAAUUUUCUCUCGCUUUAUACAAAACAGAAACAGAAUUAUACACUUCUGUGUAUAAAGCGAGGGAGGCGAGCGAGAAUGGAGAGUGGCGAGCGAGAUUUUUGGGAGAGAGACGCUGGAAAAUUUUAGCUAAUGCUUGCUAUGGAGCACAAUUAAAUCAAACCCUAGCUAUUCCAUUUAAUUUAGGUUAUUAGUUUGCUAUUAUAUAUAAUUUUCCCAUUUAGGCAAUUAAUUGCUAAAUUAAGUUGGGCUAUAAAUUGCUAAUUUUAUGUAGCAGUUGUACUUUUGUGUCAAUUCCUCAAGUUUCGGCCCACUUUUGAUGAUGCAAGGCCCAAUACAGAUUGAUCCAAGCCCAUUCUUGUUAUCGAGUGUUUUCACGAAUUGAGGAUGAUGAUCUUUAAACUUAGCUCUUAAAUAUGAUGGUCUUAGUUUUUUGUCUAUGCUUAUUAUUAAAUAAAAUUUACAGAUCAAAGUGCUUUUAUCUAUGAUUUAAUUCUCUUGAUAUAAGUUUGGAGAAUUUUUUAUUAUGUAGGAACUAAGUUUGCUCUGCUCGAUAUAAAUUUUUGCGUCAAAGUGAACCAAAAAGGUGGAUAAUCCAAUAAGAAAAUAACAUGUAGUAUUUUUAAAAAAUGAAGAAAGUGUUAUUAGUUUCAAAAAUAUAGGUGAACUUAAAAUAUCAUACCAAAAGAUGAAUAAAAAUAUUUUUAUAAUAGUUCAAAUAUAUUUUUAACUCUUUUCGAUAAAUUUUUUGAACCAUAUAUAUCAUGCACUUUCACAGAACUUGUCCCCAACUAAGAGUAAAAUCAAUUGCUAAAUAGGAAACGUGUAAUUAAAUGAAAAAUAUUCGUUAUCAAUAUUUCUUCGAUACUAAAUAGUACUAGUAAGUCCAAACAAAAGAUAUUUUUUUUUUUUGUGGGUGUGUUUCCAUGUUCUUUAUGUACCUAACUUUUUUUUUCCAUUCAAUUUCCAUGUACACUAAUAUCAGUGGAUCAACAUUGGUCCUGAGAUGGUCCUCCUCAAUGGUUCAGGCGGCACAUUUACUCUCUGACGAUCUUGCAAAAACUGGUUAACAAAGAAAAAGUUAUGUCAAAGUUCUUUAAGAAAUUGAUACUUUAUUCAAAUUGAAAUAACAAAAUUGUAAAGAUACGAUGCUUAAACUCAAAAGUUAGUUCACGAGAAAAGAAUUGUCUAAGUUUAUAUAAGCAGAUUAUUACUCAGCUAAUAUGAAACUUUAAUCCAUUCUAAGAUCCCGAUCUUUGCUCUAAUUGGGCCUAAGAGUGAAGGAGAUGUUACAAUGGGUUAAUGUUUAAGAAUGGGCUAGUAGUCUGUUUACGUAAAAUUAAACAAUCCUUCAUGAACUAUUUUUAAUGUUUGAAUUAGGUCUAAGUGUCAUAUUUGUACAAAAAUAGUGAAGAAGUGAAUGAUUAUCGAAUAAAUUUUACCGUAACCAUUUUUUUCAAGAAAUCAUUCUCCAUGAGAAGCUCCAAAUGUUGAGACUCCAAAUAUGCUUCACGAGCCUUAUAAACAUACAUAAUCAUGGACAUAAAAUAAAAACAAAGGAUCGUAGAAAAUCAUACAAAUUAAAUAAAAGAAAGCAUACCAGUCUCAUCUCAUGUGUUCUAGCAGCCACCUCUCUGUUUUUAAUUUUUUGUUUAGCCAUUUUGAGAAGCCUUUGUUCUUCACUCAUAACGACUCCUCUGUAUUUCCUUUUCUGUCUCUUUCUGCGAUGGUUGUUAGCUUUAGUUUGGCCACAGAAAAAAUACCUUAUAACAGGGCUCGACGAAUCAUUUGGAUUAUAAGAUGGAUGUGAAUUGCUAAUACUUGUGUAUUGCGAGGCCAUUUCCUCAAUCAUCCUUUCAGUCUCAACUACAUUUUCGAUAUUGUCAUUGGAAUUUAUUGAUGUUUUUGUUGCUGGAGUGAGUUUUGUUCGUUCAAAUGCUUCAAAAUCCUUGGAAAUUUGCAAUAUAGUACUGUUGGAUGGAUGCACAUUACUAGAGUCCAUUUCUUCGAUCAUCUUUUCAAACUCGUGUAUAUUUUCUUCCAAUGGAUCAAUAUCAUUAUUGACAUCUAUUGAUGUUUUGGUUGUUGAAGGCAACUCUGUACUUUCAAAAACUUCAAAGUCACUAGAUAUUUGCAUAAUAGUGGAUUGUGCAUCAUAGUGAAGAUAAUCAUAAUUAUUUUGGGCAAAGUAAUUGUCCAUAAAGUCUUUAAAAUCUACCUCAUCUAUGGACUUCUUUCUCUUAUAAUUAUUAAAAGCUUGAUAGAGCUUGUCAAGUUGAUCAUCCAUUAUCAACCUAUCCAAGUCUUUGUCUUCUUUUUUACAUGUAAAAUUCAAGUCCAUGGCUUUAUGAAGAAAGUUUUAGUCAACAAGCCUUAAUUUUUGUUGGUUAAUCAUGGUCUGCUUAGUUUCUAUUUCUAUUUAGCACAAGAUGUGAGUGGGGAAUAUAUUCUGCCACCAAGUAUUGAAGUUUUUGUUUUAGAACCCUUUUAUGCAAUAUUCCAGAAAUAUUUUGAAGUUGCAAAAUGUUCCAUUUUCUUGUCUUGAUAAAUGAAGGCUAACAAGGAACACGAAUAUCAUACAAUAAUUGUAGUCGGCAGUUGCAAAGCAUUGGGCCUUAAAAGAUGUCCUGAGUUGUGACUCCAAAGCACAUGGACUUAAGCCCAUUCCUAAAGUAGGUAAGGAUCGGGUUUAGCUUAACCUAUAAAUUUUUUAAUACGCUCUGCCUCGUAUAACAAUCUGUUGAAUCCACCCACCUCGUUCAGUAUAGAUCCGUCCCGCAUGAGCCCCGCAUAGUUUUUCUAAUAUUCUCUUUUUCUAGUUAAGUUUGAUACUAAAAGUAAAAUUUAUUUUUUUUCAUCAAGUUGUAUUAAUUUAAUAGAUAAUGACUUAGAAAUUUAUUUUUUAGAGGUCAAUUCGAAAACAAGAAAUUGUAUUAUUUUUUACUGAACCGUUUUUAUUUACUAUCUUAAAUAUUUUAAUAGCGUUAAAUAAAUUAUCUUAAUAAAUAAUAUUUUAUCACUCUUAUAACAUGUAAAAGGUUAAAAAUUAAGUUUGAACCCACAUAAAAUCACAUAUAUCCAUUACUCGCUCCACCUUGCAUUACAUUCUUAAACAACCCACUACAACCUGCCCGGCAUUCCUCUCUUCCCGCACAACCUUAAACCCACCCUCGCCCCGCAUAGCCUUAAGCACGCACCGCUCCGCAUGUGCCCCGCCGCAUUGCCAUCAUUUGAUAAAUUUCCAGCUUUGCAUAUUUAAAAAAAUGAUAAAACUUCGAUAACCAUUGCCAUCAUUAGAUAUAGGCUCAGGUAGUCUCUAAGUUUCCAGCUUUGCAUACUUGUGAAUCAUAAAUAUACAUGGUAAAAUAUUAUAAAACUUUGAUAACUAUAAGAUUUUGAAUUAGUAAAUAAACGAGUAAUUCUUAUUCAAGUGGUUCAGCAUUUUCACCAUUACUCAAUAAAUUGAUAAUUCGAGUCAGAGGCUACAUGAGAAAACUAUUGAUUCUCCUAAAGUAUAAAGAAAAAAAAAACAUAAGCUAAGAAAUAUGAUGGAAACUUUAAAUAUUGAAUCGUCAAUUAAAAUCUUAGAUUAAUUUUUUUUAUGAUCAGUAAAAAUAUUAAUUUACAUUUUAUUAGAAAUUACAUUCAUGACGUGUUUAAAAUCACAAAACUUGAAUAAUUGUAAUACUUUUUAUAUGUUACAUACACCAUUAUUUAAUAUUACUAUAUCAAACCAUUGUGUUGACGAUAUAAAUUUUUUUUUGGUUUUCAUAACUUGAACCUAAAAACUCUAAAGUAAUUAAAAAUAUCUUGAUGACGUUGCGUUCGAAGAUCUUGUAACCCAUUAGCUAAAUUAAAAAGUCAAUUAAAUUAAGUUGAAUCUUCGGCGCCAUCUUUAACUUCCCUAGUGGCCAAAUAAACAGAUAGUUUGCACCAAUGAAUUGGUAUAAAAAAAUUAGUUUAAUUAUGACUAAUCAGACUUUUAUAUUUCUUAUUAAGAUAAUUAUCUUGGUGUAUGUACUAAAUGGUCCCCUCCUCAUAAAGGAGAAACAAAAUCUCAGACACAGAUAACAAAAUUUUCGAUUAUAAAUUAUUAAAAUUCGAAUAUAUAAUUUGACAAAUACUAUAUGCCCUUUUGAUGGGCAUUAUAUGUAUAUACUUCCGUCCACGAAAAAUAGAUUAAUUCAAUCAAAUUAAAAAUUAUAAAAGAUCACAAAUUUUUUAUAUUCUUGCCAAUCAAGCACUAGAUAAAUUAUGCAUGAAUUAUAUUGUUGUACGAUCAAUUGAUACACUGCAUAAGUUAUGAAAUAGAAUUCUUUUUUCUAAAUUUUCUAGCCCAAGUAUAGUAUUAUAUAUUGUGUGUGUUUUAUUAAAUGUGUCAAUGAUUUUUAAGAAAAUCUAUUCGACCGGCCAAAUCAAUUUUAUGUUUUUUAAAAAUAAAAGGGAAAAGGAUCUGAUAUAUCCCCUCAACUUUGUUAUUUAGAACUGAUAUACCCCUUGUUAUGAAAGUGACUCAUAUAUACCCCUACUUGUAAACAAAUGGCUUACAUAUACCCCUUUUCUCUAACAAAAAUGAAAAAAUAAUAAUUUUAAUCUAAAUUUUUAUUAUUUUUUUCUAAAAAAUAUAAUCCUAUAUGAGUAAAUUUAAUCCUCGUCAAACAUAUUUUUUUUUUGACUUUUUUUUGUUUCAAUGACUAAUUUAUAAUUAUUAUUUCGAAUCAAAUUUAUUUAUGUUUCACUAAUAUUCUUGUAAAACUUAUUGUAGAUGACCAAAUUUUUUCUUCGAAUACAAAAUUAAAUUACAAUACACACAAAAAAAUAGUUUAAUUUUUUUUAAACUAAGGAAUGUAAGAAAAAGAAUAAAAAAACUCAAAUAAUUAUAAUAAAAGAAGUCAAAAAAUAAUUUAUGUAUGAAAAAAAUUAAAAUAUACCUUAAAACUUUGAUAGAAGAAUCAUAUAUACUCCUAAAUAUUUUUUUUAAAAAAAAAUUAGAACUAAUAAAUAUAAAUUUAAAACUAAUUUUUUAACUUCCAUUAAAUGAAGGGUAUAUGUGAGCCAUUUUGUAACGGCAGGGGUAUAUGUGAGCCGUUUGUAUAACGGUAAGGGCAUAUAUGAGCCACUUUUAUAACAAGGGUAUAUCAGCUCCAAAUGACAAAGUUGAAGAGUAUUUGAGACCCUUUUCCCAAAAUAAAAUAAAAUUUAAGGUUAGAGAGAGAACAUAUCAAACAAGAAAAAAUAUUUCAAAAAGAUAUUUUUAUCAGAUUUUUCAUUGACCAAUUUACACUCAUUAUAAACCAAUUUUUAUAUGCGCUUGGAUCGAAUUAUAUUGAGUUAAUAAAAAGAUAAAUUUAUAGUUGACUCAAAAUUGAAUGAGUCGAAUAAAUCAUAUUUUUACGAGUUAUUAUUACCACUAAAAGUUCUAGUGAUUUCCAAAUCCAUCCUUAAUUGACAUUUGACCAUGAAUUUUGAAUUAUAUUUUAAAUCUUUGCUUUUAUUUAAAAAUAUAAAUUGGAGAAAUUUUUCUUUUCACUGAAAAAGUUCAAAAAAUUCUGCUUAAAAUACAUGUUCCACCGAAACUUGAAAUUUUAAAAACCUAAAAUUUGAAACUGAAAUUUCAAAUUCAAAUAUACAGCCAACAAGGUAGCUUAGUGUGUUUUUUCUGAUUAAAUUUUUUGAAAAAUAUUUUCUUUUAAAAAAAACACCUUGAAAAUAAUUUAAAAUAAAUUUUCUAGUAAUAAAAUUAAAAAAAACAAGUUGAUCACAAUGUGUCGUGUACCUAUAGUACUACAACCACUCACCAACCCACCCCUCCAAACCUCCUCCACACCCACUCCUUCUCCCUCCCCCACCUCCAUCAAGAAGAAAAAAAUAGAUUUAUCUAUCAUUAUUAAAUACAUUAAAUCAUUAAUCACAUCAUAAAACUCCGUCACUACAUAUUAUAUAUCAUAUUUAAGAAAAUAAAUUUAAAAAUCCCUUAUCCAAAAAAAGAAAAAGAAAAAUCUUAUCUCAAAUUGAAGAGAAAAUUACAUGUAUUUUGUCUAUGGGGGGUCCUUAGGUUCGUGGGUCGUGUAAGAUUAAACGAGGAGAGUGGGGAGCAUUGACAGGUACGAGGGUACAAUAAAGUCAUUAAAUUUCUCCACUCAUCUCUCAUCUGUCACCUGUACGGUAAAGUUUCCCCACUUAUCUUACCUCUCUCUCUCACACACACAUUUAUAUCAUCUUUUCUACUACUCAAUUAAUUAUUAUUAUUUUUUUACUAACCAAAAUAUCUAUUGGUGAUAUUAUUUGAUUUGAUAUGAUAUUUAUAAAAUAAAAGGAUUUAAAAUACGAACUGAUACAAGUAUAAGGAUUUAUCAGAUCUUUUGCUUAUCUGGAGUAUGAACAAUUAAUUAUGGAGGUCAAACAUUUGGGAAUCUAUACUCUGUAAGUUAGAGGUAAGGAUUGUUCAUAUUGAAUAUGUCUCACUGAUAUCUUUUAUAUGAUACUAAAUCAUAAUUAAUUAGUACCUAAAGUAGUACUCUCUUCGUCUCAUUUUACGUGGCACCAUUUGACCCGGCAUGGAAUUGAAGAAAUAAAUGAAAGACUUUGAAUUGUUUGCUGACUUGUCAUCAAAAGUAGACUCACUUUUCGCUCUCCUCAUAAAUGUAUAAAAGUAUUAUUUAAAAUUAAAUGAGACCAACAAGUGUAAAAGAGGAAUUACACCUUUAAAUACUUAUCGUAUAAGAAAAUGUGACAUUCUUUUGGAACUGACCAAAAAGAAAAAAUGCCACAUAAAAUGAGACGGAAGGAGUAAUUUGCGUCGAUUCACAUAUUUACCACGUUAAAUUAUAUCAAGGUUUGGAAACAUCAGGUCUAGAUUAGUUUUAUUUCUUCUCUUUGUACCUAGUAUAUAUGAAUUGUUUUUGAUAUUUGAACAUGUUUAAGUUCAGGUUUCAAAAAUGAGCUACUAUGUAUAUAUUAAAAGUCAUUUAUUUAUCAAUUCUAACACAAAAUUCAGUAAAAUUUGAGAAAACCAACACAAAAAAAACUUGAAAAUACUAACUUUCUAAUGUAUAACUCAAUUUUUACUAUUUUUUAAAAAUGGAACAAAUAACUAUUCAAUUAAAAAGCUCCAACUCAAACUCGCAUGAAGAAAGUAAACAACCCUUCAUAUUAUUCCCUUUUCUCUACCAUUUUUAAUGUAUUUGAGUAUCUUUAAAUUGAGCGAAUUUUCUUGUUUAAAAUCAUAGUCAGUAACUUUUAUGAAAAUAAAUAAUAAAAAUAAUCACUUUAUUCUAAUUUACGUAACACACUUUUUUCUUUUAAUUGAUCCCAAACAAAAACAAAGAAGUGAAAAUGAUGUAGGGAAUGAAAUGAUAUUUAUUUUUAUUGAAUUACUACUAUUAGAGGAAAGAAAACGAAAAAUUACAGUGUGCUUGGCUAUAUAUGGGAAUUCUGUUGGUAUUUUUGGCCAUAAAAAGAAUCUUCGUACAAGACUCACACUAACUCAAAGUCAAGCAAAAAGGAAAAAAUAUAUCUUAAGAAAACGAAAGGAAGUACCCACGUCUCAAUUUGUAUAACUCAUUUUCGUUUUAAGCCUGUUCCUAAAAAUAUAACAUAUUUUUAUGUUUUGUAAUAAUUUAGUUUUAAAGUGUUUAUUUUACUUUUGAUAGAAUAAUUUAUAAUCGUACAAAUAUCUAUUAUCUAAAAUAUUUUAAAUAACAAGUUUUAAUAGUCGAUAUUUCUUAAAUUCUUGUGUCAUGUUAAACUAAGUCUAAAUUGAGACGGAGAGUGUGUAUAUAUAUAUAUAUAAACAAAAGGAAAAAAGACUAGUUAAAUUUAAUUGGCUGAUCUUAUGAUGUUGUUUCUCUCUCCAUAUAUUAUUGGUGUAACUAUUCCUAGAUAAUGUGUAGUACAAUUACUCCUUUGUAACCAAAAAUACCCUAAUUACUACUUUUUCUCUUUCUAUUGUAAUAACAUACCUUUUUUUUCUUUCUUCAGCUCACAACUUCAGAUCUCUUCUCCAUUUCUUGCAAAUUUCAGGUUUCUUUCCCUUAAAUCUUUCUUUUAUUUUUCUAGGGAUAAUUAAUUAAUUAAUUAUCACACCUUCUUUUCUUCUUCUAUAUAAAUUGUUAACUAGUUCACAAGUUUCUUAAUUUUUUUUCUUUUUUUAAAAUAACUCCUUAUCCAUCUAGAAGAGUUACAAACAUUCUGAAAAUUUUUAAUAAGAUAAUAUUAAAAAAAAAAAGAGAGAGAGAUUCUUGUCCUGAUUAUAGUCAAUUUUACACUGUGUUUUUUUUUUGUUUUUUGUUGAAGAUCUAUGCUUAAGUAAUUAAUGUUUGACUUUAAUUUGAAUCGGAUCGGUGUGAACAUUGAUAUUAAUUAGUCUUCAUCUAUAGGUUGAAGUAAGGAAAUGGUGAGACAAAAAUUCAGAUCAAGAAGAUAGACAAUUUGACAGCAAGACAAGUGACAUUUUCAAAGAGAAGAAGAGGGCUUUUCAAAAAAGCUCAAGAGCUUUCAACUCUUUGUGAUGCUGAUAUUGGACUCAUUGUUUUCUCUGCUACUGGAAAACUUUUUGAGUAUUCAAGCUCCAGGUAUGUUUUUCCUUUUUUUUUACUCGAGAAAUCAAUCCAAUCGAUCGAUCGUGGUUACGAUACAAUUUCAAGGACUAGUAAUAAUUAUUCAUAAAAUUAUAACAAAACAAACGAAAUUUGUAGUACAUAUGAUUAUGGUCUAGUUUCUUUUUAUUGGUUUGUUUCACUAAUUAAUUAAAAGUUUUUUAUUUUUCAUUUGGGAGUUAUAAAAAGCCCAUGACUUGUCUGUCAGAAAAAUCUCUUACUUUUCUUGUCUGUCAGAUACUUGGAGAGUUCCAAAUUUUUUGGGGAAAAAAAAAAGCUACAGUAAGAUUGAUAAUGCCAUAUUUGGUGUGUGUGCUAUUACUAUAAAAGAGAGAAAUAAAGUUUCUCAUAAAAUGUGAGUAUGUUCUAAAGCAAUUUGUUUAUAAACUAUUUAAUGCUUCGAUUUUAUGUAAUUUUUACCGUACGAGAUCUUUUAGAGCUUUAAUUUGUACUUGAAUUUUAUUUAAAAUACUUCUGCAUAAAUUAACACAUAUAAUCAUAGGUUGAAUUUUCAUGACUACUUAAUUUGAUAAGAUAUAUAUGUCGUUAGAACAGCAAAAGCAGCAUAGUUUUGUUUUGAUUAAUGUAUGACAUAAUCUAAAAAAAUUCUCUUAGAUUACUCGUGUACCAACGGUGAUAAGUUUUUAACUAGUGUCAUUGUAUGUAGAUGAUAAUUCAAGUGUCAGACAAUAUUGUGUGUUUGGUACGAAAGAUAAUAUUUUUUUUAUGAAAAAUAUUUUCUUGAAAAAUAAGUAAUUUUUUAAACUUAUUUCUAGUGUUUGUUAAGUAAGUAAAAAAAUGUUCUCUCAAAAGCAUUUAUAACUAAUUUAGCAAAAUCCUGUAGAGGUGAGGAGUGGGGCCUCGAGGAUGUCGGGGGUGGGAUGGUCAAGGGAUAGGGGUUCGGGGCUUUGGGUGAGAGAGGAGGAUAUACAAUGAAACAUAUAAUGUCAUUUAUCAAAUUAUUUUUCAUACUUCCAUUUAAGAAAAUCAUUUUCCUCAUUUUAAAAAACUUUAUUACUGAAUAUGUAUUCCAAAAUUUUUGUUCAACUAAACAUGGAAAAAUACAAAAUAUUUUCUUCCAUACCAAACACUUAAUGUCAAUUUCAAAAGGAUGUUUGGUUUGUUAGGCAUCUUGUGUUGAUCAGUACUGAUUUCCUCUCUUGGAUUUGCCUGUCUUACUACAAUUUUCUUAGCAGGUGGUUCAUGUUUAAUCCAUUGGGAUAGACUAAUUUGGGCUGAUGACACUUUGUAACGACUUAGCAUGUCUGUAAAAGUAGUGAAUUUAUGUUAUGGCUGCCCUCCGACUUUCCACAAUCUUUUCUGAGUUGUUCAAAUUGAUUGAAUCUUUAUCAAUUUAGUUAGAAUAAAAUUAUUGAUACAUAGUAUAGACUAAGUUAACUCAUACUUGAAAUCUUUACCGAGCUAUAUACCUAUAAUCAUAUAAGCAAAAUAAACAUAUUUCUUAGCUUAAUAUUCGAAAACAAUAGUAUUUAUUAGCUCAAAGAUACUAAAAACAUGCUUAUUUAUGACAAUGUGAUUCUUAGCGUAAUAUCGUAAAAACAAUAGAAUUAGCUCAAAGAAUACUUAAAAACAUGCUACCUUUAAUAAGAAGCUUAAAACAUGAAGCUCAUUUUUAAUUACCUCCUUCAUAUUUGACUUAUUGAACUUUUUCUUCCCUUUCCUCAGUUUUAGUGACUCCUAAUUAAUAAGUUGAACAUCAACAAGAUCCAUGAUGUGCAAACUAAUACUAAAUAGAAGUAAUAUAAGAAAGGAGGACAUAUAUCUUAACCUCCGCAACCAGAUGAAGAAUGAUGUGAAUUGGUACCUUUGACAUAUAGUGAGCAAAGAAUAGACCUAGCGGCUAGCACUACAUAAAAAAUAUCAUUAGUGACAAUUAAUUAACAACAAUAGAUUAAUUACCAUUAGCGACAAUUAAUAUCUAAAACCUUUAGUGAUAUUGAUUCUAACACUUAACUAAUGUCUGUACAGAUUUUAAUACUCUUUAUUGAUUUCUAUAUUUAUUGUAGCUAAAAAUAAUUUAUAUGAUAGGAUAAGUAGCAUCUCAAAGACUCCUUGGGAGUUCAAAUUUUUUUGUAUAAAAGGAUUAAUUAAAUUAACAAUAGAUUAUAUGAAGGAAGUAAAUCAUAUAAUCAACAACUGAAGAAUUUACUUUACUCUCUCUAUAUAUAGUGGAGUUAAAUCUACUUAACAAAGAGAAAGUAAAUAUUAGAAGAAAAUGACUCCCCAAAUCUUGAAUUUAAUUUGUUCCUAGAUAUCUUGAUAUUUUGUGAAGGUUUUUUCACAUCUUAUUCUUUGCCUCCAUGGUGUGUCACCAAAAUAAUUCCACCCAUCUCACCAUGAAAUUAUUCAUUCUUUUUUUUGAAUUUCAAAAUCAACGUUGAUAAAAUUUACAAAUUCAAUUUUUAAUUUGAAAAAAAAUGCUCCAAACAUGUUUCCCUCUCUAAUAUGAACUUUUAUAUAUUUGAAAUCUAUGAUCAAAUGCGUACGAUAAAUUCUAUUUACAAGCCCCACCCAAAAAUCCCUUGAAGUGCGUCCACUAAAGCAGAAAAUUCGAUUUUGGUGCUGCACAACUGAAAACUAGCUAUGAAGUGUCAUUUGCUGUCUGGGAAUAAUUUUCUAGUGUUUUUUACUGUAUGUCCAGAGCUAUUUAUUAUCCCUCCAAAUAUAAUAGUGUUCCUUUUCUUCUAUUAUCCAUAUUUUGCGUGCCAUAAAAAAAAAUUCAAAGAUAAAGUGGAUAUAUAUUCUAACCAUUUGAUCAAGUAAAGGAAAUAUUUAUUCCAAAAAUACAUAUAACUAAUAUCGGCUCAUAAUUCAUAACACACAUUUUCACCUUAAUUCGAUGGUGAUGGAGCGUUUUACGUUGAACUCUACAACUCCUUAAUACUUCUUUGAGCUGCCUCUACCUCUCUUUAUUUUCACUAUACCUAAAAUCUCACACCUCCUCAUUAAUGAGACAUUUAUGCAUCUCCGAUCGUUUUCAUAUUUCUGAACCAACUCAGUCUUGCUUCUCUCGUCGAGUUACUCCCAUCUAGUUCCAUGUAUCUGUGCUUUUAAUCCUAUAUCUCCUUAUAUAUCCACACUCAAUCUCAACAUUCUCAAUUUUGCUACUUUCAGUUUGACCACCACUUUAAGACUCAAACUUUUGUUUCU